CAUCCCCGUUCGUCCCCAACUCGCCAAAUCCGCAGCCGCCGCAAGCACAGAGACCCUCUAGAUCGAGCGCGAGCUCCACCCCCGCCGCCGCGAUGAGGGCCAAGGUUCGUCUCGAUUCUGUUCCUCCGCCUCCGUUGCGAUAUCGUUUGCUGUUUCGAUGAUGCCAUGACAUUGCGUAGUAGAAUUAGAGAACUAGUGCUGUCCUAGGGUUUGGUUCUAGAAGCUGUGCUAUGCGUGGUUUCUGCUGAUUUUGUCUUCGAUUCGAACGGUUAUGCUAUGCUGUUCUCUAUGAUGACGAAACACAGAUGACGAGUCUGACGAAAUCCAUUCCAUUAAACCAUGGGGACAAUCGAGGCAUUUGUCUGAGAGAACACUGAUCUGCUAGAAAAAGAUUUGUUUCGUCUAUGUCCUGUUUUAAAUUUCGGUUUAUUUGUUCGCAAUUGUUUCGGCAGUACUGGCAUAAUGAGGAAAAUCCUUAUUUUUCUGAUAUAGUUGAUGAUAAAUACCUCCUACUCAUUCUGAAUGCCAGAACACUGCCUGUUAUCCCUGUUUUGUUUUGUUUUCUUUUUGAAAGAGGUACCUUGUUUUGUUGGUAGAUUAGAUAAGGUUUGUUGGCUUUUGCCAUGUUCACUCUAAUCGGACAGAUUCAGAUCUUUUUUUAGGAAUCCUUAACAUUUUUCGCAAAAAAGAGUAAUCCUUCAUUGCUUGAUGUUGGGAUAUGAUGAAGAACCUUUGGUCCGUGUUUCUGAUCAACCCUUGAUGAGUAAACCACUCCUAAAGAAUCUGAUCCCAAACAAUUUAUAAAAAUAAUUGUGCUUUGUUCUGUAUAUUUAUCUAAUCCGAUAAAUUUGCCUGACACGAAGGAUACUGAUGCAUCUUGGCUUGUUCUGAUGUUCAGUGGAAGAAGAAGAGAAUGAGGAGGCUCAAAAGGAAGCGCCGAAAGAUGAGGCAGAGAUCCAAGUAGGCUUGCCUGGAGGAUGAAGGGAACUGUCUGUUGCAUUGUGACCUAGGCUUGUUAGGAUAAACACCCCGACGUGCUUUGGUGUAGAUGCAGGAGAUGUUUACCUUCUUGGGGUCUAGUUUUAUUUUUAGCUCAUCAAAACUCUGGUCAUGUUCUAAGGCUGGGUUUUAUGUAAUGUGAGGAUAAUAUGUUGCUUUGUGACUGAGUUUAUGCAGUUAAACGAGAUUUCUUGCACUAAAAAAUAUACUUACUGCCUAUCUGUUACCCUUGUGAUCGGUAGUUGUUUCCGUUAUCUGUGCUGUUUUCUCACGCGCUGUGGCAAUUUUCAGAAUCUCAGGAUGUUUUGCAUUGCUCCAUGGUGUAGAUGGAAUAGUUGCUUUGUUUUUGGUUGAGGCAUGACUGCAUCACUUGUUGAUUACAGAGCAGAGAGCGCUGGUGUUUAUGAGUUACAUUGGAUUUGUAUUGCUGUUGAGUUGUUAAUUACUGGAGUUUUAUAUCUCGUAUAGCUCUGGUGUUCUACUUUGCUUCGAUAAAUGAUGCCAUUUUAGCAGGCGAUUCUAAUUCUGCUGUCAGCUCCUGAUAUGUCAUGUUGAGAUCACUCCAUUGAGAUUAUGUGAAUCUUGAACUGUGUGCAAUUCGAAAUUGUAGAAAUAAUUGACUGCUUUGGGAUGGGAUUUGGGUUUGCAAUAUGUGGAGGAACAACAUAGACCUGUCUGGUUCAAACAGGCGUCAGUGAAAAAGCCUUCAGUGAACUCGUGGCGUCGACUCGUGAACUCUGAAACAGAUGAGGUGCAGGUGCACAAUAGAGACGGCUGGCCUCGCACCUGCACCAGCACCACUCCCUUAUCCGCUGGGCCUAGCAUGAAUUUGUUCGUAACCGUUUAUAUUCCUGCCAGCCUGAUCCCUGCACUAGAACUGAGAGCUUCUCAACUCAUCCGUUAAUGGAGGCCAUAGUCAGGGCAGGUGUAUCUUCCUCGGCGCCGGCGCAGCUACGCCCGUGCCCGAUGCCGUGCCGCAACCGCUGCCUACCGUCCUCCGUGCGCCGUCCCGGACGCCGGGGAGUUGCCUGCUCGGCCUCGGCGGCCGACGCCGACGUCGUCGAUCUCUUCGAUGCCGCCAAGCUCACGGUAUGGUAGUGAGAUACCUCACCGUUCGUUCGUGAGCAAGCCGUGUAUGUUCUCCAACGAAUUUUUGUUCUCUGUAGGUGGACAGGUUCGUGCAGAGCGGCAUGGUGGUCGGGCUAGGCUCCGGCCCGGCGUCCGCCCUGGCGGUCCAGUACCUCGGCACGCGCCUCCGCCGGGGAUCUCUCACCGAAAUCGUCGCAGUAACCUCGUAAGUUCUGAAUUUCUGAUUGCCAUUGCAUGAUCUGUUCCUUCUUCGUCACAGACUCAGAGUAACCUAGUAACUCUGAAUUUCUGUUUUCUGAUUGCCACUGCAUGAUCUGUUCCUUCCUUUGUGCAUGAAAGUGCUUCUUUUCUCAUCAGACACUCGAAUCAGUUUGCAUCUAAUCAGCUCUUGGGAUUGAUUGACCAGCCAGGUCCGUGCUCAGUGCGAGCGAGGCAGACAAGGCCGGAAUACGGGCUAGCAGCUAUCAGGAAGGAACCCAAGUGAGUAUGCGCAGUGCUGUACGCCUGUAACCAUCAGCUGUAAACCUCUUCUUACAACACGGGAAGAACAGCAUCUGAAACUGUGCUCUGCUCACUGACGUAUAGAUUGAUUUUGCUUUCACUGAUGCUGAAGUAAUCGAAGAGGGCACGCUGGCUGCCGUCAUCGGGCGGCGCAAGACCGAGAGUGGAGAGCCCUCUUUCAUGGUGGAGAAGGUAUUUGACUACUUAAUCAAUGUCUUCAGAGUUAGCGCGUGCAUGGAUUUCUGAUGGAUAAUCAUUCGUAUGUAGGCAACAGUAAUAGAUGCAUUGCAUAUCUGAACCAUUUAUUUGAUUUCAACCAUGUUGUCCCAUGUGUUAUACAGGCAAUGGUUAAAUCAGCUGAUAAACUUGCCUUCAUCACUGGAAAUGACAAAUACCUGACAGGUGUUGAGGGUUCCAUUCCAGUCAUAGUUAAAAGUGUAAGGAAAAAAAAAUCCUGUUGCUUCAGAUAUGGUCAGUUUUAUACAAUGUUUAUGAAGAGAGGAACAGAUGAUUUCAGGGAAAUUGGAUAGACACUGCUGAAGAGAUCGACGAUUUGUUCCUAGGGGAUGCAGAGGUGCCCUCAUCCAUACGAAUACUCAAUAGUUAAAUUUUCAGAACUCGAAUACCUGCUGGACUGCUGAAACUGAAACGCUCAUGAAUGUUUGGUCACCAUUGUAUGCGAUUUUCUGAUCAGGUUUGGAGGAGGCCAUCAUUUGGGACUGCCGGUCCACUAGGGGGUGAUCACCCAUUGGUCACUAAGGAGGGUCAUCACGUUCUUGAUGUGAUCUUUACGACUCCAAUCCCAGAUCUAGGUAAGCUGAUGGAAGAUCAUUGCAACAAAGGGGCUAAACUCAUCUUGAGUCCAUUAGACCAUUUCUUGGGCCAAAGCUUUAGCUGGUUGCUUUGCCAUAUUUAUUGCAGGUCAGGUAGCAGAGAAGUUGGACAAAGUUGCUGGCGUUGUGGAUCAUGGGAUUAUUUGUAGCAACCAGUAAUUUUCUUAACGCAAGCAUACAGAAUAAUAUUUUUAAUUAAUUUUGUGGGGAUGGUUUACGGAGGUGUGUUUCAGGUUUUCUUUUUCCCCCAAAAAGGUGCUUCUCAGUGUUCUUACACGCUGCAUCUCCUGCCCUGCAGAUCGUAUGCGGUGAUUGCAUCCAAGGGGGAAGUGCAGGUUAUUGAGGAGAAACCCUCGGUGAUACCGUAGCGCUGCAGAAAUCUUCCAGUUGCCUGCAGAGGCGCCAUUUUUCUCCACACAUUCCGGAUAAGAGUACUUCCAGGUUGGCUGGAAAAUGCCUGAGAGUUAAAUAAUAUAGUAGCACCAAAUGUAAUCUCUUCAGUAUCCAACACUCUAUGCACCAGUAUGCAAAACCUUCCACUUCGUGUGCAAUGAAGAUCAACAAAUCUGCAGUCACAGACUGUUAACAUGCCGAAAACACCAUUUUCCAUGGCAGGUUACUGAUAACUAUGCUCGUAGGUCCAAAAAAAUUAGUUGGGCAGCAAAGCAAGUAUGCUUGACAGAAUGUCGACUGACAAAUACUAGCGCUUUGCAAUUUUCAUCCAGGAUACAUAAAAUGGCAGUGUUGAACCGCAGGACUUCCUCUUCCUGGCUUCUUGUCCCACAUGUCAUAGAAACAUUUUCUUGCCAAAAAUUUUCACAAAUGUGGCUUCAAUAUUGCUAGCCAAAAUGAUUUUGGCAGCCACAAGUCGCCUAAUGUUAAGGUUAGGCACCAACCAAACAGAAAGCUCCACCUCCCAGCUCCAAUCCAAGCAGCCGUCAGAGACAUACAGUACUAAUAAAACUUUUUUAGGGAAUGCUAUUGUUUCGCCCAAAAAGCAGAAACUGCAAGCACAAGUGCACAACAUGUUCAGUUCCCCAACUAUGCCUGAACUCUAAAACACACACAGAGAGAUCAAUACAAUUUCUUGAUUCAUAUGGCUCGUUCUUUCUAAUCAUGUGACACGGCAAAGUUCUUGCCGUUAUCCCGAAUAAAAAGAUAUAAUCCAUACGGCUGACAGAUAUCUCUAAAUAAACACAACUAGCAAUCAUAUUUACGCUGCAACCUCAGCACACAAGGAACGUCUGUAAGCAACUUGAAAAGAUGUGUCAUUAUCUCCUUACUCCUGCUUUUUCUCCAACACCACCUUCCUGCUGUCGAAGAAAAACAGUUUAGAACAAUUUAGAAGACGUGCAAGUUCCGUCAAGUUUAGCUAGAGACAUUAGUAGGUUUCAUGAAUUCAGCAGACAUAUACAAAUGAAGGGCGUGGUUGUAUCACGGUACAACAACCUGAGUAGCUACAGGACAUUUGGCCUGUUCGUUUCAGCUUAUUCAGCCGGUUUAUCAGCCACCAAACAGUAUUUUCCUUUCACAACAAAUCAGUCGUUUCAGCUUUUCAGCCGGCUUAUAAGCUGAAGCGAACAGGUCCGCCUUCAGGCAGUCACAUGAAGAUGCCACUCCUUGGCGUCUCGUUGCCCGGAGGAAUCACCAUGGCGAAGAAAUUGGAAGGCAGCUCCGUGAAAGUGAAGCCAUCCGAGCGUCACUACAUAAAACGAUUUGUAGGGCACCCCAUAUUUUAUUUUUAUAAGGAUAGGCGAAAUUGCUAUCCGCAUCUACAAAACGGAUCGCUAUUGUAGCAUACGACCUACCCGUGGAGAACCAUUUGUAGGGAUGGGCCACGGGACGACCCGCCCCUGGGGGGCGAUUUCGAUUUUCAUGGGCGGGCGAUGGGGUGUCCCGUCCAUGGAAAUCACAAUUUGCAAGGGGCGAGUGACGGUAUCACCCGCUCCCGAAAAUUAUUUCCAGUAACGAGUGAUGACGUGGGCCGCUUCUAGAAAUGGUACAAUUUCUUGAUGCAUGAAUGCGCCAUGAACAUCCUUAGCAGAACACUUUGCAUGGUGCCUCAUUGCCUUCUUGAAUGUGAAUAUGGCAAGAAACAAGUUCACAAAAAUAUAAACCGUAGCUCAAAAAAUAAGUGUCAUAUAUAAACCAACAUAUAAAUCAUGUCACAACUCAACAUAACCACAACCAAAUGAUAGAUCCCACAGAACAGAUAAGACAUGUCACAUUACAUAUAAAGUUUGUAGAUCACAACUCAACAUAACCAAAUAACAAAUUCCACGCAACAGAAACAAAACCAAGAUUCAUUGACAAAUAACACUACUACACUAUCCAUUUCUUCACUUAGCAUUAGCUACUCCUAAGGCAAAUAUCCCAAGCAUAACACCUACAAUCAAGGUCACAACAGUAGUGAUGACAGCCACGUUGCAUGCACCCCCAACAGUCUUUUUUUUCUGGCCACAACAGCCUUGUUUUCUUUCCCAAAAGAUGCUUCAACUCUCCCACUUCCAACUUUAGUUUAUUAACAUUCCCUUUCAUUUCUCCACACUGGAUCUUCAAUUCACACAUCUCCAUCUUCAGAUCACAAAUUGCCAAUUUUAUUUGACUUAUCUCAUUCAACAUGCCAUUGCUUGCCAACGGCUCAGGAGGCUGAAAUCCAGCACUUGACUGAGCUGCUGCUGUUCCUGGAGCAAUACCUGCCAAUUGAUAGUUUGGAGGCAUCGAAUGGGGAAAUUUUUUCCUUCAAAUGGUUCAAGUACUGAGGCUCAAACCAGUAUUGGUCAUAUAUUCUAGAAUCUCCCUACUUCAACAACACAAAUGCAACUCAACCCUUUGGUUCCAACACGGUUGAUUCCAUGAUGUUAGGGUUGCAAUCUUACCUUAGUGUUGUUGGGGUACUUGUAGAAGAUGUAGCCCCCAUUGCUCCUGAGCCAAAUCACCCUUAUUCCGCAUUUAUGGCAGUCGACGAGGGGAAGUUGCACGAACUGGUUGCGACUUGGUACCAACGAUGGGAAGCUGCUCGACAUAACCUUCACUUGCUUGUUCUCGACGGAUGUCGAGGAGCUAGAGGACAGUGAGAAGUUCAACAACUUGCCUUGCCCCCCUUGGCCUCCUUUGCGGCAGCGGAAGCUGUGGCGGCGUGCGGCAGCGGUGGAAGCUAUGGCGGUGUGGCUGCGACGGCGAAGGUGAAAGCAUACCGGCGGCAUGCCCGCAUGGAAGGAGGUGUCGUGGGAGGAGAGCGCCACGGUGGCGGCCCGAGCGCGGAAGGAGGCGCUGCGAAUGGAAGGCGCCGUGGGAGGAGGGAAGGAGGCGCGACGCUGCGGCAUGGCGGUGGAGGCGUCGCGGGGAGGCGCUGCGGCGGCGGAGCACGCGGGGGAGGGGAGCGGCGCCGGAGCGGGGGCGGAAGGAGGGGCCGGGGAAAUUUUGACAGCCUAACGGCGUCCCGCGGGCUUCUCCAAAAAUUUGGCUUAGUAACCGUGGGCGCCACUAUAUAUAUAGGGUGGCAUUAGCAGCACCUGGAAAUCAUUUCUUCAUUUUUUUUCUAAAAUGUAUUUUGGAGCUAUUAAAUGAUCUUAAAUGCAAAAGUUAUCAACUGCAAAGUUUAAUGUCUCGUUGAGCUCCACAAUUUUGAUAUAAAGUUUUUAUUUAUCCAAGAAGAAAUGAAAAUUUCAAAAAAUACAUUCACUAAACACAUUCACAUGUACUCACACAUAUACUCAUACAUUCACAUAUACUUUGCGGUGAAUAUGUGUGUUUAGUGGAUGUAUUUUUUUAAUACAAAAUAUUUUUAAUUUCAUCUCGGAUGGAUACAAACUUUAUAUCAAAAUUAUAGAGAUCAAUGAGAUAUUAAACUUUGCAGUUGACAACUUUUGCAUUUAAGAUCAUUUAAUAGCUCCAAAAUACAUUUUAGAAGAAAAAUAAAAAUGGAGAAAAUAUUUCCAGCCAUCACCCGCACUUGGAAAUCGUUUCUAGGGGCGGGUGGUGACGUCACCCGCCCCUGCUAAAUGGUAGCCUAUAUAUGGUGGCGCUCGCGGGGACUUAGCCAAAUUUUUUCUUGAAAAAUGUAGACGUUUAACAUUUGAAAUUAGGGUUCAACAUUUCGUUCAACUUUUUUUCGAAAAAAUGUUGGUGAACAUUUUUUUAUCCAACAUUUUUCCAGUUGAAAUGUUGAAUAGACCAUCAUCAGUUGGAUCUUGGUGGCUUUGAAAUGGAUCAGUUGGAUCUGGUGGCUUUGAAAUGGAACGGAACUGCGAAGCUAAGCUUUAUAUCAUCAGCUGGACCUUGGUGACUUUGAAACGGAACGGAACUCCGAAGCUAAGCUUUAGCUCAAACGCUUAUCCAUCUUACAGCCGGUAGACUAGUAGUAACAGGGUUCUCUAAAAAAAAUAAAAGUAGUAACAGGGGGAAUGUGCUUGAUAGGUGAUAGCAGCAUAAGAUCAUCUAGAAGUUUUUUCUCCAACAGAAAAGAUAAAGAGGUGCUGCCAGAUCCUUCACCGCAGCAACCGGCGGAGGUAACAAAUGACGCAUCAGCUGAAUGACUCAUACAACAAAUAGCACAUCGACUGAAGACACAUACAACGAAUAUGAGGAUGAGAACAAGGAACCUUUGCCAGCCUCAGGAGCUCAGGAUCAGUGAAUCCCUGACCCCGAGCGCUGCUGCAACCUGAGCAAGUCCAAAUUGCAAAUUCAACAGAUCAAUUUGAUUAAAUGACCACCAAUCCACCAUAUAUCCUCCAGCAAGCUGGUCACUAGUACUGUAUCAGAAGAUGUUUACAACAACCGAACAUCCUGGGGUUUCCAGACAACACCCAUUUUCAAGUUGCAUCUCGCUAUCAGAAACUGGCCUAAUAUACUCUUUCCCCAACAUGCAUAGUGCUUUUUUUUAAUAAUUUCUUCAACGAAAGGAGGACUUAAGUACAGCAGGGGCGACAGAACAGCUAGUAAGGUAGAGUAGAACAGCCAUUGAUAGCCCCCCUGUUGAAUUUGAUGCUGAGGUUUUGUCUAAUUGAAGAAACAGCAUUGCCACCUAACUAGAGAUUUUUUUCCUCCAGCUAAAGUCAAAAGUCCAAAAUUCAUACUCUGACACCACCUCUAUUCUGAAUCGCUCUCCAGGCUUAGAGCCUUCAAGCCUCUAGCCCUCUGCAUGAUGUUUCACUCAUGUAAGUAACAAGCAUUCAACGGAACAGAGGUAGAAUACAUGCUUCUUGAAGCAAAACAAAUUUAAUUGUAUCCAGGUUACCUUUUUUGAACUCUUCUUCUCUCGAACUUCAUAUCUCUCAUGUGACAGAUCUGACAACCAAGCUCCUGGGCUCACCAUCUGUGAUUAUACCGCAAAAUGAAUCAGACAACAGUGUAAAAAAACAGAGAGCACUAUAACAGCAACAAAGAAAACAGAAGUUGAAAUCAAGUUUUUGAGCUUGAUCAUUACAAGCAAGCACUUCUGCAUCAGCUUGGGUCUUUUCUUUGGCCUCUGUGGGAGCUUGCAGCCCUUCAUUGCCAUGAAAUCCUCCUCCUUCUCCUUGUUAGACAAUGCAAUGAAGAACCUUGGCAACGCAGUGGUUCCCUUGUCCUCUGUUAAACCACCAAAAUCGAACCCAUUCCCCUCAAAAGGAAAUGGAGAACCCCUAGUGGAGUAAUACCGGUCCUUCUCUGGGGAGAGUGCCAUUGACUGCUUGUACUCGUUCGCUGGUGAAUCCGAUUUCCUGCUCACAUAGUAAGGUAUUUUGAGCACUGUACUAGGGCACCUGCUGGUAUUGCAGCGGGCAAUUCGAAUAAAGCCUGAAUACACUGAAUCUACCUGCGUUGAAGGGUGCUUGGGCGGCGUGGCGAACGAAAUGGUGCAAUGUCAGCUCCGAGAAGAGGCCGGGUUGCACGGGGCACAACACGUCUAAGAACUUCAGAUGGCGAGGGUGAUGGUGAGCCGUCAUCGCGCGUCUUGACACAGCGCAGCCGCUUCCGGCUUCCCCAUUGCAGGAAGAGGUUUGGCUCGCUGGGAGACCUCGAGGGCCUUGAGUCCUUCACCUCCUGAUCCAUCCGUACCCUGAAAGUGAACGCAGGUAGUUAGGUACCGAGUAGAAACUUAAGUCAAUGGAGCAACUUCGGAUCAAAGUUCCAGUGGAUUUUGGGAAGAGAGGAGGAUGGGCACUCAAAUCAAAGCAAAAUCUUGCCCCGAAAUUCAUCAAAAAAAAAAUCCUGCCCAACACACGAAGCAAGUGCCCCCUCUCCAUCCAAACACCUAGUGCCCUCUUAUCUUACCAUCACCAGCUAGAAUGAGAAAAGAAAUAGAACUCGAUCUUAUCUGAGCACAUCUGCUUUGCACAAGGACUCUAGAAGGGGGAACGGAGCAUGCACUAGAACUAGAAAGCGGAGAAAAAUACUUGUUUUAUUCCAAAACAAAUCUAAUCCUUCUCUUCAAAAGGUAUCCGCUAGCUGAUACAAGCAAAUCAGACGCCCCCAAGCAGGGGCAGACCCAAGGAUGGCAAUCUUUACACAAAAAAACGAAGUUUGCCGGUUGUAAUACAUUUGCAACUUCGAAUUGGGUCAGAUCCGAAUACCAAUAGCUUUGGGGCGCUCAGUUUCGCACAGCGGGAAGGGACGAGAUGGGGCGGACGUACCGGGUGGGUGCUCGUCGGCGGCGAAGAGCCCGGCGAAGACGGGGCAAAGGGCGGCGCCGCUCGCCCAGUCGGCGCCGCAAGGCCACGAGAGAGAGGACAGGAAGGGGCAGGCAGGCAGACUGAGAGAGAGAGCUGCACGGGAGGAAAACAAAAGAUUAGGGGUGAAGGCGCACGCGGCACGCCGCAGUCAGCGACGCGCUCGGGCCGUGUCGAAGUAGUUCUCGUUCGGCCCAAGAAGGUCCCGUUCGAAUAAAAAGAAGCCUGGCCAUAUUUGCCGUGUUGGUUGUUUGUAGCACUCGGCCCAACGUUGGAUUGGGGCCUGGUCCGUUCGAACAAAAGCCUGAUCUGACCUGUGUGCGUGGGGGGCAUCUUCCAGCGUGAUCAGAAAUCUAGGGAAUCCAACGAAGGAGAAAAAAAAAUCAACCUUCACAUAUCCUAUAAAAACCACCCGGAGAUCUAGAGAAUUUACAAAUCACAGGGCAACUCUACCAUAUAUCACCAAAAAAAAUCUGAAAUUUAACUUAUCACCUAGCACUGCUACCACAUCACCACGCACCUGUACAACAUCACUUAGAGAGACAUGUAAUUUAACAUAUCGCGCUACCAUAUCAACAAGCAAUGCAAAUAUAACACAUUCACGGCGCGCGACACCAAACAAUCAUGUUAGGCAAGGAUCAUAGCAAUGAAUUACUUGGGAGACAUCUCCCAAAAAAAACACUUGUGGCCUGUUCGCUUCAGCUUAUAAGCCGGCUGAAAAGCUGAAACGGCUGAUUUGUUGUGAGAGGAAAACACUGUUUGGUGGCUGAUAAGCCGGCUGAAUAAGCUGAAGUGAACAGGCCGUUAGUUUUUAAUGUUUCACAGGUGCAUUAAGACUAAAUCGCUAUUAUAGAUAGGCAAUGAUUAUAGAUUGUAGUAAUAUCAUGAACUGCAAAAGCAAAACAAGCCACAUGAGAUAUCUUUGCCAAUUUGAACAUUGUCAUUAAUAUGUCACUAACCUAAUAAGUGCACAUCCAGCAUGGUACCCUGAUUCCAAUUCAUCCUUCACAACAAAAAAGAAGAAGCUUAGAGCAAUGAUAGGCUGAUAUCUAUGUCACGUUAGCUAGAGAAUUUCAAAACUUGUAAAUCAACCUAGCUAGAGAAAUAUAGAAGUAAGAUUUCACGAAUUCAAAAAGUAACUGAACAAUUCAAUCAAAUCAAGUGGUGCAGUGGUAAAACUUAUAAUUAACAAUUUGGGCAGCCGCAAGACUUUACUUCGGGUCAAUGACUAUUGGGUGAAGAUGUCUCUCAAAUUUCUUUGGCCUGGCAGUGAUAGGCGUCCAAACCAAUAGACUCUCGAGAUAGGCAGCUCAACAUUUACAGAUGUAAUCCUCCAUAGGAUCCUCCUUCUCUUAGGCUUCUUAUCACUACCAUCCACCAUCAGGAUGGAAAACUUGGGCUCCAUCGCCGGCAACUGUUCUUUCUUAAGCUUCACAGCCUCCAGAGAUCUUUGGCUAGGAACUUCUUAUAAUUCCUCCACAUAUUGGUUGCAGGAUCAAAGUUCCACACAGAGAUGUUGACAUCGCCAAGUGGCUAGGAAUGAUCAAUGUACACAAACUUGAUAAAGCUGACAACAUAGGCCAUCAUCCUGGUCAUGGGAAAUGCGUCUGAUAGCUCAAACCUGGGUUUCGUCCACCUCUCGUCAGGCGACCUAUGAACCCAAAAUCCACUACUGCACCACCGUCAGCUAGGGCCAAUUGCAGUGCGCGAGUCGCUUGUGCUACCGCUGCAGCUGCCCAGCGCAACUGCUCAGCUGCAAACCCCAAACAGCUGCAACCUGAUCACUAAAGCUAAUGACUUGCACAACAAACAAAUACAGAACCAAUAGUUUGUAUAGUAAAAGAACAGUCUCACUGUUCUGGUUGUUGUAUAGCUGCAGCAAGCUGUUCCGAGCACUGCCGACAUCGGCGGCGAACAAAUCCUGAAACGACUGCUCUGGGAGGUUCCACCUUAGCACAUGCUAUCGACACUGUUCGUCCGUAGGUGCAGGCAGUGACCAACACAGACAACAUCCUCCGUGCGCCGCUCCAUUUGCUUUCAUGCCGCAAAGCACGUCAUAGUUGACUCGGAUGUACAAGGCUGAGAUGAAGUCCGGGGUGGAGUCAAUGAGGCAGGCCUAGAGGGUGAGCCCCUCCACCACCCUCUGGCCAUGCACUUUGCAGCUGGAGGACUUCUUGAUCGGGCAGUUGAUGUUCGUCCACUCCUGCUGUAGCCACACAGGUUGCACGGGAGGCCUUUUUCAUAUCACGAAGCGCUUCAACUCGAACGAGGACGACACAUAUUUUGUCAGCGCGAGCCAUAGAUGGGGGAAAUACCGGGCUGUGGCCGCAACCACGGUUUUCGCACACGCGGCGGUGGCUAUGGCUAGCGCACGAAGUUGUACGGUGUAAGAGGAUGAGGGACCCACAUGCUUCGUUGCAUGCGGGAUUCACGUGGAUCCAACAGGUGGAUGGUGGAUGUAGUGUCAAAAAACAUAUUGUGACACGCGAAUACAACUUUUUUCCCAUUUUUCCAUUUAUACUCAAGUAAAUAUCAUUUAUGCGUAUAGGUCAUGUGCAUUAGUUGUUUAACAACAUUUGCAAAAAUUAUGACAAACAUUAUACAUAUAAAUUGUAUAUAUCAUAAAGGUUGUGCUACAAAAUUUAUUGUAAGGAAAAAUACGCAUGUAAAUUGUUUGUAUAAGUUAUGACUUUUUAAAAAUGAAAAUUUGAAGUUGUCCUUUAGAAUUGCACUUGGAAGUGCUACGCAUAAGUUAUGCAUUCCAUUAAAGUUGUGCUGAAAAAUUAUCUCAUAAGAAUUUUUAAUACGAAGUUAUGUGUAUAAGUUAUGAUAUUUCAAAAAAUAAAAAGUUGUUGGAAUUUAUUUUCCGAAAACUAGAAAGUUCGAAGAAGUGUAGUGGGCUGUCGGGAAUCAAGCAGCCCUCCUGGUGAGCGCGCUCCAUUAGUGUUGGUGCUGUUAUAUAUCAGCGAACGUGAUAAAAAAAAACCCCAUAGCAUUGGUGCUGCUAUAUAUCACCGAAGGUGAUAAAAAACCCACUGUUGCCUUCAUUUUCACCCAGCAGCUUCCUCCGCCUCGGCACAAUGAGUGGCCCACUCGAGGUCAUUCUCCUCCUUCGGUCCUUCCUCCCGAUGAACACAAUACCACCGCCUUCUUCCCCCGCGCCGCCAUCCUCCUCCAUCUCCGGUGGUAGGAGAUACCGGAUCCGCUGCCCCAUCGCCCUCUCCUCCAGUUCACACUCCUCUCUUCUCAUUCGCCCCCCGCACCAACCUCCUGCACUGUCUCCGACGGCUCCUGCCGUCAGAUUCGUCGCCACCGGCCGCCAUCGCUCUAACCCGGCUCUGCCGGGGAGCUCACCGCUAUGGCCCUACCUCCUCCACCGCCCAUCGAUUGUCCUCCACCACCUGCGGCUGGCGGCACCCCGCCGCCUCGCCACCACCUCCGGCUACCUUCCACCCAAGACUUCCCCUCUACAACCGGAAGCUCACCGGCGACCCUAACACCAUAGCAACCUGAAACCGAACCCUAAGCUCCUAACCCUAGCCAUGGCCUCAGCGGCUACGGGAGGAAGACGACGGCAACAUUGCUCGGCCAUCGUGGGCCGUCGUCCGCGCCUUCAUGCGACAACUUGCAAAUUUGUCGCCUUCACCCAUUAGCAUUGCCCGUGAUCAGAACAGUUGGCCAGGAAACCAGGUAUAACCACGCGGCAGCAUAUAGCAUACAGAUACUCGAGGACCAUCCCAACCAAAACGCGUGGACGUUUCGUUAGUUCAAACAUUCCUCCGAUCGCUCUAGCCUUCAGCACUCCGCUGGCUUUGAAAAGUGAACCCAGAUCGCUGACUACGAAUUUUGACGAACCCUGGACGAGUCAUUUCUUGACGCAAAGGAAGAGGACACACGGUCAGGCAGAAAAUCCUCUAGAAGAAGUCGAGACUCGUACGGCGCGUGCCCCCGGCCGAUUCAAAAAGUUCAUCUCCGUAUGACGCAGCCGGUCCGGUCCAAACACCGAAAGCAACGAGGCCGUCAACGCUUUCCAUCACCGUCUGGGCUUCGUUCCGUCCGACCGACGCCACACCUCACGUACUCCCUCAAGUCAUCAUCUGCGUCCCAGUCUGUAUCACAUGCUCUGCUGCAGCUGAACAGCCCUGCAUACUUGGUGGAGGGGAAAGGUAGGCGACGGAACCAACGCAACCUCUGACCUCUCUUUUCGGCAAACCAUGGCGUCGUGGCUGUUGCUCCGGAGGAUCCAAUCUGCUGGCCGUCUAUCCGGCGGCCAUGGCCGGCUGCUCAGCUUCAGGGGCGGCGAGGGGCUCUGCCGUCCUCUUCCCCCGGCGGGCGAGCCAUCAGUCUGCAGCAGUGCCUACGGGCAAAUCAAGACAGACACCAGGAUCACGGUUUGUUCCUUUCCUCCCUUUCUCAAGUUCAAUUCCAGAAUCAUAGGACCUAGUUAAAUUUCGGUUUUUCAUACCUUCCAAGAAGAAAUGCGUUCAGAUAAUUUCAUCUGGACCAUUUCUGUGUCUUCUUCUUUGCGUGUAUGUAUCCAUCGUUUCUGCUGAAAAGUCUUCUGAUGCUUAUUUCAAAAAAAAAAAACGGUCUUCUGAUGCUUGCUGCUUGCGAUAUACGUGCAGAACCAUGAGCCACAUCUCGACAGGUUUUCAGAUCCCCAGGUUGCUCAUGAGGACCGUCAGUUCAUUCAGUUCUUGGACAGGAUGCUGGAUGCGAUGAGGAACCCUCAAAGUCUUGCGCUAAUACAGCGUGGGAGGCUGGCAAGUGGGCUGAAAGCAUUGGAUGAUGACAUAUGAGCCAAGUUCCCUCUGCAGACAUACAAGAGCCGAAUAAACGUGAAAAUUUGUGUUGUGUAAAAUGAUCCUGCUGUGUUUUCUGACUAACAUUGCACAAGUUUAGUGUGUUGAGACUGAUGCUGUUUAGGUUCAUUCCUAGUGGAUGAGAACAUCAACUUACUUGAAGCAAUUUCAUCUCUGAAGUGGGAACUGUUUUUCAAUAUCAAAUUGCCAAUAAUCUAUAAUAAAUUGUAGGCUUACCUUUGCUCAAAUGUUUUGGCCAACUCAACGGCCAGUAGAAGCGAAGAAUACAUCAUCUGCACUCAUACUUGUGCCUAAGCUUUCAUGUUGGCAACAUGCUAGCAACUAGCACUUCAAGCAUCCGACAACAAUUAUCACAGGCUCACAGGAAGACAUCUGAACAUGCCAAGCUUCUCUUUGAAAAUGUCGAUAUCAAAUAAUAACUUUCCACAUUUUUUUCCUUUGGUCUUUCGCAUCUUUUAAUGCUUGAGAUCAGGUAGAUAUCCCUAAUUCCUUACUGGCUGCAUUGCAUAUGAUGCUUCAGAUGACAACAAAGGGUUGGCAAAAGAAUUAUGCUAUACAAAAUAAAGUAUUAAGUUUAAUUUAAAACUCGUACCUGGAGAAACAAAAAAGAUAAAUUAUGUUAAGGGGUAAAUUGAACCAAAUUGCAUAGUUUAGGGGUAAACUGAACCAAGAAAUAGUUUAGGGGUUAUCCAGACUUUGUCUAUAGUUGAGGGAAAUAAUUUAAAUUUUUUUCCUAAGUUUAAUAAGAAAGAAAGACAUAUAAACUAGGAACUGCAGAACUUGCACAGGAAAGUGUCACCAUUGGCCACUCAUGAAUCGAAUGAGCUUGCACACUGGUAUCAAGGCACCAUAUCACAUAUCAGUGCAAAAGAAAUGUAGGGACAACACACGGACCUGUCAGCAUGCCAUGGAACAAUUUUAAUUUCCGUAUAAGUGUUUGAACAGAAGAAAGAAAAAAUAAAGAGAAAUGGAAAUUUUAUUUCCGAUGACUUCUAGGUAUAUCCUCGCCAUAAAUAGGGAUGAAAGCAGUCGGGAACAGUUGGUUUUGAUUUCGUAUUUUUAUUCAGGAACAGGAACGAAAUCGGGAAAUCUCGGUCGGGAAAACGAAAUCGGAUAUACAAGAUAUCGGAAAUGAAAUAAUUCAAUCGCAAACACAUCGAGCAAAAACUAGGUAUUUCACUCUGAUGAUCUUUUCAUCUAUGUUCUAACAGUUUGUACUGUUUAGGAGCAAGCAGAGAAAAUAGGAUUGGAGGAAUAAAAAUACAAGACGUGAGGUGCCUACAAGAUGGGUUGAUUUGGCUGACCAUGGUAAAGAAGCUGCACAGCAUAUUUGGCUGCUGACUAUGAAACCUGUCAUUUACGUUGCUAAUGUUAUGUCACAGAACAAGACAUUCAAAUGUUGCUGAACCUGAUAGCAAUCCUCGUGUCAAAGAGGUGGCUAAAGCAGCAUCUGCCGUCCUGUCUGAGACCCUACGCAUCCAACGCCGCCUUUUGCUCGAUGCAGCCACAGCCCAAGACUGCAAGUCCAACCGCAAGAACCCGCCGCCGAGUCGUCCUUUUCGUUCACCGACGGCGACAGCGCGACUGUGAUGGGCAAUUGCAAUUUGCACCCCACGGCGCGCCAGCGAGUCAGCGCCGGCCGCGUCAGGAGCGGAUUGACGCCGGCGACCCCUCCACGAAGCCGCGAACGAACCAUGCUCUCCCCAUUCGUGGACCGGUCUCCCUGCGCACUCGCCGAACGGCCCAUGGGCCAUGGCCUUGACAGACUAGGCGACAGGGAGGAGGGACUUGCGGUUGGGAGAACAUAUCCUGUGUUACCACCCAUUAGGGUGUUACCGUGUUACCAAGUCCAAAAUACAUGUCUACAGUGAUCGAAACAUUCCAAUAAAAAUAUGAAUAGAUAGCUCAUGUCAUAUUAUACCAUCAUGAAAAAUUUGAGAUGCAAAAGAAACUUAUACAAGAUGCAACAAAAAAGUGAAAUCGGCACAUGAAUAGUGCUACUUGCAACUAUUCAUCACAGACCCGCAACCCGCUACUGUUUAUGUGCCGAUUUCAUUUUUUGUUGCAUCUUGUACAAAUUUCCGUUUCAUCUCAAAUUUUGCAUGAUGGUAGAGCUAUCUAUUCAUAUUUUUGUUGGAAUUUUUCGAGUAUUGUAGACAUGUAUUUGGGAUUUGGUAACACGGUAACACCCUAAUGGGUGGUAACACAGGAUAUGUUCUCUCGCGGUUGGCACUUGGCAAUACCACUACUGUCCAAGGAUCACACACAGAUCACCACUCGAAUCAGGUCUCAUCUGCACAUCAUGGUCUGCUAGUGCCAUCCGGCCCGCUGACUGCUGGUUACUCCAACGUAAACUGAUUACUGCGGACAAAAUCAAACAAACCGAAACUCCCUCUGCACGUCAUGGUAAAAUGCUUCUACUUUGCUACAGCCUACAGCAUGGAGUCUACUAGCAAAAGGGUUCAAUCUGCCAGCAAUCUGACACACAGGCGUUGCCUUUCCAUGCUCUCUGUUUGCAUUCGCAGGACCAGGAGCCCACAUCUCCGCAGGUUUUCCGAGGGAGACAAACUCUACCACAAUAUACGAAACCAUACAAAAUGGAAAAUAGCAGAUAUACAAAAUGAAACCAUCAACUCAAAUGAAAGGGCAGAUAUAUAGACAUCAUCAGCGAAGCAUAAGAGGACUCAUCAACUUGCAAACUGAGCAUUCCCAAGUACCAUAGUUGCCACCAGCAUUCAUUAAUUUUAUCCAUAUUAAGUCGACUUGAAACUUGUUCAGCUGUGUAGACGACAUAACAUAAUAGCUAACAUUAGACUUGUUCAGAAUAUUACAUAGUAGACCAUCAUCCCCCAGAAGAUCCAGAGGUGUACUGGAUAUGGCUGCUAUCAUUCAGGGAGCGACCAAGAGUCAGUCGGUGUUGAGGGACAGCUUCAAUCUUCAGGUUGAGAUAACUACCAAUCGCCUCUCAAAGGGAAAGAGACAGAUCCACAGUCAUCUACAAUCAAAACAAUUGAUGAUUUGAGAAUUUCUGAGAUGGAACACACCAGACAUACAGAUUUAAACUAAUAGGCACCACGUAACAGUUUCAUACCACAAUAAGUUGGACGCGAUUAAACUAUAGUUUUAUAACACCCAAAUGACAGAGAAAUGGGCACUUGAAAAAACCAAUUAAGAUCGACCGGGUCUGUCCCAAUUUUUGCAUCAGUCCAAAUUAUAGAUGUGGUUCAACACUUUUUAACCCACAGAAAAUACAUAUCAUAUCUACAACCGUACCUAACAAAAAUUUUCCCCAUCACCCACCAUGGAUGGAACGUCUACCGGAACUACUUCUCUCAGGGUGGUUCUUCUUCGGCGGUUCCUGCCUUCCCUGCUUCCACCGCCACCCCCGACGACGACGACUUGGAUCUUCUCUCCCAGACACCAUCGCAUGUACUGGCGGCCCCCAACCUCUCAGCUGGGAGGGUGCACAUGGAGAACCUGGAUCUCAACUCCCAGGGUGAGGGUUUCCCCUUCCUCGACGAGUACUCAGGUUGCCUGCAGUGGGAAGGAGGUCGCGGCGACCAAGGGCUACCUCGUCUUGGACCGAGCGGAGAUGGCGGCAGAUCCGGCACAUUCUAGCCUCCUCAAUAGCUUAAACCUGAAGUAAGGGAGGAUGUUCACAAAUAGGAAUUUGAACGUGCGAACGGAAUUGCAAAAGACACCGAUAGGUAAGACCAACUCUGACACAUCGGUGUUUUAUUAUGUCCAUAUCCUUUAUUUCUUAAAAUAUAUGUUUGUAUAUUUAUAUAGUUGACAAUUCAUCCUAUCACAUAUUUACCACAAUUUUCAAAUGGAUGGCUUAUUUUAUAGUACAUAGCCAGGUGGGAUAGUUCUCUAAACGUGCACAUCUAUACGGUGAGUAAAUAUACUUUGUUGUACGUUCCUUUGUGAUUUUACAAUAUACGAUAAAUCCCAUCACACAAGAGCUUUACUUGAAGUAAAAACUCACCUUAUGUAUAGGAUGCUAUUACGAUGCGGCGUAACUUCUUCAUCGAUCUUUUGGCGCACGAAGUGAAUGCCUAGAAGACAAGACUACCUGGCAUUGUAAAACAUUAUCUUUGGCGCAUCACAGGCAAAAAAUUAGGAUAGAUGGGGGUGGUCCUUGGAUGACCUGUCGUACCAUGCUUUGUUCAAUGCCAUAGCUACGAUUAUCUAUAUUCGUACUUGUUUCCACGUGAUUAUUUUCCUGCUGAAUCCAAUGUUGAAAGUUGUUCAAGUUGCUGUUGGAGCUUGCUAGAAACGAAUACAAUGUAAAGGUGAUUAACUAUCAUAUAUCGUUUAGGAAUUGGUCACAUGAUUGUUCUUUUGCAAGUUAAGAUAAAAAAACAUCCAAGCAUACUGUCCUUAUGUUAUUACUCAUUGCAAAGUCAUUUUUUGUUUCACAUUGGAGGCAUUUCAAAGUUAUUACUCAUUCCAAGGUUGUAUGACUUAAUUAAAAUAUAGUGUUGGAAUUAGCUGAAACCUUGCAGAAACAUAAUGCAUUUGUCCAGGAAAAAAAUGCAGUUUGUAGAAGCAAAUAUUUUACACGAUAAUGUUUGAUGCUUAUAGACGAAAUUUGUUUUGCCCGCAGCAACAUACGGGCACAAUCCUAGUUAAGAUAAAAAGGAAAAACAAAGCUUAAGUUAACGAGUUGUGCCUACAUAAACUCAGAAGGUACCCUUAGUUCAUUAUCUCGCAGCCUAGUAUAGACAACAAUGUGAAGUACGAGAAUUUAUAGUAAAAUUACUGAUAUAAGUUUGAGAAUCAUACAAUUUAAGUGUACAAAAGUAUUAUUGUAUCAAGAACGUAUAUUCAGAAUCACUUGAUGUAUGCAUAGUUCCAUCUUCUUCAUCCUACUCUUAACUAUUUAGGUGCCCAGGUGUUGCAACGGCUUCUAAUUUCCUACACCCCCACAUAAUUCAUUCUUCAUAUGAUGAGAAUGUGAAUUAAAAUAUGACAUUUAUUGGUACUAGGGUUACUCUUGAUAAUACAACCAAUUUUGCAAUGACAUGAGGACCUAUGGUUAAACAAUACGCUGUAAUAGUUUUGGGAAAACAAUGGUCGAUUACCGUGGUUUGCACUUUACUAAAUCAACAACAGGUUACGUAUAGACUAAGUAGCACCUUUGUAUAUACAAAUUUGACCAGUGGCUGAAUAGUACCUGCUUCAGACAGAUAAGGGAAAAAACAACAAUACAGGUUUCAAAAUAAAAAUGGUUUCAUGUCAAACAAGAGAGAGGAAUUAAAUGGGUUAAAACGACAGAUUUAAUCAGAGAAAACAAGUCGCAAGAUUGUCCUUAACAACAAUUUUUCACACGUACAAUCCCAUCUACGCGAGCGGAGGAGACGAGCCCGCUGGGCUCUGCAGCGACGUGCGUACUGGUGCUGGUCCUCCCUCGUCGUCGCGCUGCCGUGUUCCGGUGCAGCCCCCGCCCUGCUUGCUUCUUUUCUCCUCGGUCGCCGGCGAAAAGAGGUUUGCCUCCGGUCGCCCUUGGCAGAACGCGCACUGCAUACUGCGUGGCAGGCGCCAGGCGGCCAGCCCCGACCAGCUGAUCUCUGCCUGCCUGGCCUUUGCGCAGCGCCCAUUCCCCCCUGCCCGGCUGCCCGCCCCUGGGCGGCCAAAUCUGGCCAUGUGGCCUUGCAGCGUGCGCUGUUUCGCCAGGCUAGAGACGGAGGGAGAUCAUGCUCCGAACGUUCAUGGACACGUCUAUCUACCUAGGAUUGCUGCUACAGGUUUGGUUUGAAUUGGUAUACGUGAGCGAGUCUAGCUUAGGAAUAACAGCGUACAUUUUUUUUUUAAAAAAAGAAGAAAAUAGCAACGUGCAUAUACGGUGGAUAAUGCAUAGCCAGCAUAGGGUACCUUAUCUGCGAUCGAGCCGUUUGAAGUUUUAACUGCGUAUUAUACGGAAAUAUCAGCCACGUACGUGUAAUCAGCCGUUGUCGUGUCCUGGCUACGUACGCUGCUUCGGAAGAAGGCGUCCGCUGCGGUGAUCGCGUGAGCGGCAAGGCCACGUGGCCGGGCGGGCGGUUGGCAGGGAUCAGCUGGACAGGGCUGGCCGGUGACGACGCUGCAUGCAGCAGAGGGCGCGGCAGGAUAGCGCGUCGCGCCAAGGGCGCCCAGACGCGAAUCCUGUUUUUCCGGCGACCGAGGCGAAAAGCAACCGCCCCCUCCCCUCCCUCGCCCGGCGUCCGCUUGCCAUUCCCGUCUCGUCUCUCGUGAAUGCGCGCGGCGCGGCGCGGUUGGUGGCAAAAAGCAAGCAAGGUGGCCAGGCGGGGGGGUGCGGGGUGCGAGCCGUGCUGCGUCGGUGAUCCUGCGCCGGGACGGGCCGAGCGGCACACGGCACCGCGCGCAGGCGGCGAGACGGUGGUGGCAGGAGCCCGGCCGGCCUGCUGCCCCGCUGCAGGCGACGACGCGGACCACCACGUCGCAGGUAGCGCGCGCUCUCGUCUCGUUCGCUCGCACGGUCGCCCUCGCCCUCGCGCGUGCAUGUAGCCACACGUGGCACGCGGCGACACGUACCAGAUCGAGGCGCCGUAGCCAAGAUGGGAUGGGAAGGCUUCUUCUCGAGUCUUGGAUGCGGUGUCCUCUUCCUGGCUUUUGUCCUCUUCUCCCAAGUCACGGCCAAGAGGGGAGCGAGGGUUCUACUAUAUUUAUCUCCUUUUCCCCCUUUUGUUUUCAUGAAGGAAAUUACUGCAAACUUAGGCUGUCUGAAGCCCUGAACUCCUAUUUUUUUUCUUUGUAAACCAUAGCUUAUCAUUUUGGUGCAUGUUUUGCGAUGGGUGGUCUCAAAAAUUCGAAAAAUAAAUUUGAACACCAAACGAUCGAUGUCCUUGCCACGUACACGUAGUUUGAUGAGGCUUUUCCUCCUUUUUGAAGGUGCCAGUUCCAUUGGAUCUGAAAAGCACACCUUUUACAUUGGUAAAAGAUAAAAAUUUACAAAACAGUUGCUUGUGGUAUGCUUUUGGUUAAACACAUGCGGGUUAAUUCAGACGUUGGAGUUAUGUGUUGAAGCGGUUUUGCAGGAGAGGGUCUUUUAUGCUGUGCUUGUUAGGAAGGAGUAGCACUGGUUUUGAGCUUCGUUUGUAAAAUGGUAACCCUAGUCAUGGUGUAAUACUCUUACAUUAUGGUUUCUAUGAAGCUAUAGACUGCAAAGUCUGUUACCCAAAAAGAUAAAAAUUAAAAUUACACGACUUGUUCACUCGAUAUACCAUAAAGGUGCAUGUGCAUGCACUCAACAUUAAAGAAAAAGAUCAAAACCCAUCAGAUAAACAUCUCCUGUUACUUCCUACACGGAGACAAAAAGGAAAAAAAAAAUCUGGAACGGCACAUCAUCGAUCUCUGCCUCUCUUGCAUGUUUUGGGGUUGUUCAGCUUUGCUGCCAUUUUUUUUUUGAAAAAAAAGCUUUGCUGCCAACUGGUCCACGCAGGCCAAAAGGUCCAGCACUGGCGUGGAAGAGCCGGCGAGCAUGAACGGGACCGUAGCCGCUCUUUCUUUUUUGAAAAUGCACCACGAAUCCUUGAACUAGAAAUGUCAUCCAAGUCCCUGAACUUUGAAAAUGCACAUUGAAUUUCCUAACUUGCUAAUUGGUUCACAUGAGGUCCAAAUCUUCGUAACCCGCGUUAAUCCACCUACGUGGCAUGCUGCAUGUCAGUUUUCUCUUCCUCACCUCUUCCCCCACCUCUCUGUCUUUCUCUCUCUGCAACGCUUGUUUGGCUGCCCGCGCCGCCCCCUCUUCUCCCCGAGCCGACCCCUGCCGCCUGCCGUAGCACCCCUGCACCUCGCGCCGCUCGCCGCUGGCACGGGUGCCCCGCGGCAAGGUCAAUCGGUCGCUCCCGACGGCGUGUAGGAGAACGAGGCCACAUGCGAUGCACGCGGCAGCGCGGAGGGCCCUGGGCGUCGUCCCAGUGGCCCGGGCGUGGACCACUGGUUGCCGGCCCAUGGAGGCGCUCAGCCUCGGAGGCGAGUAGCUCAACAACAUGCUGGGGAGGGACACUGGCGGCAGCGGGUGGCCCGCGGCGAAGCGGCGCGAUAGCAUGGCUGGGUUGGGCGGUGGCCGAUGGCCCGCGGCGGAGCGGUGCGAUAGCAUGGCUGGGUUGGGCGGUGACCGGUGGCCCGCGGCGUGACGGCAUGGCUGGGGGAGGGCGCUGGACGGCGGCGGCCCGCGGCGGAGCGCGCGCGAUGGCAUAGCUAGGGAGCGACGUGAUUUCAACGAGCAGGACCAUGAAUCGGAGUCGGCGCGAACGAGCUUGAUGCGACGGCAGCAAAUCGAAGUGGUCAGCGGUGGGAGAAAGACUUGGGUGAGCAUCGUGCGGCUGCCAUCCUUGCGAGCUCCACUAUUGGUGCCGGUGAGAAGGCAGAUUGCACGAGCUCGAGCGUCGCCAUCAAGGUUCUGAGGUGGAGCGCCGCCGCCGACGCCGAGGGCCUCGUGGUACCUCCGCGUCCCUCGUCGAUGCUGGGACCGGAGCAGCCUCACCCGCUGCAACCUUCCACCCCUCUGCUUUCUUACCUCCGCGCGCUAGCCCCCUCCCAUUAUCCUCCCCUUUUCUCCUCCACCUCCUCGGAAGGGCCCAUAGGGCAGCGGUGGCCGGCGGAACGGAGGCCGACGGCUGCGUACCGGAGAGGUAGAGCAGCGUGGCCAGCAGACGGCGGCAACUGGAGCCCGAGGUCGAGCGUUGUUGUCCACCGCUGCCGAGGGGCUCGAGUGCCUCCUGCCAGAGAUGCAGAUCUCGACGACGGAUAAGGAGAGAGGGGUGGGCCUGGCAUGUGGCCCAGAUGUCAAGUCCACGUCAAUGACACAGUGCCACGUGGGCAAUUUAACACAUGUUAUGUUGAUUUGGACCUGACGUGAACCAAUUAGCAAGUUCAGAAAUCUUAAUAUGCAUUGGCAAGAGAUCGUGCCAAUGUGCAUCAGAUGUAUAGUUUGGACGUGCCGGUGCCUUCCAUUGCUCUGCUCGGUUAGGGUGUUCUAGAAGUUGCUCAAACAUACACCUACACCUACAAAUUUGUUUUAAAACUCCAAAACAUCUAAAAUAUGAUUUUUGUGAUGAAUUUUGGCCCUUUUAAGAAACUGGCCUAUUUUCAUUUUAUUAUGCACCCAUUUCAACACCCAUGACUGAAGUACCCAAAUCAAUCCAAGAGAGUAAGAGAAGACCGAAGCAAGGGGAACGCAGGAGUGUGGGAGCUAUGCUGCACAGUGGCACAAGAAAAAGCCCCUCCGAGCAGCCGCAAUGUAUAACCGUGAGGGUGGUGCUAGGAAUCUGACACGUAAUGAAGUUGCCAAACUUCUCAUUCCUCUCUAGUGUAUAGUCACACAAUAUUAUAUAAAAAUUAGGUCCUGCAGAGAAUAAAAAAUUCAUCAAAUAACUUUCAUCUCUCCCCUUUCACUCACUUAGGAUAUCCGGAGUGUAGGAAUAGGGAUCCUAAGAAGCUUAGGACCGACCCUACACAUACCACAGCCGGUCCUAGGAGGGGAUCUUAAGGUCAAAAGGCAAAUACCCGGACUCAAGCCAAAGGCUCGGUCUCAAGGAAGAAAAAACUCAACGAAGGACGGUGUGGGGGCCACAGGGUGCGCAGGAGGGCGUGGCACAACUCCUGCAUGUGGACGGUUGCGCGGGUGGACGCAAUUUUUUUAUCCUGAAGCGGGACCCACUCCUAAAGACCGGUUCGGUCAUAUACAUAGCAGGCCCGAUCUCAUCCCACCGUGGGGCCUAACAUUAGGACCGGUUGGAUCCUGUACACAUCGAAUGUCCUUACCCCACCACCUCACUCAGAGCACCCUCCUUCCUAACGUGAAGCGUCGUGAGAAUCUUUUUUUUUCUCUCUCCUCGGAGCACCCCCAGAUCCCAACGCUGGAGCUGCUCUCGUGAACGUGCGCUCCAACUAAAACAUCCAUGAGCAGGAUAGGAUCGGAAGCGCAAGGUGUCCAUGUACUGCUGAAACGUUCCCCACAUAGCCAAGUACAAAACAGGGAACACAAGAAAAGAAGAAAACUGGAUCUUGAAAACAGUACAAAAGCAACAACCAAACGGGAGGAGGCCAACACACACAACAUGCUUGGACCUGGUGCGCGAAGAACGGACCGUGGGUGGCAGGUUUCGUUGAAGUUAACAUACCAGUCCCUCUUAUAGAAUAUAGAUUCAAAAUGCGCCAAACCAAUCCUUAAGUUUUAGUUACACUAGUUCUUUUGUCCUUAAUUCUUAGACCAUGCAGCACCUCUUUAGAGUUGUUUUUGAAGCCAGACCAAAUGGCCGACCGGGGCAGUGCAGGGUCAGGGUGGCAGAGGUCAGGGGCUUGCUGAUUCGUCUCUCUUGCUGGUAGCAGUAGAGGGCGAAGGCGGAGAAUAGGGGAGAGAAACCACCCCACUCGUGCAUCAUGAGUUCAUGACUCGUGGGCGUAGGCGGCCCACUUGUCACACGGCCAGAACUACUCCAUCACCGCCAAACAAGAGAUUUGUCUCGGGGAAUUUCUCAUACCAUGAGCUCUUCCUUAUCAUCGUGAUUCGUGAAGCUUUCCCUGUCCGGCUCGCUUCGCUGCUCAGACGACCGUGUAGGAUUUGUCACUCCACCGAAGAAGUCGGAACGGAGGUCUACCGAAAAGAGGCCGAAGUAUCAUCUCCUCCUGCAAAAACCCGUCUCACAGUUUUUUUAUAAAAAAACACCUCCUUUUUAUUAUUCGAUUCGAUGCCGGUAGAUCCCUUGCGACACUGCAUGGGCGCGCAGCCAGGAGCCAACACACUACACACCGCAUAACUCGCCGUCGCCGCCUGGUCGUUGCCGUGCUGUACGGGGCCCGCCGGAGACGGCGACGGGCCGGCUCGGCAUCGGCAGGCCGCGUGCCCACCCUUGCGCAGGCCAAGUACGUGACCCCACAGCGAUAUCCACCUGACAACUCCACGUACAUGUCGGGGCCCAGCUCGAUCCCCCGCGCCGGGGUUGGACGAGGUGACCGAGGACGAUCGCGCCGGGUGCGGUGCACGUCCUGACGACUUGCAGGCUGCAGCUGCUGUGGUCCGGGCCCGCGGAGAACACCGUGACUGCUCUGGUGGAAGCGGCACGCGAGGACGCACGUCCCGAUGAGCCGGGUCUGCCGCACUGCUGGGUGGCUGGCUCUGGCUGGCGCCGCUGGGCUGGGCGCAGUUCGGUCCACGGAGUACUUGGCCAGCAAAAUAGAGUAGGCGUUUUGUUAGUUCGAAACAUUCCUCUAAUCGCUCUAUCCUUCAGCUCUCCUCUGGCUGAGCCAAAACAAAGAUUCGUAACUUCGAAUUUGACAAACCGUGGACGAAUUCUUCUUCAUGCAAAGGAAAGGUGCACGGUCAGGGAGAAGUCUUCUAUACAAGUCACUCACAUGUACUACUCUAUUGUAGGCGCGUGCCGCAGCCGAUUCAAAUUCAACUCUUUAUCUUUCUAAAAAAAGGGGAAAAAAUUCAACUACGUAUGGCGCAGCUGCCCACAGUCCAAACUCCAGACCUCCAAAUACCGAAAAAGCGACGAGGUGGUCAACGCUUUUCCAUGACCAACGCCACACCUAGCGUAAACCCUCAAGUCAGCCAUCUCCGUCUCCGUCUGUAUAACAUGCUCUGCUGCAGCUGAACAGCCCUGCAUACUUGGGCGGAGGGGAAAGGUAGGCGACGGAACCAACGCAAUCUCUGACCUCUCUUUUCGGCAAACCAUGGCGUCGCGGCUGUUGCUCCAGAGGAUCCAGUCGGCUGGCAGUCUGUCCGGCGGCCAUGGCCGGCGGCAGCUGCUCAGCUUCAGCUGCGGCGAGGGGCUCUGCAGUCCUCUUCCACCGGCCGGUGAUCGAUCGGUCUGCAGCAGUGCCUACGGGCAAAUCAAGAUGGACACCAGGAUCACGGUUUGUUCCUUUUUCUCCCUUUCUCAAGUUCAAUUCCAGAAUCAUAGCACCUAGUUAAAUUUCGGUUUUGCAUACCUUCCAACAAGAAAUGCGUUCAGAUAAUUUCAUCUGGACCCAUUUCUGUGUUGAUACCUUUUCUGUCCCCUUCUUUGCGUGUAUGUAUCCAUCGUUUCUGCUGAAAAGUCUUCUGAGCUUGCUGCUUGCGAUAUACGUGCAGGACCACGAGCCACAUCUCGACAGGUUUUCAGAUCCCCAGGUUGCUCAGGAGGACCGUCAGUUCAUUCAGUUCUUGGACAGGAUGCUGGAUGCAAUAAAGAAUCCUCAAAGUCUUGCACGAAUUCAACGUGGGAAGCUUGCAAAUGGGCUGGAAGCUUUGGAUGAUGACAUAUGAAAGUUCCAUCUGCAGAAAUACAAGAGCUGAAUAAAUGUGAAAAGUUGUGUUGUAUAAAGUGACCCUGCUGUGUCUUGAGACUAACAAUGCACAACCUUAGUGUGUGAGACUGAUAUUGUUGGCAUAUACCUACUUGAAGUAAUUCCAUUUCUUUGAAGUGCUUUUGAAUAUCAAAUUGCAAAUAAUUUAAUACUGAACUACGGUUCGCUAAUAAAUUGCAGGCUUACCUUUCCUCAAAUGAUUUGGCCAAUUCAAUAGCCAGUAGAAGCUGAAUAGUACAGUAUCUGCCUUCAUACUUGUGCCCAAACUUUCAUAAUGCUUGCAAGUAGCAACUGAAGCAAAUGAUGGUGAUUAUCACAGCCUCUCAGGAAGACAUCUGAACAUGCGAAGCUUCUCCUUGAAAAUCUCAAUAUCAAACAAAAAACUUUCCUCAAAUUUUCCUUUGGUUUUCUGCAUCUUUUAAGGCUUGAGAAUGGCAUAUAUCCCUACAGGUUGCAGGACGUAUGUUGCUUCGGAUAACGAGAAAGGAUUGGCAAAAAAAUUGCACAAUAGAGAAUAAAGUACUGUAUAUUCACUGGAGAAGCAUACAAGCUAAACUGCAGAACUUGGCACAGAAAACUGUCACCGUUACUCAUGAAUCCAAUGAGCUUGUAAACUGGUAUCAAGGCACCAUAUCAGGGCAAAGGGAAUGUAGGGACAACGUGGACCUGUCAGCAUGCCAUGGAAUCAUUUUUAUUUCUGUAGAAGCAUUUGAACAGAAGAAAGAAAAAAGGAAUGCAAAUUUUAUUGCUGACAACUUCCAGUUAUAUCCUUGCCACAAAUGAGAAUGGCAAAGUUCAGACAAUUAUCACAUGUUAAUAUUGAGAAGUUUUAUUGCUGAUGACUUCCAGUUCUAUCAUGGAAAGUUAUUGGCAAAGUUCAGACAAUUAACUAGCAUGCAAAUUUUAAUGCAAAGUUUUGUUUAAAGUUAUUAGCAACCAAAAAGGAGGCCUGGAACACCUUUAUCAAGUCUGAGACUGAGCGUAUCCAUUAUCUAGCAUGCAAAGUUACAAAAAGGUUAACUUAUACUCACCACUUCUGAAAAUGUAAACUGCAGGCAGCUCUCUGUAUCACAAAGUGUCCUUCCUUGAUUUUCCAUAGAAGAGCAUAUCAGUGCCACAGGGACAAAUCAAAUUGUCAAAACCUACGAUGCUCAAAUUUUUUUUUGUCAAAACCUAAAAAAAAUAAUGACAUAAGAACAAAACAAGUUGCAUAGAGAAAACUGAGGUUAUAAAUGGACAUAUCUUGCCAGUAUGAUAGAACCUGCAAUUCCAGAUAACACAACAGCACAACAAAGUAGAUUAAUGCCUUUAAAAUGGCAUAGCUCUAGUUCAAUGACAGAAAAUGGUACUAAAAAAUAGCAUCGAGGGACUAUAUCUACCAGAAUGACAUCCCUAUAGCUAGUUUUAUACCACUCGACGGGAAAAACGUAAGAAGCUGCAGUUUUAUCAAUUUUCUAUAAUAAUUACUAAAUGUGAAACAUAAGAUGUUGCCAUUUUGUUCACAUGCUAGAAUAAUUACAUAACUUUGAUGGCUCAAUGGUAUCCAUUAUUCCAGUGUCUGAUUAAAUUGAAGUUUGUGCGUGGAUAUGCAGAAAGGCAGGAAUAGGAUUUCACAGCUGGCAAAACAGUAGCACUGCAGUCAAGACAAGUAUUUUCAUUACGUUAAACAAAGAAUGAAGGUGCAUAACAAAUCCAAAAAAAAAAUUCUGGAACUAUCAAAGCUGACCUGUGUGCUGUUAUUUGGGUGCAUGGGGUGACAUAGCUCUGGUCUCGGAACAUAGCCUUCCUCUCUUAGUUCUUGAAGAAGGCUCUUCAAGGACAUGUAGAUAUCUUCAGAAUCAGGGUGGCUUUUAUCUGCUGCAACAAAUAAAUGGCUGCUGUUAUUAACAUCUACCCAGCUGUAUCCAGGUAUCUUCUGGACUUUAUUAUCCUUCAUCAGUCUUCUAACUUUUGAUACACCAUCCCAUCGUCCAGCAACUGCAUUGAUAUUGGACAUGAGGACAUAGUAACCAGAAUUACCAGGAUCCAACUUGAAUAGUUCUUGGGAAGCUAUGUCGGCAAGCUCAACAUUGCGAUGCACGCGGCAAGCAUGGAGAAGGGCACCCCAAAUGCCAGCAUCUGGCUUAAAAGGCAUAUCAGCAAUAAAUUCUAUAGCUUGAUCUAACUUCCCAGAACGACUGUAUAGGUCAACCAUGCAAGCAAAAUGCUCCAUUCGUGGUGCAAUUUGAUAUUCCUUAGUCAUGCAUUGAAAAAGUCGAACUCCUUCUUCAACCUGCCCAGCGUGAGCACAGGCAGAUAUCAAAGUGAGGAAUGUUACAUGAUCCGGCUUGAACCCUUCCUCUUGCAUACGAUACAAUAAACUCACUGACUCUUUAAGAAGACCAUGAGCUCCAUAGGCAGCAAUUAUACUGUUCCAUGACACUUCAUUCUUAUCAGGCAUGGAUUCAAAAACACGAAGAGCCAGAUCCAAGUUCCCACAUUUGCCAUACAUGUCUAUCAGAGCACUCUCAGCGAAUAUGUCUGCCCUUAUAGGACCCUUUAUGAUAACACCAUGAAUCUCUUUUCCAUAAUAUAUAGCUGGUAAACUCGCGCAUGCUGAUAGGGCAGAAGAUAUAGUUACACUAUUGUACUUUAUUCCUUCCAUACUCAUUUGACGGAAAAGGUCAAGAGCUUCUUCUGGUUCUCCAUUCUGUGCACAGCUUGAAAUCAUUGAGUUCCAUGUCACCUCAUCCUUCACAGACAUCUUGGAAAAGAUAUAAUGGCUAAGGUCCAGUCUGCCACAUUUUGAAUACAUGUCCAUUAGUGCACUCUCAACAUAACAUUUUCCUUCAUAAGCAUUUCUUAGAACAUAACCAUGGAUCUCCUGACCAAGAGCCAUAGCAGCCAUGCUAGCACAUGCUGGUAAGACACUAGUUACAGUAACAGCAUUUGGUUUGAUGCACUGUUCUAACAAGUACCGGAACAUUUGCAGUGCCUCUUCAAUCAUCCCAUUAAGAACAUAACCUGAUAUCAUUGUACUGCCAAUAACCACAUCAAUAGCCCAAGCUGCAUCAUAUACAUUCUGUGCCAUCUUCACAUCCCUGCACUUGAAAUAGAUGUCUACCAAAGCACUCACCAAAAAGACAUCCAUGUGCACAUAGUUCCUGAUAAUAUAACCAUGUACCUCCUUCCCCUGCUUGAAACCAUUCAAGUCAGUCAAAGCCGGUAACAAACUGACCAGCGUAACUGAAUCUGGUCGAACACCACUCCUCUGCAUAUCACAGAACAAUCCCAAUGCCUCAUCAAGAAGCCCAUUUUGGACACAUCCUGAGAUCAUCCCGUUCCAGGUUACCAAGUCAUCCCGUGGAAUCAGGUCAAACAAUCUCCAGGCAUCAUCCAAGCACCGGCAUUUGGCAUACAUCGAUAGCAAUGUGUUAGCCACAGCCACCACCGGCUCUAAACCACAUUUCACUGCCAGAGAGUGAAGCUGCACCCCAGACAGCAAAUCAGCCUCUGCGGCACACAAAGACAGAAAGCAUGCCAGUGUCGCGAAAUUGGGCUCACAACCGGAUGCCCUCAUGUCCCGGAAUAAACGCACCGCCCCAUCCACAUCUCCAGCCUUUAUGCAUCCGUCCAUCAUCACGUUCCAAAGCACGCAGUCCCGCUCCGCCAUUCCGUCGAACACCUCGCGCGCGUCUCGGAGGAGGCCAGCGUCAGCGUACAUCUUGAUGAGCGCGCUCCCAACGUACACGUCGCGGCCGAGCCCGAUCCCCCGUGCCGUGCGGUGCACGAGGCGGCCGAGGACGACCGCGCCGAGCGCGGCGCAGGACUUGACGACGUAGGGGAGGGUGUGCUCGUCCGGGCGCGGCGCGGCGGGGUGACUCCACAUCUUGAGGUAGAACAGAACGGCAAGGCGGUGCUGGCCGUCCGCCGUGAACCCGCGGAUGAGCCAGUUCCAGGGCCGCGCGGACGCGGCGGCGCCGCGCGGGAGCGCGGAGAACACCGCGACGGCGUCGCGGAACCGGCGCGCAAGCACGUACAUGCCGAUGAGCCGGGUCUGGAGCGCCGGGUGGGAGGCGAGGGCGCCCGACGCGACGGCGCGCGCGUGGAUUUGGAGGCCUAAAGGGAGGUGGGACGCGGAGACGCAGCCGCGCAGGAGCGCCAGCAAGCGGUCCGCGGAGGGGGCGUUCGCGACGGCCGCCGCGGUGGAGAAGGUAGUGGAGGCGGAGCGGCAUGGCCGCGGCGGAGGCUUGAGGCGGCGGUGAGCGAGGCGCAUGGCGACGCCGACGGGGCGUCGAGGGCUCGAGGCCGUCGCCGUCGAGGAGGGGGAUGGCGAGGCGGCGAACUGACCCAGCGUGCUGCGGUUUGAUUCGAGCUCUCGUGGCUUCAGUUCCCGCACGUGCCCUUGGAACCCCCUCACGCGCCGCUCACGUGACAUCCAUUAUCCAUCUCGCAGCUCUCGUCUCUGGCAACCGUUCGCCCCGGUCGCCUUCCCGCGCCGCUCACGCACUCCUCCCGGCGCGCCCAUGACGACGGUGUCGCGCGCGCUCGGCUCCGCGUUCGCGGGCUUCACGCGGACCCCUGUCGCGGCGCCGGCCGCGACGACCCUGCACUCCCCGUGCGGCUCGUCGGCGCUGCUCCGACACUGGCAGUGGAGCCGGGCCAGCCGCGCCCGGCGGUUCUCGUCCGGCCGCGCGGCACGGAUUAGCAUGAGCCUCCGUGCAGGAAUUGUCGGGCUGCCCAACGUCGGCAAGUCCACCCUCUUCAACGCCAUUGUGAGUAACCAAGCCUGCUUGUUUCGCUGCUUCCUGAGGAGGAAUUCAUGUUGUAAAGAACAUUUAUUAGCCAGAGAUUGCUAGAGGGCAGAGAAUUGGAUAUCGGUUUUUCUUCUCUCGAUAUGUUCUUUCGGAUUCGUGCGCUGGCUUUGUAUAGGGUGGAAUGUACUAGCAUGCAUGUUGGGUGGACGUCGAUGAACGCCAACUGUUCGACGUUUUGCCACAUAGAUGUUGUUGUCGAAAGGUUGACACUGUAGGCAUGUUUAAUUUGUAAGAGUGAAUAUAUUUCACGAUUUCUCUGUUGUUUUGCUGCCGCAUAAGUUACAUUCCUGACUGCUUGCAUAAGAUGUUUCAGAUGGAGAAAUGUGUGACAUGGAUAGGAUAGGUCAUUCUCUGUAAUAAUGAAAUGCUAAUUCUGUUCUCAAUGUUGUUAGGUCGAAAAUGGGAAGGCGCAAGCCGCAAACUUUCCCUUUUGCACCAUCAGCCCAAAUGUUGGUGUGGUGGCUAUCCCUGAUCCUCGCUUGCAGGUGCUCUCAAAAUUAAGCAAGUCACAGCAGACGGUCCCAACAUCCAUAGAGCUUGUGGACAUUGCAGGUCUUGUCAAAGGAGCAAGCAAAGGAGAGGUACUAUUUUCGCCAUUCUCUUCAAUUUACCUGCAGGACAGCUCCAACUCCGCUGGCCAAAGUUUAUAUGGUUGCUGAAUGCUGGUUAGUUUAUACGUGAUGGUGUUAAUUUAUUGUUGACAUCAGGGACUAGGAAAUCAAUUUCUUUCAAACAUCCGUGAAGUAGAUUCCAUACUUCAGGUGAGUUCUUGUUGUACUUACAUUUGUUUGUCAAGUUCUAAUGUUUGUUAAUUAUUCUGUGCCACUCUGCUGGCGAUAUGUGAACUAAAAUUGCAGCCACUUCGUUAUCCAGCACUCCCGCUCACUUCUGAGGCAGAGGCUCACUAUUAUAUUUGUUUGUUUGUUGGAGAUUGCAAAACACUAGGAUAUUAAUUACCAAGGCUCUAGGAAUAACUAUUCAUUGUGACUGGAUCCUCAGGUUGUGCGAUGCUUUGAGGAUGAUGAUAUUGUUCAUGUCAAUGGCAAAGUUGAUCCCAGGUCAGACAUUGAUGUUAUUAACCUAGAGCUGAUAUUUUCAGAUCUUGAACAGGUAAUUUGGUGACACAAUCUCCAUUUCUAUUGCUAUCUAUGCCCCUGACCAACUGCUGACAGUUUUGUGAUAACUGCAGAUAGAGAAGAGGUUAGAUAAGCUCAAAAAGAGCAAAACUAAAGAUGCACAAGUAAAAGUGAAGGUAAUACAUACAUAUUAUUUUGUUGUUGAUGACCUUUUCAUCUAUGUACUAACAGUUUGCACUUUAGGAACAAGCAGAGAAAACAGGGCUGGAGAAAAUACAGGAGGCACUUAUGGAUGGAAAGCCUGCAAGAUCGGUUGAUUUGGCUGACCAUGAGAAAGAAGCUAUACAACAUCUUUGUCUGCUGACUAUGAAACCUGUCAUUUACGUUGCUAAUGUCACAGAAUCAGAUCUUGCUGAACCUGAUAGCAAUCCUCAUGUCAAAGAGGUGGCUAAAGCAGCAUCAGACCUGGAAUCUGGCAUCGUUACGAUAUCAGCUCAGGUUUGUUGUAUGCAUCUAAACUACAAGAAGCUUUUGAAGAAAUGCCUGUGAAAUUACUUUUUUUUUCCUCCCAAACGAUGUUGCCUAUCUGUAUAUACUCAAACUACGCUAAACAUAUCAUGGAAUGCAUAACAGGUUGAAGCUGAACUGGCUGAGCUACCUUUGGAAGAGAGAGUAGAAUAUCUAAAAUCUCUUGGUGUUGCUGAAAGCGGACUAGGCAAUUUGGUAAAAGCGACAUAUGACCUAUUGGGACUAAGAACUUAUUUCACAACCGGAGAUAAGGUGCAUCUUCUGUCCUGUUAAAGGUUCUUUUCCCCUGGCCGUCAACACAAAACUUUUAACUGUGUAUAUUUUUAUCAGGAAACGAAAGCUUGGACUAUUCUUUCAGGUUUCAUUCUUCUUCUUUAAAAUUCUUCAUUGUAACAAUUGCAAGGAUUGUAGGAAACUAGGAAUUAUUAUAACUGCAUGUAAUCUUACCUGUAGGCAUGACUGCGCCUCAAGCAGCUGGAGUUAUUCACAGUGACUUUCAGAAAGGAUUUAUUAGAGCUGAAACUGUAAGUGGUGUACAAAGUUUUAAAGAAUUUAAUGACCAAAUUUCAGUUUGCAUGUUAUGAUCUAUCACAGUUACAAUUGCUGAUACUUCAUCUAUUUGCUAACUUUACAAUGAUUACUUUCCGAACCUCAGGUAUCCUAUGAUGAUUUCGUUGCGGCGGGUUCACUCGGAGCAGCAAGGGAGAAAGGGCUGGUAAACAAAUUUGCGUUGCUACACCUUACAUUCUUGAGAUUUGAAGCGUGUAGUUGAAUAUACGUUUAUUUCUUGUUUAAUCUGUCAAAUGUGACUGCAGUUGAGGUUGGAAGGGAAGGAUUAUGUUGUGCAAGAAGGCGAUGUCAUGCUUUUCAGAUUCAACGUGUGACAGCAAUAGUAGCACAAAGCUUCAAAAUACCGGGACUAUGUACAAGGCAGAUUGCAGAAUACAAUUUUCCCAUACUAUGACAAAUUUUUUUGGCCUUAUGACACGACUAUUCAUGUACCGGCAUUGUUCCUUUUCUUAUGAGGGGGGAAAAUACCAUGAUUCACUGUUAAAGUAUCAUUCGCCACAUUUUGAGAAAUAUACCAUGCAAUGCAAGAGUUCUUCAGUGUAACUUCUCUAAGAAUCCCUAUUGUGUCCUUAAGGAUCACUCCAGACAUGAAACUUCUCGUUUUUCUUAAUAAAAGCAUGCGGAAUGUUGUAUGCUUGUGACAAAUCUCAUGUCAGUACUUUAUUCAAAUAAUGCUUGAAGUUCUGCGAGGAGUAUAUAUUGCAAGAUACUACUUCUAUUUCAAAUUGUAGGUCGUUUUGGUUUUUCUAGAUGCAUGAUUUUUUGCUAUGUAUCUAGAUAUAACGUUAAAGACAAAACGACCUGCAAUUUGAAACAUAUUUACUCUGUUGCAAUUUGAAACGGAGGGAGUAUUAAGUAGUGACAAUAUGGAUGGAUUCUAAAGAUGAGCUCUUAAUUGUCUUCGGUCGCUGGCUCGCUGCAAUGGCAUUUGGCCUCUAGAAACUUCUCUGUUUUUAGAAAACUUACUGGUUCAUUUAAGAAGAAAGAUGUUUAGGAGUACAAUAGGUACGAUAUCACAUAAAUAAAAGUUCUCUUAACUCUAACAUUAAUGAAUAAAAGUUCUCUUAACUCUAACAUUAAUGAAUAAAAGUUCUCUUAACUCUAACAUUAAUGAUAACAUGGAUACACUAACCCAAUUCAGGGUUCCCACAUGCUCUCUUGCGCCAACUGAUGUCCUCCUGAAUCAUGUCAAAGACUUGGUUAGGCCGCAUACUUCUUCCUUCGAAAACCCACCGGUUUCUCUCCUUCCAUAUAUUCCAAGCUGUGAAAAUGAGAUAAGCUACCACUGAAUCUCCCUUGCUUCUUGUUGAAUGGUGACAAGGAUCGCUUCCACAAGUCCUCAACAUCCACCAAGUCAUCUUCCGGUAUUUUGAUCAGACCUCCAGUCCAGUUGCUGAAACUACACUGCAAGCACAAGUGUAUUGCCGUCUCAGCCUCCUGAUCACAUAAUGCACAUCGGAUCUCACAUUGCCAAUUUCUAGCAAUCAUCUUGUCAGCGGUUAGGAUUUUGCUUUGAACUAGUAGCCACGUAAAAAACUUAUGCUUGCCCUCCGCAUGAGCCUGCCAAAUUACCUCCCCAUCAAAUGUGCCGUAAGUUCCAUUCAGCUGUCCCAUGUAUGCUGUUCUUAAAGUGUAAGAGCCAUCUGCAGUCCAUCUCCAUUUAAUCUGAUCCUCUGUUCAUUUAGAUGCACAUUCUAUAACAGAUCCCAUAAAGUGAAGAACUCCGCCAUUUGCUGUACUGUAUUCAUACGUCAAAGCCCUCUAGUUCAGUUGUGAUCAGUUAUGUCUUAUCUGACAAUUUUAUUCUUUAUCCAUGCAAGCUUGUACAAGCUUGGUGCUAUAUCUCUCGGUGCUCAACCAUCUAUCCAUGAACAUUGCUAGAACUUUAUUUGGUUUCCAUUGUCCAAAGUUACAUUUGUACUUGCCCUGAACAACUGUUUAUCAAUCUCAUCACAAGGGGUGUUUGUUCCAACCCACAGCAUGUUAGUGUCUGUCCAUUCAUACCAUAAUCAGCGCAAUCGAAGAGAUCUACUGAAUAUGUGCUGGUCAAAGAUGUCGAGUCCUCCUAGUUCCUUUGGCAAAGUUGCCUUUUGCCAUUUCACCAAACAGUGACCUCCACUGGCCUGCUCUAACCUUUCCACAUAAAGUUCAUCCUGAUCUUGUCAAUCUUUUUUAGGGCUCAUUUCUUUAGUGCAAAAACUGUGAUGAAGUAGAUUGGCAUCGAAGUUAACACUGAUCUGACCAGUGUGAGUCUUCCUGCUUUAUCCAACAAUUUUCCUUUCCAUGCAGGCAGCUUGGCUGCAACUCUAUCAAUUAAUGGCUGCACUUCCACUCUCUUCAAUUUUCUCAAACUAAGUGGCAAUCCCAGGUAUUGACAGGAAAGCUCUUUACUUGACAUGGAAAGCUCUGCAAUAUGUUAACUACAUCUAUGUUUUCACAUCAAAUCGAGUAAGCAGCACUUUUAUCCAAGUUUAUUUGUAGCCCUGACACUCAUCCAAAAGCAUCAAAAAUUUCUCUUAUGUUCUCAAUUUAUUCCUUCGCUAGAUUUACAAACACCGCAACAACAUCUACAUAUAGGCUUAUUCUGAUCUUAGCCGCUCUAUUUUGAAUAGGUGACAAUGUAGAUCAAAGCGAUCCCUUGCUCUCUCUCUAGAUCAAAGCGAUUCAGAGGAGGUGCCUGAAAGCGCCCACGGCCUCUAGCGCCACCACUACCUCUCGACGGUGAUCUAUCCCUACGUCCUCCAAGACGUUCUUGCACGGGGACACGUCUUCUAACUGAACCAUCAGGGACACCAUAAUGCCACACAAAUCUGUGUUUAACUGGCCAUUCCACCUCCAACUUAUCAUCAGGUUACCCGCUAAUGUUACUCUCACAGCUCUUGUAAGAUGGACUACUAGGCAAAGGUGAAUAGUCAAGCACUCGAUCUAAAUGAAUGGUAAUAGCAUAAUCAAGCAUCUCAACUGGCCCAUUUCUAAUGCAAGGCAUUUCAAGGUUACCCAAAUGCAUGUAGAACUCCUCUGGGGCAGUGAAAGGCUCUUCAAUUUGCAUAGUUGUUGUCUUUGCUAACCCAUUAGGAUUUGCAGUCCACACCCACAAAGCAAUCUUUUUCUUGUUUAGUUUGAUUCUCAUUGUCAAUCUCGUCUAUGAAGGAUGGGGCACUAAACAGCUGGGCUACCGACUCAAUUUGUUGUGCAUGCUUUGGCACUCCCUCAAUGCAAACCUAGCCCGGUACAGGACCUUGGAUGUUGAUGCACUAACCUGUCGAGUCCAAGGCAUGAGUCGUAGUGUUGUCUGCCCGACGGCGAGGCCCCCCCAGCUCGAGCACCAUAUUCCGCUGCUCCGGGGUGGAGAAACACAACAUGAACAUUGAGGGAGCCAGCCGCUUCACCCCCAUCUCAUACUCCGGGAUGCGAAGCUGCUGUAGAGCAUCCCGGUGUACAAUGUCAGUGGAGAUCCGAGCUCUCACGUCAACGAGGACGCAAAUGAGCGCAAUCAGCAGCAACAUCCUCUCCUCGUUGCACACCGUGCUAGAGCGCGGCGCACAUACCGUGAUGUGAUCCGGCCUGUUGCUCGCCUCCCCCAGGAUGAGCUCGGGGAAGCCGUACUCCAUUGGAGCCUUCUUGGAGGCAACCCUCUUCUCAAGAGGCGCUUUUUGCAGCUGUGACGAGGGCAUGGACGAUGAAGGUGACUUGGUGGAAGCUGCAGCAGCUAGAGACUUGGUAGUGAGAGUUGCUGUAGUGGAUGCGGAGCGGCAGUGGUGAGCUUUGUGGCCAGAGUGCGAGCACAGGAUGCACCUAGGGGGAUCCCUGCACUUAGCGAUGCAGUGGUCAGGAUCCAAGCAAUUGAAACACCAUCGCCCCGCCUUGGCCCUGAGGAGUUCUAGCCACUGUCCUUCUUGAAUGACCCUUGGUCCAAGACGCUUAGGGACGGAAGGCACUCUUGCACCCAACCUGUCAUGAAUGCUUCUUUGCCUUGCUCCGAGCCUAGACCAGACAGUAGCUGUGGUCCGGUGCGGCGCCUGUCUCUUCAUCUCAGAAUGCCAUACCUACUCACCAUGAUGUGACUUGUCCUUGGGGGACCUUGGCUUGAAGGUUUUUGCUUCAAAAGCGUAUCCUUGUAGGAGACCUUGUGAGAUGUAGGCUUUACAAAGAUGUAGGGAAUCCUGCGUUGUGCGCCAUCAGCUUUCUGUCCUCCGUCCUUGUCCCGAGAAUCUUUCUCCUUCCUUUCUGCCACUUUCUGGUCUUGUGCUGUCUUCAAUGCUGUAUCAUUGAUGUGACGAGAGCACGGGCUCUCCUCGUCGGAGUCAAAGCAGUAAUGGAGGUCGAGAGCCUCAUUCAUAAGGUGUGCUAAGGUAAGGGAGUUCUGGUUGGUGGGCGUAGCGAAGGUCUAGUUGAGAUGAUUGGUCACCAACGACGAGGCGUGCUCAGUGGUGAUUGGGACUGGUUUGUGGUUAUGGUAGAACGUCGCCGGCGAGGAGCCAGGUGGGGGAGGGGGAGCUCAGCGGAACCCAUCCCGCCACAGCCGUCAAACUGCUCUGUGCAAAAUCAUCUAUCCUCAAGGCCUUUGAGUACUGCAGAUGCAGCUGCUGAAACAGCCACCGCAAUCUGUACCGAACACUACAAAUGCACAUCACAGAAGAAAAAGCCGGCGCUGCGUACGGCAGAGCGCGGAUGUACAUAUGCUAAAAGGCCCCUGCAAAAACUGGACAGCAGAUUUGGACCCUCUUUCCCUUCUCCAGCACGCGCGCAAGCAGCUCUCACUUGGCCGCCACCGCCGCCGGAGAGAUGGAUUCCCGCGGAUUCGAUUCAGCCGGCCGCGUCUUCUCCAACGCCACAGAGAUGUGGGUGGAAGAGCUCGGCUCCACCGCCACCGCCACGACCUCCGCCGCCGCGGAAGCUGAAGCUGCCCCGACCACCGCCGCCGCCGCAGGCAACGGUGACGCCGGGGAGGAAGCGAGCGGCGACGGGAAGCGCAAGGAGUGGUACUCCAAGGCUAUCGCCUACUGGCAAGUAAAGCACCCGACUCUUCCUCCUCCCAGAGAGGCCCUGAACCCUAAACCCCCAAUACAAGUGUGCGCUCAUCGCUGCAAAUUUAGCUUAGAAUUUUAUCGAAAUGGUUCCUAGGGCGUGGAGGCGUCGACGGAGGGGGUCCUGGGAGGUUACGGGUGCGUGAACGACGCGGACGUCAAGGGCAGCGACGCCUUCCUCCGCCCUCUCCUCGCCGAGCGGUUCGGCACCGCGAAGCGUCAUCUCGUUGCCCUUGGUGAGUUUAUUACUUACAGCAUGUAGGCUUUGACUAGUGUCGGUAAAGUUUGUUUCUGUGCGAGUUUUGUUGUAUUGAUUUUGAUUCCAAUCUGUGAAAGUUGCCGUGCAAUGUUCAGUUUAUAGAAUCCUUAUGUGCAGUCUGUAAUGUUCUAUGUCAUUUUUCAAACUGUGGCAGAUUGUGGCUCGGGUAUUGGACGCGUUACAAAGAAUUUUCUUCUUAGGCAUUUCAAUGAGGUAUGCAAUUUAUCUUCUCUCAGGUGGUUUGAGGUUAUGCUUUAAUCCUGAAGACUGGCACCUUGUAGCUGUAGGCAUACCAUACCAUGGCACCGGCAAGAAACAACAUACUUCCAUUCUUCUCCUGUAUACACAAUUGAAUUGUUAUUCUAUGUUUUAUCUGUAAUAUUUGCUCUGUGCCUUAUCUGUAUGUUUUGGCCCUUUCUGAAAAUCUGGAAUUUGCCCAUCCAGGUUGAUCUUGUCGAGCCAGUAUCUCAUUUUCUUGAAGCUGCACGGGAAAAUCUUACUGGAUGUAUGGACCAAGGAGAAGACUCACACAAGGCUGCCAACUUUUACUGUGUGCCACUUCAGGUUGGUACCUAUAGAUCAUUAUCACUGGUUAGAUAUCUUCGAAAAGUUAUUCUCUCCUUUGUGUAUAAUCUAGUUUACUUCUUGCUUCAGGACUUUACUCCCGAGGAAGGAAGAUAUGAUGUGAUAUGGAUUCAGUGGUGCAUAGGGCAACUUCCUGAUGAUGAUUUCAUUUCAUUUUUUAAUCGUGCCAAGGUGAAUUGACUAAGACUUGAUUAAUUUAUUUUCAAUCCUACACUAUUAAUUUAUUUUCAAUCCUACACUGAUUUUUUGUUGGAUUCUGUUGAAUAUUUGGUUGUAGUUAAGGGCAAGUCUUAACACUUGUAUUGACAAAUAAGUGCUGUACCAUAGUUUUAGGUUUACAUAAUUCUUUUCCAUGGAAAUAAUAGCUUGCAGAUGAACUUCUUGUGCACUAGUAGAAAUAUUUUCAUUGUGUAUUUUUCAGACAUUACCUGGACAAAUGUUGUAGUCAGGGGCGGACCUAGCUCAAAAAAUGAGUGGCGGCCUGUUAGUGUAUGAGCCUUUACAAUUUCAGUAAACAGGAUCUAUGUUCACUGAAAAUAUAAACAUGAGUGGCAGCCCGUGCCCUCACUCGGCUCCAUGUAGGUCCGCCCCUGGUUGUAGUGCUAGUUGGUUAUCAAACUUUGUUCUAAGAUAACCCCAGCCCACUUUUAUACACCAUACUGUUUGCAAUCAUACUUUUUUUUUACUUUAGGCCAAACUACAGUUCAAUUGAAUGAAGCCUUCAAACUGUUAUUGUUUAUGUGCAGAUUACCAUUGCUCUAGUGUCGAUGCGUUCUAAUUAAACAUACACUUGUAACAUUCUUUCCAGGUUGGGCUGAAACCUGAUGGAUUUUUUGUUCUGAAAGAGAACAUUGCAAGAAAUGGUGAGUUUGCUGUACCAAAUAGUACUCAUCUAGAAAUUGCUACAUAGCAUUGUCUCUAAUGUUAUACUUCUUUGAGAAGACCAUAUGCUUGAUGUUGCUCAGAGUACAAAUGUUUGGUUUUUCAGGAUUUGUGUUAGACAAGGUGGAUAACAGUGUCACUAGAUCCGAUCCAUACUUUAGGGAGCUAUUUAAAAAGUGUGGAUUAUAUAUCCUCAGUGUUCAGGUAAAUGGUCAAAAGUGCCAAUGUUAUUUUGUUACAUUCUUUAUCUUUCCAAUCAUUCAUCUGAUCCUGCAAAUAAAACAGGACCAGAAGGAGCUCCCAAAGGAACUAUUUGCUGUCAAAAUGUAUGCACUGGUGACCAGUCAACCAAAAAUGCAGAAUAGUGGAAAGAGAAGGCGACCUAAAAAUAAACCUCGUAUGAUCCGUUCUUGAAAAAUGCCCAUGUUAGGUGUGCUGAUGGGCCAACUCAUUUGUAUGGUCAUGUACUAUUAUUGGUUUGCGUCAAAGUUUCUAGGACAUCAGUUUUGCAGUCUCAGUUUUGUUUCAUAUACAUUUUUUUUUUGUAUAAGCUCAAAUUUUCCUUGAGAUCAAUAUGUCCUCAAUCUCAACUGAUGUUGUAUCACCUGGUUACUGUUGAAAUGCAUGAUCUCUGUUGAGUGCAUGUUCACAUUAUUCGGAGAGGAAUAUGAUGAAGUUUUGAAUCAAAUGACCGGCAUGUGCUUUAAUUUCCUUAUGAAGUAAUGUAACAAGAUAUCGUGGAACUGGGAUUAUCUCGUGAGAAGUAAACGCCCAUUGGCAGCAAGCUGUACCUCUAAAGUUUUAAUACAUUUCUUGUGCCAUCUGCAACUGCAAGGAUAUCAUCUCCUGAUUUACCAAUCCAAAUCCCAAAUUGCUGAAUUACAUACGACUUGCCUCUCAUUUCCCCAUGCCCUUUUGAUUAACAUAAUAGCUAUAUCUAAAGGUAGCAACAUCAGUAGUGUAGUAGUGGUUUUAAUUGCAAAUGCCGUAGCUAAUGAGGAUUUUAAUCUUAACGUUUUGGGACAGUGCUGAAGCACUUGUGAGUUAACAUGAUGUUCAAAUAACAUAAUCUUCUUAUCUUCGGCACAUGGAAAUGAAUAUUUAUUAUAUGUUGCCCUAACAGUUGGUUAAGCUGUUCAUACCUUUCUCACACGCACAAUUUGAUCAUUCUCCUGAAUCUGUAAACGCAGACCCAGAGCAUCCAUCAUAUAUACCCAUUCUUCCAACUAAUAAUGCUCGACAACUCAUGAUGGGGGACCAGAGGAAGGACGGGAAGAAAGAACAUCGCAUCUGCAAGUAUCUAAUGAUCUGAUUUUGAGAACUAAAUGGAAAUAAGUAACAGGCGAUUUUGGAGACCACUGGCAAUGCUUAGAAUGAUGAGCUAAUGAAAUCACUUCACAUCAGAAUAAGAUUAACAGACAUCAGUACACAGGAACUUCGAACUGAAUGGACAUGUGAAACCCAUCGCACCAAGACAUUACUAGAAUCGUACCGCUUGAAUAUAUUACAAAUGCCCUAGAAUUUCCCAUGCCAAGAAUUCUGUUAUGUGUGUCAGUUCUUCUUCCCAGUUGUCGCCGAUGGAGGCAAUGUACCAAAAAUAGUGUCCCAGAGCGUUGAGGUGAUGCCAAAGCCCUUGUCUUGGAUUCUGAAGUGGUGGUUGAGGUGAUACCGCUGCAGAACAGGCAAAAUUGCGAGGAAUCAGAACCUUGUGGAAAUUUGCAUGGAGCAGCUAGCUGAUUCAUGACUUAAGUGGUUAUGCCCUCACCUUGAGAUGUUUUGCUGGGUCCUUGGAUGGUUGUCCAUGGUGCAGAUAGUAGUGGGUGCAAUCAUACAUCACAUAUCCCAAUAGACCACCUCCAAACAAUGCAGGAGUGGUAGAUGGAGUUGCAAAGAAAGCAACCAGGUUCCAGAACUGAAAAAGAAAACAUUGGACAGUUCGACUAAAUCAGUCAUGUUACUUCUGAAUGGUCAAAAGUUUCAUGUUAAUAAAAUCCAAUUCUAUGUUUAAUUUUAGCUUCAGGGUCAUACUGGGAAACACAAAAUUGCUGUUGCAGUAGGAGGAAAUACAAGCCUGAGAGAGUCCAUAGGGUGCUUAUGGUGGCACCCAUGAAGAAGGUAAUGUGCGGUGUUUGACCUACAACAGUGCAUCAACAACAAUUUGAUUAGCAGAAGGAAGACAUAGUGCGAUGUUGGAUCCUUCAAGGAUGAAGCAUUGUUACCAGUAGGUUUUGGUCUCAAUGUGGAAUAGGAAACGGUGCAAAGUAUAUUCAAUCAAUGUCCAAAUAAAUAUUCCAAACAGAGCUAUCAGAACUACUUCCUGAAUGGUAUGACCCAUCAGAAUAGACUUCACGAAGAAGUAGCAAACAACAGGCAGCCAUAUGGUUGGCACAGCCCACCACUUUGUGCGUGUCAAGAACUGGAGAUUCAAAAAUUCUGUUAAUACAGUUCACUUUCCAAAACCCUCGGUAUACCAAUAUGAUGGAAUACGUUACCUCCAGGACAUCAUUUCCGAAAAAACGUGGACCCUCCUUGCUGACGAUAGGUUGGUGAACCCAUUCCUGGUAACGUUCCUCAAGAUGGCCAACCUUCAUUCACAAAAUCAAGAACAAAACCAGAAUAAGGUUACUUUAGCUAAAGCGACUAAACUUCUAGUCAGAAACUCAGAAUUUAAUAACUGCAGGAGAUUCUUUCAUAAUUUACAGCAGAACCAUGUCUACCACAACUAUUGCCAAGAAACAAAAAAACACAAUCCCACAUUAGAGAUGGUUGUCAAAAAUCCAAAGUAGUACUAAACAAGCUCAAAAACAAUGAAAAAUUUAUGUGCUUGCCAAUUUCAUGAGUUACUUUGCACCUCAGCACUUACGAGCGAAAUCGUACCUGGAAAACAAGAGGCUUGUUCAGAUCAACAGUGAACUCCUGGACAACCAUCUUCCCCAACCAGAGCUGCACCACAGAAUUCCACGUUACAUGCCAAACAGAACAGUCAAGAAAAAAUAAACAGCUUCGGAAAAAUACAGCACAUACAGCACAGAGGCACUCCUACGCGCAAGACAGGUGACGACUGAAACCAAUUAUGAAUGACAACGGAGAGAGCCGGUGCCAUACCAAACUACUAGUGAGUAUCAGGCCUAAACGCAAAUGCGGAUGCCAUGAUUGCCACCUUUUCCCCCAGCCCUUGACAAGGUUCCUCUUACUAAGCAAUCCUCAGCAUGUGGCUCCAGGCACAAAACAGGCAAUCUUUAUCUCCUUUACUUCUCACCCACACUGGAUGUUCACACGAAUUUGGCAACCAAUACUUCAGUGCUAUAAGAGUGUGCUACACGAUUUUUUUUCUCAGGCAAAUGUUUACGCGAAUCUGAACAGAAUGACAACACCGUCGCAGCAAAAUGCGGCCACAGAAAUCUCGGCCUAGAUCCAAAACUUCGUGUCAAAAAGCGCGCUGCCCUCGAGUCACCAUUGCUGAACCACGAAGAUCCCGAAAAAUCCACGCAAUGUCCUACAUCUAGGAAACUAUACACCAAGCGCCAUUGCGCGAAUAGAACCAAUGCGGCCGCGAGGUCUACGACACAGAACCCGGAACAGCACGAUGGGAUCGAGAUAUGGGUUCAGGGGGACCUCACCAGCAGCGGCAGCAAUGGCGGCCCCUUCACCGGAGCCGGAGCCGCCCUCCUCCCCGGGCGGCGAGAGAGAGGAGGGGCGAACGACGACGAAGAGGAGCAGCGGAGCGGAUGACGCGAGAGGGAGGGGCGCGAAUAAGAGAGGAAGGGCGGGGGCUAUCUGGAAAAAGAAUGAGUCGCGCCUCCCUCUAGUCCCCCUCUCCUCCAGUCUGCCGCCAGAGGGACCCACCACACCCCCGUGCUGAGCUGUGCGCGUUUUGCAAUUAGUGGGGUUCUGCAGGGGUGCGCCUAUAAUUGGUGAUCCGCCAAGGGCUCUCGCUCUCUCAAAUAGAGGGGGCGCUGAUGGGGGUGGGGUGGGGCCCGCCGCCAGCUUGGCUGUGGCCUGUGCCCUGCUGUGCUGCUCCUUGAAUUUGUGAUGGGGGACGGACGACAGUGCAUAGUGAGCUAUCAGCAACGGCAAACAAAACAAAGACAAGAACACGUCCAGUCUAACAAAGCAUUUUGGCAAGAGCUGGUGCAAGAUCACCAGAUGCUCGAAGGUUUUUUACGACCCUAAGCCGUUUACGAGCCAUGUUUGGAACUCGGAGGUUUUCGAGAGAAUUCGGUUGGAGUUUACGCUAAUUUGUGCAAAAACAAAAAAAAAAUCUUCAUGCGUCGUACGCAGAACUUGAGAUCCUCGUUCCUGUUGGAUCUUUUGGAGCCGCUUGAGGGGCAUGUGCGGCACAUGUGGCGCAGCACGUGAAGCGGCAGCGAGCAAAAAUCCUCUCCCGGAGACGAUUCCUUGGCCCAAAUUUGGUCGUCGUCACUCGUCAGCUCGGGCGGGCGGUUUGCUGGGUCCGCCCACAGCAUGUGCCCGCGACCGGCGGGAUGGUUACUGGUUCUGUGCUUCAGAUCAGGAGAUCCGAUCUGGUCUCGCCUGUCGAGGUUUUCUAGGCCAGGACAUGGGGCAACGAUCCUACUACCAGGCUGGUUUGUGGUUUGUGCCGCGGCGGCACAAACCGAAUCUGAAUUUCUGAUCGAAAUCCUGAUGCCCGAUCUUGAGCAGUUGACACUGUAACUGAGCGCCUUCUCCUGGACACACAAGAGCAAAAGCUGAUGCAGAAUGACACAGGCUUUAACAGAGAUGGGAAAUCACUCACUACUACCAAUACUCGUCAGAAAUUACAGGCGACCAGCUCGAGGAGAGCACUAUCAGUGCAAAGCCAUAAGCUACUUGACCAAGGUCCACGGGAUGCGGAGCAGAAACGUACGGCGACCUAUUACAGUAGGUACAUUACAGGUGACCGCAGCCGAAGCACAGACGCAACCUCAACGACGACGACAAUGUACGUGAUCAAUCCAUCAUGCAAAAGCCACGAGAAGCAUAGAAGACAAACUCAAUUCACAGGGACACAACCUGGCCGGCGACGGCCGCUCAUCGCUAUUCGGCCACAGCUUCCUCUUCCUCCUCAUCCUCGUACUCCUCGUCAGCGGUGGCAUCCUGGUACUGCUGGUACUCUGCAACCAGGUCGUUCAUGUUGCUCUCAGCCUCGGUGAACUCCAUCUCGUCCAUGCCCUCACCGGUGUACCAGUGCAAGAAGGCCUUGCGCCUGAACAUGGCGGUGAACUGCUCGCUCACCCUGCGGAACAUCUCCUGGAUGGAGGUGGAGUUCCCCACGAAGGUGCCCGCCAUCUUCAGCCCCUUGGGCGGGAUGUCACACACGCUGGACUUGACGUUGUUGGGGAUCCACUCCACGAAGUAGGAAGAGUUCUUGUUCUGGACGUUGAGCAUCUGCUCGUCCACCUCCUUGGUGCUCAUCUUCCCGCGGAACAUGGCUGAGGCCGUGAGGUAGCGGCCAUGGCGGGGGUCGGCGGCGCACAUCAUGUUCUUGGCAUCCCACAUCUGCUGAGUCAGCUCAGGGACGGUGAGGGCACGGUACUGCUGUGAUCCACGUGAGGUCAGCGGCGCAAAGCCAACCAUGAAGAAAUGGAGACGAGGGAACGGGAUGAGGUUCACAGCAAGCUUGCGCAGGUCGGAGUUGAGCUGACCAGGGAACCUCAGGCAGCAUGUGACACCACUCAUGGUAGCAGAGAUAAGAUGGUUCAGGUCACCAACUGCAUUGUUAGAAAUCUUUAUCAGUGCCUACUUUUCAAAUUAAAUACAAAUUACAGCAUAUUAGAUCCAGAGAUAUCACAUGUCAUACAGCAAGUAAAGAAUUAGUGAUGAUUAACUUACAGGUAGGGGUGGCGAGCUUUAGCGUGCGGAAGCAUAUGUCAUACAGAGCUUCAUUGUCAAGCACCAUACAUUCAUCAGCAUUCUCAACAAGUUGGUGAACCGAAAGAGUAGCAUUGUAUGGCUCCACAACAGUAUCUGAAACUUUUGGCGAUGGGAAGACAGAGAAGGUCAACAUCAUCCUAUCAGGGUACUCCUCCCUGAUCUUAGAAAUAAGAAGGGUGCCCAUGCCAGAUCCAGUGCCUCCUCCCAACGAAUGGCAAACUUGGAAACCUGUAUAUGAAUCAAAAUGUGAUUCAAUUAUUCAAAUACAAGCAGUAUUCCAGCAUGCAAAUGUAAAAGGCAGCCUUGGACUACACAGGUUCAAAAGAUACAGGAGCAACUAAAGGUGUCAAAGAGCUAGCAAUAUGUCAGAACUGCAACACAUUAAACGAGACCAGAGUUUGUGUGCAAUCAUCAAUCAUGUUGCAACAGUUAAGUGAUAUUUGAAUUGAGUCAACAUCACAACAUACUGCCACCAUGCUUUGGUAGGCCAUGAACCUAUCUUGACAUGCUACCAGAAAUUUAAUUUGGGCAUGACAUAGUUUAUAGCAUAUCAAACAAUAAUCAUAGUGAUUAGAUUACAAAGAUACAAAGUUCAGCCCUUAUUUAUUCACCAAGAAGACAAGGGAUCUAUUUCGUCUGGUGUUUGGCAAAAGAAUUCAGUCCAGCUAUGGCACAAUAUUUAAUUUAAUUUUUUAAUAGAAACAGGUCAUUAGCAGUUGUAGGGUGCCAGAGUGGAACUCCAUGCUAACACAUCCAACACUCAAGUUACAGGAAUAAAAUAUCCAUCCUACCGACAGUUGAUGUCAGUACAGCUACUUAGCCCAGAAGAAGCUACAGGAGUUCAACCAAAACAUGAAUUCACCAGAGCAUAUUCAUGAAAACCAACAUAUUAACUAGCACAGCUAUACAAAGUUCCAUCUUGACAGUGCCAAUAUAACCGCAAAUAAACCAUAAAAACACCACAACUAACUACUAUAGGUACAAUUUUCCUUCCAAGUUACUAUCUCACUCAGGCUGUACAAACCUACUGAAUAACAGAAAUGAACAAAAAACGUCAGUUCAUCAUGAAAGGUAGAAAUUAGCCAGACUCGCAACAACCAGCAAUCCCUUUCAAUUCAUUCACAGAUAUAACAACCUACCUAGAGACUAAAUGACUAACAAAUAGCACAACAUCACUUAGCAAAUUGAUCAGAUCAUUUGGUGGAACAUGACAGUGAAGACGAAAAAUUACUACAUAUGGCCAGCAAUGCAAAUAACAAAGGGUACCUCGCCGAAAUGCCAAUUGGAGACAGAUUUUAAUUGCAUCCACAAACACCCCCGGAACCCUAGAUCUGGACUAGCUCUACCUCCCCCACGUGCUGCCGCUCCCGGAUCUAAGCCUAACCGGCUAGCCCCUUAACCCCAAAGGAAAAUCUAACCAAAUCAGAGAGCGCGAGGGGAUGGGAAUGGGAUGGGCGGAACAAUACCCUGGAGGCAGUCGCAGUUCUCGGCCUCCUUGCGGACGACGUCGAGGACGGAGUCGAUGAGCUCGGCGCCCUCGGUGUAGUGUCCCUUGGCCCAGUUGUUGCCGGCGCCGGACUGGCCGAAGACGAAGUUGUCGGGGCGGAAGAUCUGGCCGAAGGGGCCCGAGCGCACGGAGUCCAUGGUCCCUGGCUCGAGGUCCAUGAGCACGGCGCGAGGCACGAACCGCCCCCCGCUGGCCUCGUUGUAGUAGACGUUGAUGCGCUCGAGCUGGAGGUCCGAGUCCCCCGCGUAGCGGCCCGUGGCGUCGAUGCCGUGCUCGUCGCAGAUCACCUCCCAGAACUUGGCGCCGAUCUGGUUCCCGCACUGCCCGCCCUGGAUGUGCAGGAUCUCCCUCAUGGCUGACGCCGCCUUCGCCGGUGACUUCGCCGGAGCGGCUGGGGUCGGAGGGGGAGCGGCGCGGGUGUGGGUCGGGUGCCUGGUGGUGCGCGUGUGCUGCGGGGCUGCGGCUUGUGGUUUGGGUGAGGACUGAUUUGAAAUGGUGCUUUAUGCUGUUGGCGUGGGGUUCGUUCGUUCGAGGGCGUUGUGAUGUGGCCUGUGUGCGGAGGUCUUCACCGCGCCCGGUGCCCGGUGGGGAGGCCCGGCCGCGGUGGGGGAUGUUGCCUCGGGGCCCAGCUGCAGAGAGGGUGGGGAGUAAUGUGUGGUGGCGGUGGGAUCGUCCCUGCCGUCCAUCUCGGGCGUGCGUUCUGUAAAUCGGACGGUUAUCAGGAGGUCUUGUACUCUUGUUCGCCCGGUUCCGUGAUGUUUUCUUUUUCAAGGCAACUUUCUGGAUGUCGUUAUCUGGUUCCUUUUGAAAUUGUUAUAUGCCCUACGAAAAUACGAUUUUACCCCUAUAAACCUACCACCCUUCUCCCUCUUCUCCUCCCCUUCUCCCUAUGCAUGCCUGCCAGGCUGCCACAGCUAGCACCUCCCAAAUGUUUUUUGAGGGCCAGCGGCCGCGGCACCAGCGAGCGGCCGCAGCCCGAUCCACCGCUCUAGCUCGGUGACGGCGAGGCUGGUAACGGUGGCAGGCGCGUCCUCGAGGAAGCAGCCGAGCUCGUCGUGGCCCCACGCACUCUGCAUGGAGUUAACGUGCCCCCGCCACGGGACGCCGGCGCCGAACCGAAGCUCCACGGAGUUGGUCAGGCAUGCCAGGCGCUCCAGCAUCGGGAGCAUGAGGAGCUCGAUGGCUAGGAACGAGCAGCCGUUGACGAUGAGCUCCUUCAGCCGCGAGCUCGGCGUGCUAAUCACCCAUCGCUUCGUCUUUCCCGCACAGCCGCACGUACCGCCGACAUGGCACGAGGCGCAGCGUCUCCAGUGGUGAGCAUGCGGUGAAGAGUCUCUGGUAAGUGAACGUCGGCAUGUCCCGUAGGACGAGCUCGGCAAGCGCGCCGUACCGGUACAGCCAGGGGUGGAUUUGGGCCCCGGGCUGCAGCCCGAGGCGAGGCUCAAGAAGACUAGGAACAAGUUUCAUAAAAAUGGCAUAAAAAGGCCAGGCAGCCCAUUAGCCUACCCUGACGCGAAGUGAGCCCAGCAAGCCGGAACCCUAGCCCUGGUCAGCUGACCGCGCGCCUCCUGUCCGCACUUGUCCUUCGCGAAACGCAAGUCGCGCGCCUCCCGUUCGGGUCCGACCAUUUGCACGACCGCACCCGUUGGCGCCGCGCCACCUCCUGCCCCUCCCUUACCCUCGUUGUCGUCGGUCGCUGGCUCGCCGCCACCCGCCAGGUCGCCACCUCGCCGGUCUCCCUCAGCGGCCCCGCCGGCCGCGCGCCCAUGCCCCCAUGCGCCCAUGCCCCCACCGGCCGCCGGCUGAGCGGCAACGCGCCCGCUUGCCAGGCGCCGACCGCCGGCUGAGCGGCACUGCGGCAGCGCGCCAGCGGCUGAGCCGCUGAGGGCAGGCAGCAGCCAAGCAGCAGCAGGCAUGUGAGAUACUACGGGGAGAUAUCCAUUACUUCAUUGAGUAUUUGAGUCUUACUUUGCAAUUGCAACAUUCCAUACGUUAGAAUGGAGAGAUACUAUGCUAAAAAAGAUGCGUCAAAGAGUAGUGCCGAAACUAAAGAGAGCCGCGUUGAGCAAAAAAGACCACGGAUUGAACUUGAUAUGAGAGAUAUAGUUGCUGAUCCAGGAGACAGGAAGCCAAUUGAUGAUUUUCAUCAUGACAUUAGGGAUGAGGCUAGGAGAGCAUAUCUACGAAUAGGUCCAUAUAGGCUAGCUGGUCAUAAGUUUCCAAAAACGAAAAAAGAUGGUAAAGGCCAAUCAAGAGGAUUUGUUGGAUCAUGGUUUGAUCAAUUUGAUUGUUUAGAAUACAAUGUAGCCAAGGAUGCAGCUUAUUGCUUUUAUUGCUAUCUCUUUAAGCCACAACAAACUGGUUUCAUAGUAAUGAUACAUUCACUAAAGUUGGGUUUAGAAAUUGGAAGAAUGCAAAGGAUUCUUUCAAGGAGCAUGCUCAAUCAAUUGAUGGCUUUCAUAGUAAUGCAAGAAAAAGUGCAUUUGAUUUCAAAAAUUAGAGGCAAAGUGUUCAACAUGUGUGGACUAUUACAAGUGCAACAGAAGAGGAGGCAUAUAAAGCUCGUUUAACUAACAUGUUAGACAUUGCUAGAUUUCUCCUUUUGCAAGCUCUAGUCUUUCAUGGAUAUGAUGAGUCUAAAACAUCAAGAAAUAAAAGGGAACUUUAUGAAGAUGCUUGAAUGGUAAAAAAGAAGGAUCCUAAGGCUGCACUUGUGACCAGUGAAAAUGCUCCAGGGAAUAAUCAAAUGAGUAGUCCAAUGGUUCAAAAAGAUUUGGCUAGAGCUUGUGCAGAGGAGACAAGUGAGUUAAUUAAAAGUGAAAUAGGAGAUUGUUGGUUUGCGGUGCUUGUUGACGAGGCUCGUGAUGCAUCUAUUAAGGAACAAAUGGUUGUGGUUGUGAGGUAUAUAUCUCCUCCCCAUUUGGUUAUUUUGUUCGUUUUAUUUUGUUGCUUUCAAAUAACACUAUUUUUCCUUUUCUCUUGUAGGUUUGUCAAUGAUAAAGGAAGUAUGAUUGAGAAGUUUCUUGGCAUUGAACAUGUUUCUGACACCACAUCACUUUUAUUAAAAGAAGCAUUGGAUACUAUGCUUAGAAAAUAUGGUCUAUCUGUUUCCAAGGUUAGAGGGCAAGGAUAUGAUGGAGCUUCAAAUAUGAGAGGACAGUUUCAUGGGUUACAAAGACUGGUAUUGAAUGAAAACCCAUUUGCCUUUUACAUCCACUGUUUUGCUCAUCAAUUGCAGCUUGUGGUAGUUUCUGUAGCCAAGUGUUGUGAUUCAACUUUUGAUUUCUUCAAUUAUGUCACUUCAAUUAUCAAUGUUGUUACUGCUUCCUGCAAGAGGAAAGAUCAACUCCUUCAAAGUCACCAUGAUAAGCUUGUUAAGCAGUUAGAUAGUGGUGCUAUUUUUUCUGGAAGAGGGAAAAAUCAAGAAACUAGUCUUGCUAGGCUUGAUGAUACACGGUGGGGUACAUAUCACAAAAUAUUGGUACGUCUUAUGAUCACGUGGUCCUCUGUACUGGAGGUGUUAGAAAAUAUUAGUGAAGAUGGAACUGAUGGGGAAAAGAAAACUAUAGCCUCUGGAUUGAUUCAAAGAAUGAAGUCAUUUGAAUUUGUGUUCAUAUUACAUCUUAUGAUCAGAGUAUUAGGGAUGACUCAAGACCUAUCACAAUGUUUGCAAAAAAAAAUCAAAACAUUGUUCGUGCAAUAGGAUUAAUUGGCUCUAUGAUGAGAAAUAUGAAUGAAAUGAGGGGAAAUGAUUGGGAUGCUCUUUUUGAAGAGGUAAAGGAGUUUUGCCUCCUCAACAAAAUAGACAUUCCUAAUAUGGAAGAUAUGAUACCAGUUAGAGGUCGUUCGAGAUGUCGUGGUGCUAAAUUAGAGAAUUAAUAUCAUCAUUUUCAUCAUGAAAUUUUCAAUGUUGUGAUCGAUCAAGUUUAUUAUGAGUUAAACAAUCGAUUUUCAGAAAGAUCAACUCAACUCUUGAUAUGUGUUGCUUGCUUUGAUCCGACGGAUUCUUUUGCCAACUUUGAGGUAGAGAAGUUAGUUGAACUUGCUAAGAUUUAUAAAGAUGACUUCUCUGAUUAUGACUGUAUAAAGCUUGCGGGUGACUUUCCUAUAUUCAUUGAUGAAGUCACAAAUGAUAAUAAUUUUGGCACUUGUACUGAUCUUGGUAACCUUGCUGAGUAGAUGGUUCAGACUGAUAGACAUACAACUUUUCCUUUGGUGUAUCGUCUUAUUAAACUUGCAUUGAUUUUACUGGUGGCAACACCAAUAAUUGAAAGAGCUUUCUCUGCUAUGAAUAUUAUCAGGACCGAACGAAGAAAUAAAAUGAAUGAUGAUUGGAUGAAUAGUAGCAUUGAUAUGCUAUAUUGAGCGGGAUUUAUUUGCAUCGAUUGAAGAUGAAACAAUUCUAAGGCGCUUUCAAAGCUUAAGAAAUCGUAAGAUGAAUUUGCCAAUCGAGGGCUCAAGGUGCGUGUCGUUUACUUGUAUUAGUCUAUUUCAAUACAUAAUGUUAUCUUGCUUUAUAAAGAGCUGAGAUUUUUAAAAUUUUUAUGUAGAAUUGAGGAUGUCGGUAUAAGUGGUGUUAAAUCAUGAAGACAUGUAUAGUUUUUUUUUGUCAUGGAAGACUCUUAGUUUGUUACUUUUCUAUCUUCAAUGUUCUACAUGUUGUUUGAGUCUAUUGGUUGAACCCUUGGAAUCAAUAUAAUUAUAUAAUUAUUUGUGUUCUUUGGAAAAUAUGCUAUAUCUAAUAGUGUAUGGCUAGUAAGAUUUUAAGCCUUAUAAUAGUUAGCCUGGGGCGGAGCCUGAUUCUGGAUCCGCCACUGGGUAUGGCGGCGGCACCGUGCAGUUUGCCAGCGUCAGGCUGCGGAUGCGUGGCUGGUGGAGCUCAUGGCACACCGGCGGUUGCCGCCGUCAGCUGCGUCCAGGAGGCCCGUGACGCCGUCAGCGAAUGCGCGCAUGGCGCGACACUCGUAGUGCGCGAUGAGGGCGUCGAGCUCCAGAACGUCGGUCGGUGGCGGCGGCGAGGAGGUCGCCUGGGGCGAUGCGGCUCUAUUUCGGCCGCGGCGACCAUCCCCUCCCCUUCCUACGCCCGCCGAUGGAUCGGCCGCCGGCCGCAGGGGUGGCGCCGCCGGUGAUGCCCUUCACCGCGCGGCUGCGCGGGCUCGGUGGAGGUGGCCUGCAGCGGCCAUCGCCGGCUCCGCCUGGCGCAGAGCUACGGCACGGGCCCCUUCCCCGUGCCACCCCGCCUUGUACCCAUCUCCCCCUUGUCCCGUGCGGUGUGGAGCAAGGGAGGAGAGGAGGGAGAAGGGUGGUGAGGCUUACAGGGGCAAAAUCGUCUUUUCGUAUGGGUUCCAAAUGGAAAAUCCAACGAAGCGUUGUAUAAGGAACGAAAGUUAAACUCGAUGUCGAAUAUAGAACUAAAAUCUGUUGAGGAAUAAACUAGUAAUUUUUCAAGUGGCAAAUAGGUAAUUGUCCCAUGUCAUGUCGUUAAUCUUCUCCAUCCAUUUGGUUGGGAUCUUUCUGUUGCGGCGAAUCGGGGUCCAGGCUGGCGGUAACCUGCGGUGGUUCCGUUCCGCGGCCGGGGAGAUGGCCGUGGGCCCACGUGGCAGCCUGGCGUAACCGAACUCGGGCCCACCCGCAGCGAGACAAACCUACCUGAUCCGUGAUCCGUGUAGGGAGUCCGGACACCGGACCCGAGCUGAGCUGAACUGAGCAGCACUGUGGAUUCCGCUUUCCAGCGACGCUUAAUGAACAGCGAUCAGUAGACGCCUGAUUAUGGCGGCGAGGGGCGAGGGCGAUCUAGACAGCGGAUAGCGAUGCUUGACCGGUAAUGCAAGCAAGCAAGCGAACGCCCGGAUGUCAACAGACGUAGCUGUUGCUUAGGGGAAUGAUAAGGACCAAUUACCAGCCAGUAGGGAAAGGGAACAAAAAGUGUGUGGCGCUAACUAAUGGCGGGGACGGAGUGGCUGCAAGUACAAGCUAAACAUUUUAUCAUGGCCUCCAUUAUCUCUAUCUGCUACGAGCCGACGACAAUAUCAUAGGUUCAGCAGGGCAGGAAAAAGUACAGCGGCCAGGAGAUCCAAUCAUGGGACUAGCGGCGGACUUCAUCUUAACGACACUUUGGGGAGAAACCGGGGAAGUUAUCAGUUCACUUUUGGCUUGAUGCUACAGGAUUACUAUUGUAAUUACGCUGGAUGGAUGGUACACAGUACACUAGCUGCCCAGGACGGCACGAUUGGCUGGCAAGCUUCUGAACGAGCUUGAAGAUUGCCAGGUAGGAGGAUAUGAUCAGCAGCAUCGCUACCUUCCAUAUCAUGUAGCUAACCACUCUUUGUCCCGGUUCUUCAUUGAUUGGUCGAUGGAACCAGAAUGCCUUCUUCUCGUACGAGGCUGGCGCCGCGGAUCCAGAGUAAUCAAGAAGCCUACUCCUACGGCUCCUACCAGAGUGCGCCAAAGGGAAAGAGGCGGAGUGCUAACAUGUUAAAAUCCACGAAAGUACAACUGCUUCAUCUCUGUUUUUUUCUUUGCAAACCGUUUUAUAAUGCUAAAAAAAAUCUAAACAUCAAUUUCAUCGUAAAGGAUGUAGUAUGUGCCAACGUACCGGUAAUUACCACGAGAAGCCAAAGCUCUGAACAAAUUAGUUGCAACUCAAUGUCUGGCUUCUCGAAUAGAACACGAAGCCUUUGAAGUGUGAAUGGCAUGCUGGCCGUGCCAGGGUCACAAGAGACACUGAUUCCCACCAGAUUAGAGACGAAAGCAAAGAAAAUACGCCACAUCUGCAUCAGGUAGUUGUAGAUACCUAACCUCACCUUCCCGUCUCAUCUCCCUCUAGAGGGGUGCAACACGAUGAUAAGUCGAAAACGGCAAGAUAAAGUACAGCGAUCACCCGAUCCAAUCAUGAAAUACCAGUCCCCCUCUUACAAGAUUUGGGGCAAAGUUAACAGUUCACAUGACCAUUUCAAUGGUCGAGGAUUAUUAUCACGCUAGGUAGAUGGUACACCUGCUGCCCAACUCGACAGGCUUUGCUGGCAAGCUGCUGAGCUUAAAGAUUGCCAGGUAGGAUAAUCAACAGCAUUGUCACCUUCCAUAUCGUGCAGCUAACAACUCUUGUUCCAAUUCUUCCUUGUUUGGUUAUGGAACUAGAAUGCCUUCUUCUCAUAUGAGACCAGCCCAUGGAUUCCUCCUUCAACCUGGGCAGCGCCGGUCCUCACCUGGUAAGGACAACCAGUAAAGAUCAAGUUAGUUCCACUAUUGGUAUAAGAACAGAAAAAACUGUUUUCAUUUCCACCUCUUACAGAUGCUCAACUUUCGGUUAUUUCAGACAUUUUCAGAAAUAAAGAUGGAUACAGAACUACCAACAUAAGUAUGUUAGGAACAAGGCUUUAUUAGGCAGUUUGCUUUCUGGAACUAGACAGCGUGAAGCAAGGAUGAAACUCUCUGAGUAUUCCUAAUUUUGAUCUGCUAUAAUUCAGACUCUUUCUUCCUAUCCAACCUAUUGCUCCAACAUUUUGACCUUUCUACAAUUCAUAUGGUUUGAUGACCAUCAAACAAUCUAUUGGAAUUUGGAGCCAGUUCCAGCAAUAAACCUAAUAGUAACAAAGAUUAACAAUCUCUUUAUUAAUGAAGAAGAUGAAAUUUCUCCGAUCCUAGAUGAUUGGUAUUGAAAUUUAAAACAUGUUGGAAGAUAACUAUUGUGCAGCAUGAAGAUACCUCUAAUCUGAGAGUCUCUGAUCGCAAAAGAUCAUGAGCUGACUGCAGAGAGGAUGCACCAAGAUCUUGGAAUCCUUGCUUAACUGCUUGCAUUGUGUAAGGAAUGAACCUCAGAACGGAACCUUUGUCGGCUACUGCUCCAACAACUCCCUGCGCAACUUUGAGCUUGAGAGUAUCACCAAGGUACCUUGCAUCACUCCCCUUUGUCAUCGCUUCCAGAGAUCCCAUGCCUCUGUACUUUUUGACUCGGCGGCCGUCCUAAAAGAAACAUCUCAAGAGUUAUAACUCAACAUUUUUGUGAAAGAGCAAGUGCAGUUGCAUGUACAGGAAAUAGAAUAGCACAAAUUCACAGAUCAGAAUUAGUUACCAACUUUAGAAACUGCUUCUACGAUAGAUACAGCAGCACAAUAAUAGACACACAAAAUGCAAAUGCGUUCUCACUGAUUUUAAUAUUAAUUGUUUUGCAGGAGUUCAUGGUCCUAGCAAUCACAUAUAUCACAUUGCAAAAUCAGGUAAGGUAGCAUAGCUACAGGCAGACAGCCUUUUAUCCAUUUUUACAACUUCCUGGUUCAGGCCAAACUAACAGAACUUCCAACAAUAAACUGUGGCUUCGUCCAGAAACAUUACUAGAGAAUGGGGUUAUCUAACUUUGAGGUUUAUAUACUAUACAUGACCUUAUAAAACAAUAAAUUAUAGUGACCUAGACAGCUAUCCACAUCACUAGUUGCAAACAGUUCCAAAAAUAAAAAUGAUGACCUAUAAGGUGUAUUUGCACCAGAUCUGCUCCCUAAAACAAAGCUAACAAAGCCAGUUGAAGCUAACAAAGCCAGUUGGUUACUUCGUCAGCACAGACUGUAAUUGGUAAAAUGACAUGAAAAGAAAAAUACAACUAUACAGAGUAUCAACUGGCAAUUGAUUCAUGGCAACCUCAUUGGAAACCCAGAUUGUAAAAUGGUAUUGAUGUUUUGAUUCCGCAGUUUAUCAAAUGGAUUUCUACUUCAGUCUUUGCAGCCUGAAAUAAAUGAUGUUCUAGCAAUGCGGUUACCCAUGAACAAUGCAAGAUUUAGAAGAAAUAGAUAAGUGCCACUAUGUCAUUGUAUAUACCAAAUUUUUAUUGCAUUUUUGUUAGCUUUUUAAGAUAUCAAAUUAGAUUGAGCUGUUGUUUAUGCAUAAAGGAACUUUUUGUGCAGUGGUCACAUGGGGUGAACAUCUGCCUGUGCGGGGCAUGUGAUCUUCAGUAUGGAUCGAGUCUACUUUCUACAGGGCUGUAGGGGCUUUAACAGUCAACUCCAAAGCCCAAAAGGCAUUUGAACAUUCUGUUUAUGGUAAACAUAUAAAACAAAAGGCAAGAAUAGAACUUUAACCCUGCUCCAGAACUGUAAAAGUAUCAAUACAAUAUGUAUACCUUGUACUCAUAAGUACCAGGAGCUUCAUGACUGCCGGCCAAAAAGCUUCCCAUCAUAACAGUGGAUGCCCCCAGCGACAGAGCUUUCACAAUAUGUCCAGAGUUUGAAAUUCCCCCAUCAGCGAUAACCGGUACAUUGUGAUCAUUGGCAUAAGAUGAAACCUUAUACACUGCUGUAGCCUGUUGCACCAAUACAAAGAAGCAUCAACUACAAGCAGCAGUACUGAAUUUCUUUGGUGUCUGUAUUACUAUAGACCAUAUGAAGACAAACCCCUGGACUCGUUUUGCAUCCACCACGAGAUAAUCAGAAAUUAAAGGAUUCUCUCUAGCAUUUUUGGUCUCCCAAGACUACGUGAGGAGCCGAGGGAAUAAGGAGCAGCAAUUCCAUAUACGCCAAACCGUAAUUCAAAAAAGAAAAAAAAAAGGAAAGAACUGCUGAGGUUUUGACAAAUCUAAGACCCUUGAAAGAUACGAAUGGAUAGGUACAUCACCUAAUACAGAUUUCUAGUGCUUUCAGUGUCCUAACACUUCAUAAAAGCUCAAAGGUAAAUAAAAAUUAUAACAAGUACCCGUCAGUGUCUUCUAAGCAUACAGAACAAGAAAACAUGCCCUGCCUAGCUGAGAAAGGCAAACUCAGUAGAUCAUCCGAUGUCAUCAAUAUCAGAAUUGGAUGCCUAUGAUUAAUAUAACAAACCUUUCAGGAUGUUUACAGUAUCCAGAGAAAAUGGAGAAUUGGUUUCCACCUUGGUCACAGCAAUCUAAACGAACUUCAGAGCAUCCGAGAGCGGCAAAAUAAAAGGUGUUGCAUGCUAUCCUACCAAUGGUUGAGGAUUCAAGGUAACUAACUAAUUUGGCAGCAAGCUAAAAGAGGUAAGCUGACAGCGAACUGAUUAGACUACAUUGAGAAAAAGAGUUUAUGAGAAUUUCAAUGGUUCCAUACCUGUCCCCUUCCAACAGCACAAACUUCCUGGGUAGUGCAAAUUGAGCCGGACCCCAUUCCAACACGCAAUCCAUCCACACCAGCUUGAAUCAAAUUCUGCGCCUGCGCAAUUGUCACCACAUUGCCUCCGAUCAAAUCCACCUCAGGAUACAUCUUCUUCGCAUACUUGAUCAUAUCAAGCUGGUAAAUGGAGUUCCCCUGCGAACUAUCAAUGACGAUAGCAUUUGCCCCCGCCUUAACUAGCUGCUCCAGCCUUCGCUUGUCAUCCUCACGGGUCCCAAUGGAGGCCGCGACUAUAAACUUCCCAUCCGCUCCCAGAGACGGCUUGCCUAGCUUGGGAUAGCUCCGGAUGCGCUCGACAUCCUUGGCGGUGAUCAGGUCAAUAACCUCGCCGUCAUCGGAUAUGAGAGGGGCGCAAUCCAAACCUUCGUCAGCAAGGAAGGCAGCGGCUUGUUCGAAGUCAAAGGAGGCGGAGGCUGAGCGGGGAGCGGGCAGCAUGUAUUCCGACACAGGGGCAGGAACCUCGCGAGAAGCCGCAUCGGCCGCAACUGCGACGCCGACGAGCCUGGAGAGCGAAUCCCCGAGCUCGGUGACGAGGGCGUAUUCAUAGCCAGCGAAAUCGUUGAGCGUCGGGGCGGAUGACGGGGCGAAGAAGGGAACGGAUGACACGAAGGGGAGGCGGCGGGACUUGGCGGCGCGGACGAUGGCGGCCUGGGCGUCGGGCUCGGUGUUGCAGUGAACGACGGCGGCGGCGCCGAGCGAGGCCAUGGCCGCGGCCAUGGGGGCCUCGGAGACGGUGUCCAUGGGGGACGCGACGCAGGGGAUGGAGAGCGGCAGGCGGCGGGAGAGGCGGGUGGAGAGGUCGACGGCGUCGGCGGGGAAGCCGAUGUAGCCCGGGAGGAAGAUGACGUCGUCGUAGGUGUAGGAGACGCCCUGCGAGAAGAGGCGCGGCGCGGAGAAGCCAUCGUCGGCGAGGUCCGCGCUGCUCGCCGCCAUCGGUGGGUGUGGGUUUUAGGGUUUUGGCUGCGGCGGCGGCGGCGGUGGCGGCGGGGGAGGAUGGGAAUGAAGAGAAGCGUGAAGAGCGUGGCGGGGCGCGCUGUUUUGUGCUCGGCUCCAUCGAUGGAUGGGGAUUUGUUUGGCGGGUAGCAAUGCGCAUGAUGCGUCAAUGGCACGUGGGCCCUGUCUUUUUCGCUCCCGUUGUGUCAGACAGAGGAUUGCGAAUCACUACUGGGCCGACAGGCGCGGGCGACUUAGGCCCGGGACAAAGGGCCCAUUCGGAUGGCCCUCAUGUGCCGUGAUGGCGUGAUGGUUACAGUUUCUUGAGGAAGUCAUGUUCAUUGUCUCGUUUAAGUUUAGCAACUCGACCACCAUUUCGGCCGCAUGCUAAAAGUUUGAUAAGGCACAAAUAUUGUUUGUACUCUAGCUUUAUAUAUGUAGAGGUACGUGUUGGCCUAAACCUGAAUAGCCAAUUUGGGCACCUCGGUUUCGCCUCAACAUUGGCAACACGCCAACACCCUAAGGUUAGCGUUGGUCAAGCUUAGCUCUACAAAACAGACCAAACCAAUGGUAGUGGAGCACUUGCUCGGUUAGUAAAAGAUGUCAUGGAGCACCGCGCACUUUACGCUUUACCAUGGUGCUCAAUGCUCGCUUCCUUUUCUAAGUAAGGCCCUGUUUGGGAAGGGCGUGUUAAAAUUUAACAGGGUGUUAAACUUUAACACCCUCAAAUGAGGUGUUAAACUUUAGUAUCUUGAGGUGUUUGGAUGAUCUGUUAAAAUUUAACACCUUAGGUUGUAAUUGACAACUUUACCCCUCAUUACUCCUCUCAAUGGCAGCCAAAUAUCCCUUCUUCCUUCUUCUCCUUCCUCCUCCUUCCUUCUUCCUCCUUUCCUGCGCCUGCCGCCUCCGGCCCCACCCCCUGCUCGGUCCACGCCGUGCCCGGCGUCGGCGUUGCCGGCCGCCCCGUCGGCCCCUCCCCUGCGCCUGCCGCCUCCGGCCCCGCCCCGCCGCCGGCGUCCCCUACCGCGGCGCUAGCGGCCGCGCCCGCCCGAGCCCCUAACGCCACCACCGCGCCCGCCCGAGCCCCCACCGCCACCACCUGCGCCGCCCGCCGGUCCCCACACCACCGGAUCGGCCUCGCCCGCGCCCGCGCGAGGCCGCCCGCGCGAGCCCGCUGCAUGCCGCCCAGCGCGGCAUCCCGGCGCUGGAGCGGCGCGGACCGGCGGUGGCGCGCGAUGGGCGGACCAGUGGCGGCGCGCGACGGGCGGACUGGCGGCGGCGCGCGACGUGCGGAUCGGGGAAGGAAGAUGGGGGCAGCGGAGGAGAGAGAAGAGGAGAGAGAGGGGGGCAACCAGGGAAUAAGUGGGGAGGGGGACCACUUUUAACACCUUUAGCACAUUUUAACACCCCCUCCAUGUGUUUAUGAAAAGAGAGGUGUUAAAUUUUAACACUUCAUCUUUAACACUUGUGUUUGGCAGCCAAGGUGUUAAAAAUGUGUUAAAAGGGGUGUUAAGCUUUAACACCCCCUUCCCAAACAGGCCCUAAAUGUCAUAUGGCUCGAAAGAAUGUCAACGUGAUACAGCCCAUACUACAUAUUUUUGACACGCGAGCAAGAAGGCCACGAUGCCCGCAAAGCCACCACGCUUGCCACAACUUAAUUAAGCGGGUUUGUGGCUGCCUGCCUAUUGUUGCGACCAUGCCGGUGCUAUAUAUUUUUGUGGACUUGGUGACCGGGUGAUACAGAAACCCGCGUGCAUGUAUGGUCGCGUACUCACUGCCCGCUACGGCACACAUGCAAUUUUGAUCAGAACAGCAAGCUAGCAGGACACAAAAUGCGUUGCUGGCAGCACUGCCCGAGGGGACGAUAAGAGUAAGAAGCCAGCAGCCUCAGAAGAGGCAUUGCGACGAGCAUGCAAUUGCCAAAAACUGAAGCUUCGCGGGUUCUUGCAAGUUUUGCGGGCUCUCAUCAUUUGUCCAGCGGACGUGCAUGUGACCAGACGAAGAUCGCGAGGGAGUCAUCGCUGAGCCACAUGCACCACGACCUGUUAUUUGGCAGGGCCGAGGCGGACAAGCGGGUUCGUAUAAGGACCCACCCGACUGCAUCCUAGCCACGAGAACGAAAUCCUGCACCCCUAGCCACGAGAAUGACCAUUUCAUCCACGCGUGUAAGACUGACUCUCCCAAUUCAAUUUUUUCUCUGUGUCUCAAUCGAAUUUCUCCUCUUUUUAUUCUCUCACAAACAAAUCACAAAAGAGCCCAAGCUCAUCACGGCUCCGCUGCAGGGGCCCACCGGCCCAGCCUGAGCGAGCCCGCGAUGCCAUGCAAUCUACCGCCGCUCAGCCCCCACACCUCCCCGACCCACCGCCCACGGUCCCACAUCCUCCUCGCCCUCACGAAGCCAUUCGUCUCACCGACAUCUGGACCCCACGCCUCACAAGCCCCACAUGUCACCCUCACCCGCGGCCCACGCGUCGUGUACGCCGCACACCCACACACGAAGCGGCGCGUCCGCGUAUAUGAACGCGCACCGGUACCACACCAAAACCCGCAGCAGCCCAGCGAGCCAACUCGCAUAAAAAAGAAAAGAGAAGGAAAGGAAAACCCCCGCAGCAACAGAAGAAGAAUAAUCCCUUCUCCUUGCUUGCGCCUCCCGUCUGCGUGCGCGCGUGCGAUCGACGCAGAGAGGCGCGGGCGCUCACCGCCGCCCACCCCCCGGCUCCGAUCCGAUGGCCUUCAUGCGCUCCCACGUGAGUGUUCCCCCCGCUCCCUUUCCUCUCGUCGAUCCGCUCGUGCUCGUGGUGAUUCGGCGCGCGUUGGCGGUGUAGAUCCGUGUGGGGGAAUCGGGUUGGUUCGCGCGUGAUCUGGGUGCGGGAGUUCGUGGAGGGAUGACGGUUUAGAUCUCGCUGGGAGGUUUUGAUCCGACCUCACCGCGCGUUGCAACAGCGCUGGGAAGUUUGUCUGGUUGGUGCUUGUCCCUGUGGUUUGUUCUCUGGUGGCGUGGUGGUUUUGAGUAGUGGAUGUUCUGGUAAGGUAGGCUUGUGGAUAGCCGUGAGCCUUGUAGCCUACAAUUUCUUAAGUAGAUGGGUACACGAUGCUGUGUUUGAUCCCGACACGUUUAUUAGUAUUUUUGAAGUAUUGCGACUGAUUUCAGUACUGAUUAGACGGUAUAUAUGGCUGUUCAUUUGUUCUGACUGCAAUGACGGGUUUCAUUGCCUAUGUCAAUGUACAUGUGCUUCUAAAGUCAAAUAGUAAUAUAAUUUCGCAAGUGUCUAUUUAUUCAGAACCUGAGUUGAGGAUAUCUGCUGGUUUCUACGUUAGAUUGCUUAAGUUUUGAGAAAUUCGGGGUGAAAAUGGAGUUGAUCUGUAGAUGAUAACUUGAGAUAACUUUUAAGUUUGAGUUAGGGAUGUUCUUCUUAGCUCAUUCCUGCAAGGCAGAAAUUAGUUCCUUCAUCCCGAAUGAAAUGCAACUAGUCUUGAUAGUUUUCUGGUCAAAAUGUGGUACUGUCACGGUUUUUCUUUUCAAACAGUUGGAUCAGUACAUGGCUACUUUAUAAUCCAUUCUUUUAUUUAUGUGUGCUGUGUUGACAUGCAUAUAGGUUUUUCCUCCACUGAGGCAUAGCCAUAGUGGUCAUAGUCAUAUUCCUGCUUCCAGUGGAGAUAUUUGUAUUAUUUCUGCUGGACAAUUUCUUGGAUAUCCUAGUUGCCUUUUAGGUUAAUAAUGGGGGGAGAUUAAUCUUGCCAUGCACAAUGCAAUAAUGCAGUUGGCCUUCCCUAGAUUGGAUUUGAUUGAGUGAAUUGAAAUUAGCAUGAUGGUUCAGCUUCUAUUAGGUACCAGUUCUUAUCCUGUCCAUUAUUGUGCAAUCAUAUGUGCAAGUGAUUUUACAUGUUAAGCACGCUUAAUUUUAAUUUUCAUUUCUGGAUAGUGACUGGAGGAUUUUUCUGUUCCACAGAAGCAAUAUCUGUGUAAUUUUGCCUAGGCAAUCUUGUUUGAGUACCCUCUGUCUGUUGUAGCAUUACUCUGGACCGUGGGCAAAGUUUGUGUGGUGCCCUGUAUGUGGAUUGUGGAAUGUUGCAACUUUUAUGGAAUUGUGGCUACAUAGCUGCACUUCAUAUAACUGGCCUCUUGAAUGUUGUUGAUGUGCUAUUUACUGGUUAACCUUGGUGCAUGUUGGCUUUGAAUGCUGAAAGAAUGGAAAUCGAACAGUUUAUUUUGCAUUUCAGUUUCUUACCCUUGAUUUUCUUAUUAACGCAUCGACUAUUUUCUGCAGUCAAAUGCAUCUUCCGGCAUGGGAGUUGCUCCUAACAUCAGGGAGACAUUUGUUGAGCUUCAGAUGAAGAAGGCAUUCCGAUAUGUUAUCUUCAAAAUUGAGGAAAAGCAAAAGCAGGUGGUUGUGGAGAAGACGGGCGCUACUACUGAAAGCUAUGAUGAUUUUUUGGCCUCUCUCCCAGAAAAUGACUGCAGAUAUGCUCUGUAUGAUUUCGACUUUGUCACUGGGGAGAAUGUGCAGAAAAGCAAGAUCUUUUUCAUUGCCUGGUGAGCUUCAUAUUGCAGUCUUUCUUCGGUUUCAUGUUUAGCAGUUACAUUAACCUAUGGUAGUUCUGCCAAUGAAUGACUAGAUCUGUUAAAAAAGUAGUUAAACAAGUAAAACUUAUAAGGAGCUAGUCAUGUGCUAGGAUUCUAUAUACAAAUACUUAGAUGUAUCUAAUGCACCAAACAGGGCAGCACAGGAAGCCGCAACAUGCUAGCUAUUUAGUAGUUCCUUUUGUUUUUGUGUUGUGAGUAGUUCCUUUCUCCUUCCAAACAUGAUGAAGUGAGUAUUAAAUUAUAAAUGUGGAUUUGAUCUUUUGAUGGGAUCUACUUUAUACUACUAUUUGCUGGUAGCCAUGCUUAUUAGCAAUCUAGUAGCUCUGACAAAGAGGAAUAACAACGCAUGUGGUGCAACAGUUAAGAAUAUUCUCGGCAAUAAUUGUUAAUUUUUAUGUGAGUUCUGACAUUGACUUUUUGAUGUUACCAUGUGUACCAUGUGAUGUCUUCUCUAAUGGUUCAUGUUCAAUGCAUCAACUCUGGCCUUUCUGUUGAUUCCACUUCUCCAGACAUUAACCCAGUCCACAAUCAUUCCAGGUCCCCAUCGACAUCCCGCAUUCGUGCGAAGAUGCUGUACGCCACCUCCAAGGACCGCAUGAAGCAUGAGCUUGAUGGGUUCCAUUACGAGAUCCAGGCAACCGACCCAACCGAGAUGGACAUCGAGGUCCUCCGGGAGCGGGCUCACUGAAGCUGGUUUACCUAUGAAGGGACCUGUGGAGGGCCUUGAACCUUCAGCCAGAUUCAAAUUCUAUCAUCAAUGAUGCUCCUGCCGUGGUAUUGUUAAUAAGUUCCUGUAAGCAUAUCAUUUAGUCGUGAUGCAUGACUCUAGCUGGUGAAGCGCUAUCGAAGCUCUAUCCGUAUGAGAUCUUGAGCCUGUAACGAAGCAACAUGUGCAAACUCAUAUAUUGUGGUAAUGAUACUGGAUUGAUGGUUGUGGAUUGUUCGGAAAUGCCCUUGUUGGUCUGAACUUGUUACCGACUUGUGCUGAUCACACCUGGUUCUGGGUUUCUGACCCUUCAGGGCAAAUUGUUAGUAAAUGCCAUUGUGAUGGAAUUGGGACUUGUUUUUCAAUUCAUGGCUUCAGCUUUGCAUGUAGGCCUACGUGAUGUUCACAGGAAAAUUAUGGCCUGGUAUUAUCUGGUGAUGAGAAUACGAGGAUGACUGUCAGUGAGAUUGAGACUGUUUUGCUGCUGCUGACAGCAGUGCACAGCGCCUCAGCCUCUCAGUCCUCUCGGGAGCGCGUCUCAGGGUGACCUUGGUCGGGCUUUCUAACCUGCUUUUGCUUUUGAAAAAGCCAAAAGCCAACCAAAGGAUCUAAAAGCUCUACGUGCUUUUGCCCAAAAGCUACUUUUGCUCUAGUACAAAAUCAAAAGCACCUUUCCCCGCUGCUUUCAAGUGCUUUUGGGGUAGACGACCCCGACCGCCGCCGCCCGUCACCCCAGGUCGCCGGCUGCUGGCCCGCCAUCCGCCGUCCGCCGCCCUCGGUCGUCGGCCUGCCUCCCGGUGCCCCCGGCCGCCAGCCCCUCUCCGCACCCCGGACGGCCGCCGGCCCGAUGCCCCAGGCUGCCCGCCACACCCCCACCCCCGGACGGCCGACGACCCCGACCACCGCCGCCCGCCGCCCGUCGCCCUAGGUCGCCAGCUGCUGCCAGCCGUCCGCCGCCCUCGGUCGCCGGCCCGCCUCCCGGCGCCCCCGGCCGCUCGCCACACCCCGCCCCCCGAACCGCCGCCGCUCGACGACCCCGGCCGCCGCACCCUGCCGCCCAUCGCCCCCGGUUGCCGGCCGCCACUCCCUGCUCAUCCAUGUUGAAGGAUGGCAUCCUUGUAUAGAACUUUUGAUGGAUAUAAUUUUAUUUAUGUGGACCAAUCACUUUAAUGGAUGAAAAAUAUAUAAAAUUUAUUUUGUUACGAGCAAUUUGCAUAUAAACACACUCACAGACCUUUAGGGGCAUUACAUGUAUUUCUUACACAGCCUACAGUUUCACAGCUCCUCUAACCAAACGGUCUUCUGCUUUUCCCACAGCUGCUUUCUCACAGCUACUUUUCCACAUCCCACAGCUUACAACAGCUUUUUCAAAAGCCACAGCCCAACCAAACACACCCUCUCGGGUCGGCUGCCAUCUCUGGCUCGCUCAGCCCGCGUUCAGGUCUGUCAAAGCCCCCAAACGAACUGGACUUUAAUCUAAGCAGGAAUAAAGUUAAUUGCAGAAUAUAUUGCGGUAGAUAAAUGCAAAGAAAAGCUAGGAGGGUUCCAAGUCUAAGGAACAUGAACACAGGAAAUGUGUCAAAUAUCGUCGUGACCUUUCCUCGCGCUCUCGGCAGCCGGCACACAAAUAUCCAACUCGGUAUUUUACAGAGUCUAACCUCAGGCUCAUAGCCAUUACACACAGUAAAAAGCAAAUUAAAUUAAUGUACGCCGUCGGAUCCGCAGUAAACGGUGAUCUAUGAUCGAUGCUCUUGAUUUGCAAACACCCGUCAUUUACGCUUCCUCAAUCGGAAAACGUCUCUCCCUUGAUUGAGCCUGCCAAGGUCGCGCUCGCGAGCGGCCGUUGGUCAUCCAUCUGGCCGCCGUUUCGUCAAAACGGAAAGAGAGCUUCCUGCUAACCCUCGCCAUUAACGGCAAAGAUGGUCAGAGGUGAGGGGAUAAGGACGAGAGGCGUUGCGAGCAGAGGGCGAUUCGUGGAGAUUGUACGACAGGCAGCCACGCAGGAGCUCUGCCAUCUGUUUUCACUUUUCACAAGUUCACCUCAUGAUGCUUCUCAAGGAUCGUUUUGCGUUCAAAUCGUCCAAUUCCAUAAGUGCAAUUCUUAGUUGUUGAGCAAUAUAUAUAUUUUUUUGCCCCAGAGAACUUGCUGCGGCAAUCUUAAACUAGUAGCAGAGUGGGGAUUAUAGUUGGCAUGUCCUCAUUUUUGUGACAGUACUGAUGCUGCGCCUUUAUUAAAAAAAAAACAAAAGAAACCUUAAGCUCAAAUUCCAGGUUCACCGGUUCCCACCUUUCGUUUUGCUCAAAGAACUUGAAGGAUAAAGGAACAAAGCAAAUAUUCUGAGAAAUAAUUGUGACAAAACGUGUGCAUGACAGAUACAUCCGUUGCACUAAUCGUCCAAACCACUAUGUGUCAUGAUGAUAGUACAGAUGGCACACAUUUCCUCCAUCUCUAGCUCAGACUAUGUACAUGAUGUAAAAGCUGAAAAAAAGGGAUACAUCACACAUCAUAAGGUUGAUUACACUGAUGACUACUUGACUAGGAUAGUGCAAGAUGAGGGCAUGCAGGAGGUGACCGGAAACUGAAAACUUGAGACCCUAACCUCUUAGUCUCUCUGAAAUCUGAACCUUACAUCAACUUGGGGGAAAAGGAGGCAUGGAAUAGAAAUAGUCACCUUCUUCCUCCUCGUGCUGCUUCUGAUGAGCUGAAUAAUUGUGUGGAAGCAUUUGACGUCGCAAGGGAUUCUGAGUACCCCCUUCUGAUCAUGCCCAAACUCCAUUGCUGCUAGCUCCAGCAACCCGGUGAAGUAUGGAUGGUGAAGCACCUUCCUAUGCACCAGAACCCUCUGUAGCUCCUUCCCCUCGCCGACGAGCACCGGGAUGUGCCCUCGCUGAACUGACACGCUCUUACCCAUCCUCCUCUGAUCUGCGUUUGACACUUGGUUUGCUAGAAGCCCAGUAGUUAUUGUCAGCCCUCCUGCGUAUAUAAUGAAUGCUUUGCCAGCUGUGAUGGCUGAAAACUAUUAGAUGGUUUCAGUAGGUAUGGUCGUGUUCAUUCAUUUGUUUAUUGUCUUGUCGUUUGAUUUCCUCUUGCAGUAACCGCUGUCUGUUUCAUUCAUGACAGUAGAAUCUGCCAACAAUGUGAGGACUAACCAUUUUACUGACGGUGAAACGAUGAAAUAUAAACACAUAGUGAUUAAUCUAGAGGCAUUCAGGUCAAGCUCUGGCUGCAUGGAAAUCUCAAUAUUUGCCAUAUGAUACUUGAAUUAAGUAUUCAGGUGCUGUACGGAUAUCUAAUUUAAUUCUUGGCCAUUUUAUUUCGCUUGAUAACCAGAGCAUGUCAACUCCUGUACGGAUAUUCCAUCUCGAGUAAAAGGUCCUGUACGGAUAUCUGAAUGAUUCAGCCAUAACCCAACACCACCAAAGUCAUGAUAAUAAAGGGGAAAUUCUGCGUAAAAGAAAAGAGAAAUUACUUCCAAAGUGUCAAAUUGCUAGGAUUGAAGAGGCGUCGUAUGAUAAUUAAAUUGAAGUAUAGCCAAAGUAAACAAUUCCAUAGUACGUGCUCCAUGUCUGAAACAUUGUUUCGUUAUGUAGGAGUAGGUUUUAUAGACUAAUGCAACAAUGCCAUCAGCAAGUUCGGCUAAAAUGAAUGAUUUGCCAAUGGAGUACAUAUAUCGUGUUGAUAUGUUUACACAUUGCAUUAGAUUCUGUAACGAUGGCUCACAGAAACAUGUUUAUUGUUUGACGAACGCAUUUCAAAUAAAAAGUAUUUACGAAUUACUGGCGAUCAAGCCCCUUUCAGCUACGACUAUAGUAGCCUUAAUCUCUCGUGGUCCACCUAACGCCAAUAUGUACCUUUCAUCAGCGGUUUCAACCAUUUAUAUAUUCCCAUUAUCAUCAUCUGAUCGUCAAUCAUCUCUGUUUUUAAUCUCUUUCUCGUGGUGCAGUAGAUUAGACUUUAUGGCCCUCAUAAGUCAUAUCAGGUGCAUUUUUGUAUAUAAAACUGAUAUAAACACCUCCAUUUGGAGUAUAUCAAGUAUCAUACGUCAUGACUUGAAACGCUAGCUAUUUAAAUUUUUUGAAUAUCAUAAUUGCUUCCACGCCAUGGUCUACCUGGGUUCUACAGGCUCGAGGUUAUAUUCUUUUUUACAACAUGACUGAAUCGUUGCCAAAUUUAACUAAGCCUUCCAAGGGCACCAUUGCAUAUAAAAAUGCCGAAUUGAGUAAGGUAUUUUAAUUUAGCAUCCAGUAAAAUUAACUUUCAGAAUUAGCACUUUUCUUCCAAAUAUUUUGAGUUAAUUGUACUACUAACGAAUUGCUGUCGAUUUAGGAUAUAGAGAACAAAUGGAAUGAUGACUUCUAAAUUCUUCAAGACAAACAUUAAACGUUCUACAAGUGGAACCCUCAUGUUUGGUGACUAGAUGAGACAAGUAACACGCAUGGAGUCUCCAAAUACGCACGAAGUUUUUUUUUUUUUGUUUUUGCAAGAUCUUUUGUUCUGUUUUGUGGAAAACCGUGUUCUUGGAGUCCAGUAAACACGAGCCACCUGCAUCCAUGGCUCACUUGUUUUGAAAACAGAGGCCGGUGCGCUGCAGAAGUCCAAAUGACUAGAUGGGUACCUGCAUGUGGAUGCUGUGAGACUAGGGACAUUGGGAAAACAUCAUUGUCUAGAGCAAGACUUGCAAAGUCUUUCAGGCUUUGAGUAAUACUCAUCCCUUUUGGACAGGUUAUAAUAAGUGACAACAUGAUUGCACGUAGCCAAACAUUUCAAUUCCUGGCUAUUGGUAUGUUUAUCAGCAUUCAGAUUGUGUACAUUGAAUUUUAUUUGUAAAUUAUGGGUUUGUCCCUGAAAAUAUUUUCGUAGUGUUGGAAUAAUGCUAGGUUUUAUUGAAUAUAAUAUUGCAAAAUUAUCCUUGAGAUUGACCUGUGGGGCUUAGCCGAGACGCCCAAAAUGUCACUAACUUGUGGCCGGAGACUGGAGACGAACAGAGGAAUUCUUUCGCAAACCGCCGCUAUCCUGGUUGGAGUAUCGUAUGGGUGUAUUGUAUGAGCUGUGCACGAGCACAAAAACUGCUUUGGCAAUCCGACAACCGUCACUUUGGAUGCGGAGAAUGAUGAGGCAAUUUUCUAAGCCCAAACGAAGAGUGUAGAGGAUGAAGCACAAACGAAUCUCAUUACGUGUCUUCAUCGUGCCGUUCCUUUCGAAAAGAGAUUCCCAAACUCUUAUUUGGACAGAGCCGAGAGGAAGGCGAAUGGAUGAGUUCGUUGUUUCAACCUGGGAUGUCAGGAGGAGAGGCAGAGAGUUUUUGGAAAGCAAGAUCAGAGAGCUCCCGCAUUGCUGUCUGAAGAAGUUUUCAGUAGAGAGAGCUGGUAGAAGGCAGAAUGUGAUGAUGUCUGUAGUUUGGUUGUCAGUGGAUAGUACGCUCAGCACUGAAACACAUGGCCGGCACACGAAGAGCUGGAGGGCCUUGUUAGUUGCCCAACUUUGGAGAUGCAAAAUUACUGUUGUAGCACUGUAGCACAUUGUAGCGUUUCGUUUGUAUUUGUGAAUUAUUGUCCAAAUAUUGACUAAUUAGGCUCAAAAGAUUCAUCUCGCAAAAUACAACAAAACUGUGCAAUUAGUUUUUGAUUUCGUCUACAUUUAGUACUCCAUGCAUGUACCGCAAGUUUGAUGUGAUGGGGAAUCUUCUUUUUACGUAGUGUCAAAGUUGGGAGUUUGGGGGAACUGUUCCCUAGGUUGGCCCAAUUUGGUUGGUCCGGUCUAUGAGCGUAGGUGCGCAUGUUUAGUACCACCUUGCUAGUUGAGCAAGGGUGGAGCCAACUUAUAAGCCUUUGUCAACCAGCCAUAACAUAUUCGGGUUAACCUUUUAUACGAAGUGAGAAUGAAAGUGUAAAAAGGGUGCUAUGUGUACGCGUGCCCGCUCCUUGGAAGGAUUGGGCGGUGCGGUUUUUGGAGUACGAGGUUGUUACACAGGCCCUGCGUGCAUACAUGAAGUGCCGUUUUCUUCGUAGAAAGAAUACAGAUGCAGUGAAAAUUAGCUGCAUAUGAGCUCGAAAUGUCUCCUAACUUUACAGCCUUUUGUAUUUUUUAAAGAAAGACACAUACAAUUUUAAAAAAUUAUGCGUUCCAAGUAGUAGGUCGUCCUAACUUUACGCCUUCUUUUUUUUUUGGCAAAACGCAGUCUGACCUUUGACCUCAAAAGUGAAGCUUAUAUAAUCUUCCACAAUUACCCACGUGCAGUAACAUAGGAGGAGUAGCACUGAACGGAGGAAAAGAACAGCACGGGCUUUCGUCAUCCGACCGUUGCCCACAAGGCCACCACCACCAGCGCCAGCCCAACGGUCGGAAGGCUGUCGCAACAGCACACUCCACAAGCUUCUUCCAGCUGCCGCCGCCUUCUUCCAUAGGAUUCUCCUGCAGCUUCCACUGCCUCCUCAACUAUUUAACUCACUCCACCAGUCCACCCAUCUCCCCUCCCAAAGCAAAGCACCGGCACCACCUCACCUCCACCAUCGUCCUCCCUUCAAAGCAUCCUUCACGUUCUCCCCUGCUCCUCCAAGCGGUUGGAAUUCCGGAGCCAGCAAGAGAGGAGGCAUGGGGUUCGUGCUGGUGAUCUCCCUGCCCUUCAUCUUCUUCUCCAUCCUGCUCGGCUUCGGCUGCUACUUCCUCGGCAAGCACAGGGGCCGGGAGGAGAUGCGGGCCGGCGUCGGCGCGCAGAUCUACGGCACGCCGCUGCCGCCGCCCGGCGUCGUCGGCGGGUCCUCGCCGGCGCAUGAGCCGUUCCACAUGAAGAAAGAAGGGGCUGAGAACGUCUGAGUGGGAUGUCGUUUCGGGAUUUGUUUGGUUUAACUGAUAUAGUUCAUUCCUUUCAUCUAUGCUAUGUUGCGGUGUACAUUGAGCAAUUUGGUGCCUGUAUUUGUUACUUCGUUCAGGUUCAGGGGAAAUGGUGAUUGUGGUGUGAUAUAACGUAAUCACAGUAUGUGCUUGUAAGCAGUACCAAUAUGCAUUGUAUAAUGGUUUGUGUUUCUCAAUGUUUGGCAAGCUCUGUUGCAAGGUUUGUACGAAACCACAAUUUUUCUAGACUUUGCAGUUCCCUUGCCUGUUCGUGGAAUUGAUGGAGUUUUUUUGGAUGGAAUUUCUCUUAGAAUGAAUAAAAAGGCAAGCAAACAGCACAACAUAUAUGCAAGCAAAAUGCAUCCAAGCAGAAUAUAAUCAGGAAUGGUUGAUUUCUCGAGCUUCUUGAAGAUCUGGCAUUUUCUAUUCGUUUGUCAUAAGAUAGUGCUGCUUAAUUCCAGUAUUCAUCAGAGAGGAAAAACACUAUGUUAAUCUGGAAUUUUCUGUCCAGUCAGAUUGCAGGCUGCCCCUAAAAACAGGCUAUCUUUUGUAGAACAGGCUGCAGGUUCCAAAAAUUCACUUGCACUGAAAAUUCAGACAAGUAAAUAACCUGGAAAAGUGACAAUGUGGAAAAUCCGGAACGAUUUUACCAAAUCACAACAUAACCAUUCACAAGACUUGCAAAUUCUGCCUCAAGCAACGAGGCAGUUAAACAUUUUGGCCAACGAAGUAGGAUUAACAUCAUCUUUGUCGUAGUAUCAUAAUACUGAGAGAGCAUUUUCCCUCUCUGUUACAAUCAGAAACACAGAUAAAACCUGACGCAUCACAUAUUUCCUUAUUACAAACAGAUAAAAUCCAACACCAAAAUUCGCAGAACAAACAGUUCUGCCAAGAAUGACAGGGCCCUUCAUCCUCAUCCAGCAAAGCAAUGGUAGUCAAGAACAGCGCCAAGGAGGCAAUUCAAUCAUCACGUGAUCCCCGCUUCUUCCCGUAAUCUCGUCUAAUUACAGAGCAGGAACCUGGUGAGCACGAGCACCCCGCAUGCGGCGGCGAAGAGCGCGAAGACGGCGAGGUCCCUGGCCUGCCAGCGCCUGGCCUUCUCGGCUCCCUUGGCCUCGACUCGGAGGCUCUUGGCCCUUCGCAGCGCGUCCACCUCCUUGAGCAGGUCGAAGUCGAGGCCCUUGCGCUUGAGCUCGGAGACGCACCUGCCGAGGAGCAGCGCGUCCUCCCGCUCCCGCGCGAGGAGGCGCUCCAGGACGGCCUCCGUGUCGGACUUGUACCGCAGCGCCCAGAGCAUGGCGAGGGACGAGAGCAGCGAGACGAGGCAGGGGAUCCAGGACCUCCUGCACGCGGCGGGGGACGGCGAUCCGGCGGAGGCGGAGGAGAGGAAGAGGAGGAGGACGGAGGCGGCGUGGAAGGCAAAGAAGGCGCAGUAGAGGAAGGCGAUCUCCUUGCGCGCGCCGUCGAGACGGGCCUCCCGCAGCGCGACGCGGCGCGCCAGCAGGUCCUCCUCCUUGACCCACUGCUUCAGAAGCAGCCGGUGCGUCCCGCUCGCCGCGAUCUGGCUCAGCGGGUGCUGCUGCUGCCGCGCGGCCCCGGACCCGGCGCCGGAGACGACGAGAGCGCUGGAGUCGGCCAUGGGUGGCGGAGGUGGAAGCUGCGAUUGGGUGGUUCUCGGCGCCGAGCGGCUCGAGUGCACGGCGGCAGCGGCGGUCUCGUCUCGUGCGCGGCUGCUUGGAACGGGAGGGAUCUGAAGGAGGGGAAUUUUUGGGGUCGCAACGGUCGGGAGGGCGAGAUGGGCUUAAAAAGGUUGGGAAAAGCGGGUUCGCGCACCUGACUGAGCGGCGCAACGGUCGGAAUUCCUCCGCGGUGGGCCUGACUGGCGGCGACGCGGAAUUAUUCGGGCUUGGCGUGCACGCGGCCCGGCAGGAUAGGUUGAAGAAGAAGCGUAGAGAGAUGGAUGGGCGGGGCAGCGAUUCUGGCCCACUAACUAGUUGGGAGUCCCCGCAGGCAACCGGCCCACCAGCCCACAGCAGUUUCUCUGAAGGAUCAUAAAAUCGAAGCUGCUUUGCUGGUCAGGUGCUUGCUAUAAAAACAAGUCCUACCAGUAACUCACUUCAUGGGUCUCAAAGAAAAAACCAGUAGCUCACUUCACAGGUCACAUCCUCCAGCUUUUUUUACCUCGCUGUUAUUUUUUUCCACCUGUUUUCUUCCACCACUAAGCCCGCAGCAAGCCCAUUUCGCUGCCUUCGGAAUGAGUGACAUCACGCGAACAUAUUCCACCAGUAUAUGUGCCUGCACGGUUCGGCGCCACGCUUGAUGCCCUAUGAACUUCGAAUGGGCACCCAACAGAAGUUGAUGCUAGCUUCUAGGACAACGCCAUCGUUGUCCGGCAUCACAAAACCCCAGCCACCCUUGCCCGUGCAUCACAAAAUCGUUGGUGGUGCUCUCAGGUCAGCGGCAUGGGAUAGGAACCCCUUGGGGGUGUUUGUUCAGGUGGUUCAGAAAUUUGAUGCCGUAUGAAUUUACUGAAUGUGUUAUCUCAGUCUGUAGUAGUAAUCAGGUAGCAGAUUGUUCAGCUGCUUACGGUGAUGGUAGGAUGGAUGAGGAUGCCAUGCACCAGACUUUGUAUCCGAUGUGGUCUCUGGCGAUCUUACUAGAGACGACACUGGUUAGUGGAAGUUUGCAUUUCCGUUUGUCCAACAGAAGAAAAGAAAAGAAAAGUUGAUGCUGUAAUCCUUACUACCGGUGAUCCUUGGAUCAGAUCGCUCCACGGAUGCAACAGUUUUGCAUAGCCAAGAUGCAAGGUGCGUUCUCCGUCAGAGUUGUUUUCUGAUCCUCAAGCACAGAGUGCCUCGACGGCGACAUUUUAGCCCAUUAGUUUUGGCUGGUUUCAGAGAGGCACUAGACCCACCAGCCCACACAACAAACAGAUCAUUCAUAAUUCAAUGAACUCUCUUAUGAAACUCGUAUGUAAAUCGUAACCGAAGCUGCUGUGGGUUACUUAACCCAUUCCCAGUGAACUGUUUUUAUUGAUAUCCCCAUUAGCAAAUAAGAAUAAUUUUUUGAACAAAUAAGAAUAAAUUGAUGACUCAAACAAUCUUCUACGAUGCAUAGUCUGAGUCUAGCCCACUAGCUGGGAGACCCGCAGCCAACCGGCCCACCAGCCCACACAACAGUUCUCCGAAUCAUCAUAAAAUCGAAGCUGCUUUUCUGGUCAGGUACUCUUGCUAUAAAAAGAAGUCCUACCAGUAGCUCACCUCUCACAAUUCACAUCCUCCAGCUUUUUUAUCUCGUUGUUUCUUUCAACUGUUUUCUUCCACCACUAAACCCCGCAGCAAAGCACUCAAUGGAAGUCGUGCCUCCGUAUUUCGCCGCCUUCAGAAUGAGUGACAUCAGGCAAACAUAUUCCACUGGCAUGCGUCCCUGCACGGUUCGGCGCCACACUUGAUACUCUUUGGGUUUGCGAUGAACAACCAAGAGAAGUUGAUGCUUCCAGCACGACGCCAUCAUCGUUCCGGAGCAAGUUCUAGUGUAGUCGCCAUAGUAAAUGCAACUUAGGACCUGUUUGGCAACUAGGUGUUAAAGUUUAACACCCGUCACAUCAGAUGUUUGGAUGCUAAUUAGAAAUAUUAAACAUAAGCUAAUUACAAAACUAAUUGCACAGAUGGAGUGUAAUUUGCGAGACGAAUCUAUUAAGCCUAAUUAGUCCACGAUUUGACAAUGUGGUGCUACAGUAACUAUUUGCUAAUGAUGGAUUAAUUAGGCUUAAUAGAUUCAUCUCGCGAAUUAGCACAAGAUUCUGCAAUUAAUUUUAUAAUUAGCUCAUGUUUAGUUCUCCUAAUUAGUAUCCGAACAUCCGAUGUGACACUGUUAAAGUUUAACAUCUCGUAUCCAAACACCCCCUUAAGCAGUCGGCAGCUGAGAGAGGGAGUAGUGUUCAUCACUGUACAGUGUACCAUGCAAACCCCAGCCACCCUUGCCCGCGCAUCACAGAAUCCUUGGGGUUGUUUGUUCAGGCAGUUCAGAAGCUGAAACAAGUGCUAGUGUCACCGGAAUUUUCUGCAAAUUCGUCAAGACAUAAGAAUUUUGAUACUAUUUUGUUAUUCUAUAGGGGUGAAACUGAAAGGAGCCAAAACAGAUCACGGCAUUGCCGGUGGCAGGCCUCUGUUCUCGCCGACCCAUGGGAAAGUGGUGCAGCACAUAGAGGAGAUCAUCACGGUUCCGUUUGAGGGGUCAGUGGUGGCCACAGCUUGACGGGGCAGCGGCGAGCUCGGCCAUGGGCGGCUUGAUCUGCACGGACAGGCGCCGGCAUUGGCCCUUCAGGCAUGGCCCAUCCUGCAGGAAGCCAGAGGAGGGCGCUGGGAUGGUGCGGCACCAGUGGCUCGCCGUGCGCCCCACCGCAGGUGGAUCCGGAUUGUCGUCGUUAUUUGCGACGACUACAAUGGCGAUGCCAUGCCGUCUCGUACCUGGGAGCACGAGCGCGUGCCGUCAUCUCACGAGAUGACAGCUCCCGUCUCUCUCUCUUCGUAAAUGAGGAUCAAUGGAAAUUCAUUGCUGGCGGUACAAAGAUGGUGGUCGUUGGUUUUCAUCGUGGACUAAAAUUUGAAUUAAAAUGUGCACUUUAGUUGAUUAAACAUCUAAACACUUGACUAAAAGUAGGACUAAAAUCUUUAGUCCUCUAGUCCACAAAACUGGACUAAAGCGGGGCGGGGUUCGGGGAGGGCGGCGGCAGGCGGGUGGUCGAGGACGGUGGCGGGGCGAGGGCUAGCGGCGGGGACCGGUGGGGCAGUGGGGCGGGUAGGGUGAGGGGGACACGGACAAGUCAUAAACGAGGGUAGGGGUAUCCAGGGUACACUUUAGUCCCCAUAAGCAACCCCUUGGUGACUUAUGGAUUAAAGUUUAGUCCCAUAAGCAAGUCUGUUUGGAACUUUAGGGACUAAAAGGAACAAAACUUUAGUCUCAAAAAUAAGUAAGGUGAAUCCAAACACAGCCUAAAGGAAUAAAAUAGGACCUAAUCCUCCUCGUACUGUGGGCAAUAAGGAGAUCAAUUAAACUCACUAGCCUAUCAACCCGUGCUCCUGCACGGGCUAAUAUUUUUAAAAGCUAUUGUAUUUGAAAAUUAUUUAGAAAUUAAACUCUUAGCUAAUAAUCAAAAUUAUUUACUUACUGCCUCUCAUUUGCCCAAUACUUCAACACAAUACUUAUAUAGAUAUGUACCUAUUUUUGUCCAGUUUUGAUUGAUUUUUAAUUAAUAAUUACUCUAUGCACUUUUUUUUAUCCAUAUUCAUAUUUUUUCCUUUUUAUCACACCUCCAAUCCUCCAUACAUUAUGUUUAGCAUACAAAUCAAUAUUUUUCACCGAUUCCUCACAUACAUGUAUAAAUGGUCUAAAUGGUGGCACUCAUCAUGUGUAUAUACUUUAACUUAGUAUUUUCAUAUUAACAAUGACAUAAAUAGGUAAUUUAGAAUCAUAUUUUAGUUUACUUUUUGACAUUUUUGUAUGAUGCACAUGAAGAUAAUUUGAUUAAGAUUUAGGUGUUUACUUUAGGUUAUUUUUAAUAUCGACAUACAUGGGUAACAUAGAUAAAAUUUUAGAAUGACAUUUUAAGUUAUGCUUUUAUAAUGAUGUGUAUUAGUAAAUUGGAUGAAAUUAUGGGGUUACUUUAGAUUAUUUUUUAUAAUAGCUGAGCUCGGCAAUUUAGAUAUAGGUUUAGAGCUCAUUUUUUAAUAUUUUUCCAAUGAUGGUGGGUAAAUUUUUAGAAAAUAUAAUAGAUCAAUGGCUAUGAUUAUUAGAGUUUACAGGAUUGGUGUUCGAUGUUUUUAAUUUUUAUGAGAAUUUCUCUCCUUUUUCUAGCUUAUCUCAUGGGAACUAAUAUGAAGUCUCUAGUGGAAAAAAUAAGACUACAUUGCUACAAAAUUAUUACCAUAAGCUACCUUGUCGUUUGUUAAAUAUUCAAACACGAUACUUAUGUAGAUAUAUACUUAAUAUCUUCAUCCAAUUGUGAUAGACUUUAGUUAGUAAUUACUCUAUAAUAUUUUCAUCCACAUUUAUCAUCUUUAACUUUUCACUUUGGAUCACAAUUAUACGCUUGAAUUUGUUUAAUGAACCCUAAGUUUGAGAUACAAUUUUAGCAUAGAAAUCCAUAUUUCCAUCACUUUAUAUCCUUAUAAAUGGUAACACACAUCAUGCGUAUAGAUCUUAAGUAUUAUAUCGUAUACCAAUAGUGCAAGAUAUAGAUGAUUUAGAACCAUAUAUUGCUGUAUAUUUUUAAUUAAGGUUAUUUGAUUCAAAACGUAGGGUUACCUCAUAUUAUUUUUAAUAAUAGCAUGUGUGGGUAAUAUAGAUGCAAAUUUAAGGGGUUACUUUAAGUUUUUAAAGUAAUAGUGGUAGGCAAUUCAGUUGCAAAUUAGGGGGUUAUUUUAAAUAUUGUUUAUAAUGGUAUAAGUGGGUAAUUUUGAUGAACAUUAGGGGGUUACUUUAGUUUAUUUUAUAUAAUAGCAGAGGUGGGUAAUUUAUAUAUAGAUUUAGGGGGUUACUUUAGGCUAUUUUCAUAAUGGCAUAGGUGGGUAAUUUUUUAGAAACCAUACUAGAUCCAAUGGCUAUAAUGAUUUGAAUCUAUUGAUUGAUGGUUGGAUGUUUUACUUUUUUCCGAGAAUUUUUAGGAUUUCUCUCUUUUUCUAGAGUGUCCACCCAAAAAUCCUAGGUGGCUUCACCUAGAGACUUCAAAAGGAGCCUCCAAUUAGUAAUAGUAAGAUAAGCAACCCCAUAUAUGGGCCUGUUUGGCAGAGCUUCACGCAGCUCCAGAUCCAAAAAAACAGUAGCUCCACUACAGAGCAGCUCCAGCGUGGAUCUAUGUUCUCACCGUGGAGCUGAGCAAAAGUGUUUGGCUGACACAACAACUCCAAAUCCAGAAACAGAGUUUUUGGUUGGAUUGUCCACUAAUACCCUUGGUAUUUUCCAUUUUUUCUUCUCAUUUUUUUUCUGAAAAAAGAAAAAUGGCCGGAGGAAGAUAUACAGGUCUCCAGCGCAAUCACGUAGACAUGUUUUUUUUUUCCAUUUUUUCUUCUCAUUUUUUUUCUGAAAAAAGAAAAAUGGCCGGAGGAAGACAUACAGGUCUCCAGCGCAAUCACGUAGACAUGUUUUUUUUCCAUUUUUUCUUCUCAUUUUUUUUCUGAAAAAAGAAAAAUGGCCGGAGGAAGACAUACAGGUCUCCAGCGCAAUCACGUAUUGACAUGUUUUUUUUAUAUACGCAUGCAUCCGGUCAUUUUCCCAAGAAGUUGAUUAAUUGUUCAUAUAUAAAUUAAUUGUUCAUACAUAAAUAAUUGUCCAUACAUAGAAAAUAAAUUUGAUAAUUCACUACUUCAUUACAUUCUACCUCCAAGCAAGAGCAAGAUUGGUGGCCAGCUCAUCGCGAAAAAUAUCCAUUGUAGUGACACUGCCUUCUGAAGUAGAUCCAUCCGAUGGAACUACAAAUGGAUUGUACCGUUGCGGUAUUGUAGGGACAAAAUUAGGAUCACGAUCAAACCGAGCAAAGUCUGAAUCCUCACUAUUAUGCUCACGAAUGAAAUUGUGAAGGACCAUACAAGCAAUAACUACCAUUUUUUGUUUCCACAUCGGGUAGUUCGGCAUUUUGUAUAAAAUUUGCCACUUCAUUUUCAAUACGCCAAAAGAUCGCUCAAUCACAUUUCGAAUAGAAGAAUGGAUGCGAUUGAAUUUUUCCUUUGGAGUUUUUGGUUCCAUACCUCUAUGCCACUCAGGCAUAUGAUACCUCUCACCCUUAUAUGGAGCUAGAUAACCUGGACGAUUGGGAUACCCCGCAUCGACAACGUAGUAUUUACCUACAAAUGAUGACAAAAAAUAAAUUUAUUUGUAGUCACGUAUAAUGGUAAAAUAACUAUUCCAAUAAAUUUUACCUUGCGGUGGAUGUGGAAAGAAUUUCUCGUCCACACUCAAUGCAUUGUAUAACACACUUGUGUCAUGCAUAGCUCCUGGUUGGCCCGUGGACACAUAUGUGAACCGCAUGUCGAAAUCACAGACUGCUAAAACAUUUUGGGUGGCUAUCCCUGUCUUCCCGAUAUACCUCACUUGAUCAUCCGGUGGAAGGGAAACACGAAUAUGGGUGCCAUCAAGUGCUCCAAUGCAAUCUUUGAAAUGUGGAUAUGCUCGCCUAUCAUCCCUUAUUCUCCUAUGAACAUUAUGAAAAUUUGGAUCUUUUGGCCUAAUGAAAUCCUUUGCCAUGGCCAUCAAACAGUUUAGAACAUUCUCAAAUUUUCGACUAAUAGUUUCACCAGAGUGCUUGAAUCGAUUUUGACAUUUUCUAUUAGACUCAUUUCCCGCACAGAUAAAUAAGAAAAUUCCUAGACUCUCUUAGGUAGACAUGUGCAACGAUGGUUUUAGCCCAUACCUCUGUACCAAUAAGCCAUGAAGAUCAAAGAAGAUUUCUGUGCUCAUACGCAACUGGCUAUGGCAUUCGCCUGGAGUGUGCAAAGUCUCCAAAAUAAAACCCAUUCCACUGGUGGUAGAUGUCCUUGUAGGGUUUUUAGUAAGGAACAUAUCAACAUAUAUUUGAGCAAGCAUAGCACCUCCUAGGAUAGUUUUGAAAAAUUCCUCAUUCUCAUCACUAGAAUCAUCACUAGACAACUGCAAGAAUAAAAAUAACAUGUCCAAAUAACAACGUAAGAUGAAUAAAAAAUGACAACAAUUUGACCAUCACAAAUUAUCCACACAAGAUAGAUGAAUAAAAAAUGACAACAAAUUAAACAUCACAAAUUUGUCCAUAUGACAUAGAUGAAUAAAAAUGACAUGUCUAAAAAAAAGAUGGCAAAUCACUCGGCCAUCACUUUGCAAACAUCAUAUCGUACUUCCUCUUAAGCCAACUAAACCUAGCCUCAUUGGUGGGAAUAGUCAUGAACAUUUCCCUUUGCUCUUUCUUGACAAAAAGCUCAGUUGCCACAAAAUGCUCAUCACUGCCACACGCAGCCCCACAUGCGGCAACAUGGUCCAUUACUUGUUCAAUAGUGAUCCCAGCUUGCCUGCUUGCCACAAAAGAGGAAGCAUUAUCUGAUAUCUUGGAGAUGUGUUCUUGUAUAACUAAUGCUGUGCUUGCCUUAGAUUUCUUGUUAGGUUUAUCAAGGAUCACAUGUACUUUUUUCUUAGCAUUGGCAACGGAAGGAGAAACCUCCUGGACCUCAUCGCCAUUGUCUAAAUCAUUGUUACCACCCAUCUCUAACCCAUCCUCGGCAUCAAUGAAGUUGGAACUCAUAGGAUUGGGUGCUUCUUGGCUUGGGGGUAUGAUGGGGUUGGAACUCAUAGGAUUCCAAUGAUCUUGCUCUUCAUUAAUGAUGUUUCCAAACAUCACCUUCAACUCAUCUUCGUUUUGGAGAGGCCUAUUCUUAAAUUUUCCCACGCCAGGAAUGUCCUAAAAGUGUUUGACAAAGGUAUUAAAUUGAAAUUAUACAAGACUAAUAUAAUCUAUAUAUGAACAAAAUACCAUGCGAGAAGUGCUCACUUUUUUUGUUUUUUUCCACCACUCGGUGUCCAUAUUGAUAGUUCCCUUCUCCCAGUUCCAACCAGUACCAGUUUGCUUUCUCAUUAAUUUUUUCCAUGCAGACAAAUCACCCCUCAACUUAUCCCACUUGUUCUUAAGUUGACUUUUUUUCAACAUGAUACCGGUACUCUGAAAAAACCUUUCUUUCACCUCGGAAUAUCCCACAUUGUUCAAAUGAGUGUUUGGUCGAUUUCCUUUUCUAACUUGUUCAGCAAACAACUUGCAAACAAUGGUGGUAUAGCCAUCAUUCCAAUCCAUAUGAUCACCCUAUUAAUGAUUUCCCCAAAAUAUUGUUCAAAUUUCAACUCUAUUAUACAACAGCUCCACUACAAUGGAAGAAAAAUAUACCUCAUCAUCCCUUGCCCUUUUGUUAGCUGAUGCAGCACGCCUCCUAGCUUGCGCAACCGGCGUAGAAGAUGCCUGCGACGCCAUCAGGAACUCAUCGCCGAUCACCGCGUCCUACAUGCCAUUUGCCAAUAGUCAACUAUCACAAACAGUAGAUUAAAAUGGAGUUUUUUUGGGGUGAUGGUAAUGUGUAGUAAUACUGCAAUACACACUCCUAGUCACAAUUUCAGAAGUUCACAUUUAGAAAACUGAAAGUAUAUAUCAAGGUUUAGACGUGUGAUGUAGUUACACCACAAUGGAUCGUUAAAGCACCAGUAGCAGAACAAAAGAGUGAACCUGCAAUGCAAACCAAUGUUCUCCAGUCCCUCUGCCAGAACUAUGAUAGCGAUGAUAGUGAGUGAGGACAACCCCUCUUGAAGCCAUAAUAAUACUGACAAAUCUCUGGCAGUCAAUGGCUCAACUGCAAGUAUUGACUCUUAGUAAUCUGGAUUGUCUAGAUAUAGUUGUGUUAUUGGAUAUCCGAAAAUGUUGCAGUAUUUGUAAAAGUGAUGGUCGCAAAAAGUUCAAAAUUAACUCAGGGUUCAUAGGCAGAUCCUUUCAACUUGUUAGUAUUGACAUAAAGCAUAGAACAUGCAGUGCACAACAGUGUUGUAUGAUCUGAAAAGGACGACUACAAUUUUACUCCUUGACUCUAUGAUUACAAGGACACCUCUACACCAUCCAAGUUUUAAAAACAUGCUACUAUUUCCUACAAUAGGUUGUUGAAACAGCACAAAACAUUUCCCCUGACAACAAUUAACCAACCUCAUCACAGUAACCAGUUCAUACUAGUGACCCAGAAAACUCAUGCUUCAGUCUUACGAUACAAACAAGCCGUGCAAGACAACAAUAGCCGUUUGUGCAUGCAAUGACAAGCAACGGACGUGAACAGUAUCCGUUUCUGCGUACCAAAGUGAUGUGCACUACCCCUCACGACAAGCCGCACAAUGACACCAUGCCAGCUCAAUGCCAACUCCAUGGAUGCAUCCCCCUUUUGUGUGCUCUACCGCAAGUGCAUUUCCCUUGUUUGUGCUCUAACAGCUAGUGCAUCUCACUUGUGAGUGCUCUAACGGCUCGCCACACAACGACACCAUGCCAGCUCAAAGCCAACCUAUGAAACCGGUCACAAAUUAAAGAACAAAGAUAUCAAAGUUCUAGCAUACUGCAUUCUACAUAAGAUCAAGCAAACCUGGAAGAAAUUGUUUCAUUCCCGUCACAAAAUAGACAACUUAUAACCAAUCAUCACAAGAACCCGCCUACUCCGCAGAAAUAAAAUCCAAGCAUGUGACAGAAGCAAAAGAAUAAAAGACAAACCAAACCAAUGUGUAUCCAUCUGUCAUGCAGAUGGUACUACCAUCACGCUAAGCUGUUGCAACAGCAGCUACCUAAAACAAAUCAUUGAACCUAGACAACUAGGACAGAUCAAUAGAAAUGAAUAGAUUCCAUGGGUAACUAAGCGGCUAAAUGUCUGGUUUGGCCUUCAUCUUGAUUGUUCAGCUUGGAAUCAGAUGAAAAACUGUAGGGACAGUACAGGCACCCAGCCUUGAACCAGCAACAGCUGAGAAUCCCCAUCCAGUAGAACAAAGAAACAUUUCUGCAUUUCGGCUCGCCAUCAUAAUCAUCAUCAGAUAUUCUUACCAAGCCAUCCGCGUCGCCAUGGCCACCCGCGGCCCGGCUUGCGCCGUCCAGGCCGGCCGCGCCGCCCAGGCCAGCCGCGGCCAGGCUUGCGCCGCCCAGGCCGGGCGCGCCGCCCAGGCCAGCCGCGGCCAGGCAGGCGCCGCCCAGGCCGGGCGCGCCGCCCAGGCCCGCGGCGGCCAGGCUCCCGCCGCCGGGUGCGCCGCCCAGGGUCCCGCCGCCGGGCGCGCCGCCCAGGCCCGCGGCGCCCAGGGUCCCGCCGCCGGGCGCGCCGCCCAGGCCCGCGGCCCCCAGGGUCCCGCCGCCGGGCGCGCCGCCCAGGCCCGCGCCGCCGGGCGCGCCGCCCAGGGUCCCGCCGCCGGCGCGCGCCGCCCAGGCCCGCGACGGCCACGCUCCCGCCGCCGGGCGCGCCAGUGACGCCGCCGGGCGCGCUAGUGAUGGGGCCGGGACGGGAAAGUCCAACCCUAGGGGCCGGAUUGGAAGAUGAAGGGGGCGGAGGAGGUGGAGGAGGACCUGAACUUCUCAUUCCCGACGGCGGUCCGGCCACCGACGGAGACGAGGCGGCGGCCGGCGCUGGAUGCGGCGGGGGAGGAGAAGGAUAAGGCGUCGGAUGAAAGAACAGAGGGACGGCGCGGAGAAAAUAAAACGGAGGGCGAACCGGUACGAGAUGUGUGUAAUCGAUGGUAUUGGUGGGUAAUUUCCACCAACUCCAUGAGGGGUUACAAAACCAGCGUUUUGAGAGCACCCCCUUGGGUGCUCCGUGGAAUUGGUGGAUCUGGGAGCUGGAUCCAAUUUUUUUGCGGAUCUGGAGUUCACGGAGCUGUACCGUUUGGCUGGAAAAAAUAGGAGCGGAGCUGUUUUUAAGGAUCUGGAGCUGCGUGGAGCUCUGCCAAACAGGCCCUAUAUAAGAGAUAUAUAGCCUAAACUCCUAGGCAGUUCCGCAGGGCACCAGCCCACCAGCCCAACACACAGUUAUCUGAACCAUCGUAAAAUCGAAGCUUCUUGCUGGUCAGCUACUGAGGUGUUACAAAAAGAAGUCCGUCCUAGCAGUAGCUCCACUUCACACACACCAGCAUUUUUUUUUACCUCUGCUGUUUUCUUCCACCACCAAAAUUAAAGCAACGAGCACUCGACAGAGCUCGCUCCUCCGCAUCUCGCUGCUUCGGAAUGAGUGGCAUCUGGCAAGCAUAUUCCACCGCUUGAGGUUUCAGAACAGUUCGGCGGCACGGUUGAUGCUCAAAGGCAUUGGAACCCACUCCCAAUGAGCAUUGAUGCUGUAGUAGUGCCAAGCUUAGGGCAAGGCCAACGUGGCUGACUCAAAUGCUAGGAAACGUGGGAUCCGGUGCAGAGGGCAACAGGUAAAAUCCAUGAGACCAAGCAGGACACCCCCACAGUCAGUAAACAGAAGUUAGUAGUUUAUUUGCUUGUGGUGCACUCUAAGAUUGAAGCGUAUUUUUUCUUUUAUAUACCCACAAUAGUAAAGGUGCAUUCUUAUAGCAGCGCAAGAUGCUUAAGCUCACCUUUUUGUCAAUGUUGUGGUUGCCCUUAGACUUGCACGUACCAUUUGAUUCUCGUCAUGGCGCGCUAGGUGCAGUCACGUAGACCCGCUGGAAGAAGCGCUUGUAUCAAGGGAGAGACGCUAGCAUCACAAUGGGUGCGCCAACCAAUGAUCCUUGAAUCAUCCAAAGUUGUGCACUAUUGCAUAGCCAAGAUGCAUCCUGCACAGGAAAACAGCGGAUUGGUGGUGACCGACAGGCCACACCACAUAUCGUUCAUAAUUAUAUUGUUCCGAGACUCGUAUGCAAAUCGUAAUCGAGAAUGCUGCAGAACAUGUUCCUCACGGAGGUCUAAAACAAAAGUCCCAUAAUUAACUUGCAAGGUGUCCUGUUUAAUUAGGGUUCAACAUGCAAACUUUGACUAGUGUACUUGCAGCUAGUGCUCAUUAAUGUUACAUGUACCACUUUCAUAUAAAAAUCUGAUAAUAACAAAAAUUAGAUGAUAUAAAUGGGAUCUGAUAAUAACAAAAAUUAGAUGAUAUAAAUGGGUGGUAAGCUGACUCCUAGGUACGACACAUUUUCAGAACAACUCGCGCUUUACAGUGUAGACUACAUCGGCACUAGCCUUGCUUCCCACACUGUAAAGCAUAAUUAUGCCACCAAACCAGAACAUGAAUCAAACAAACAAUUAAUUCUAGUGUAAAUCACUUUAUCUAAAGAUGGCAGAAAUAGGUCACGUUCCACCUCUAUGCUGUAAGUACCACCAACAAGCUAGUGGCUCACUUCACACACUGAUCCCCCUCUUGGUGCAUACUCCUCAUUACCCCGUUGUUUAUUCUACCUGUUUUCUUCCCCAACUAAACACCCAAUGGAAGCCGUGCAUCCUUAUUUUGCUGUUGCCUUCGGAAUGAGUGGCAUCACGGGAACAUGUUCAGCACCAUAGUCGAUGCUCGGCAGAAUCAAGAUGGACGCCCAGGCAACAUUGAUGAGGUGAUGCCAAGCUUAGGUUUGCACGGUAGAAGAGAUGACGUUGCUCUCGACAUGGUUCAGUCCCGCUGGUUCUGCUGACAAGCACACGCGCGACGUCACAGCGUGGGUGAGCCUAUACCGGUGAUGCUUAGAUCAGAUUGCUCUGUAGCGUGGAGACAAUAAUCUUGCCUAGGCAAGAUGAGAAUUGAUGUGACAUUGUAUUCGGCUGUCGUGGUGUUAUGGUGACCCUGAAGCACCACAGCGAUUCAGGAUGCACAAUGAAUGUAGAUGCAGAGAGUGCUCAUUUUAUGUCACAUGUAUAUAUCUCACUUUCAUAUCUCAAAAAUAUAAGAACAGAUGUUAAACGAUAUAUUCUCUUGUAGAGUUAUACAAGUACUAUGGACAGUUGGACACUCCUUGCUUCACACACGCUACUCCAGCUCUUGAGUGCAUCCUUGCAUAUACUUUUAAUCUUAUUUUACGUAUUUUCUCACCACUACGAUAAUACUAACUACUACCUCCGAUUCUUUUUAUUUGAACAGCCAAAUUGAACUACUUUGCAGGCUAAAAUCACUGUCCGAAACGUCAAAUAUAAUGAAUCGGAGGUACUACUAAGUGAAGGUCAAUGCGUCUUGUGCAUGUCGCUACCAGCUUCAGACUGAGGGGAAUCGGGAAAGCGCAGUCCACAAGACCCACACCUCCUGGUCGGUUCGCCGCCUUCGUCUGUGCUUGUCCAUCACGUCGACGACGUCCAUGAGACCAUGAAGAACAGAUAGACGCUACGUUCAAGCUUGGAAUUACAUGUGUUAGCACAUGAGAGAAACUAAACGUUCGUCGCCCCCACGAGAGUUGAGAAUCAUAGCAGCAAGCCAGCAACUGGGGUGGAGACUGUUCGGACAAACGCAAAAGCUUUUCGCCUGAUGGGCCGCGCUUAUUAGAUGGAUUAUAUUCAUCCUGUUUUAAGGUUUAACUUGCAAACUUUGACCAGUGUACAUGGAGCUGGUGCUCAUUUUUGUCACCUAUACCACUUUCAUCUAAAAAAAUGAUAAUACCAAAUUUAGACGAUAUAUUAAUUGGCUUUGCAAUUUGUAUAAGCUACUCCUGUAUAACUACUAUCGGCACUUGCCAUGCUUCCCGCAUCGCACAUUUUUUUUAAUCCCAUUUUACCUAUUUUCUCACCACAAAUACUCAGUGAAGGUUUAUUUCUUACAAGUUGCUAGCUUCGGAUUGAGCGGCGUCGGGAAAGCGUUGUCCACUGGCGGAUACGAUCAUCUGACAGCUUGCCGCCAUGGUUUGUGCUCGUCCGUCCCUCAUCAGGCGCAGCCAUAAGAGAUGAGACCGUGGCGAACAGCUAGCUGCACACUCCGUUGGAGCCUGGACUUGCGUGAUGACAUGAGAUAAACUGGGAACAUGGUAUAGUCACCCCCUUGAGAACAAAUCAUAGCAGCAACCGAACUGGAGACUGUUCUAAUAAACUCUGUUGCCCUGAUGGGCCGCACUCGGAUGGAUUCAUCCUUUUCUAAUUUCUACCAGUACCGGGAGGUUUGUAGUUUUGUUUCUAGAAAGCUAGCAACUAAAUUGAACUUGAAUAGAAGUUAACAUCUUAGCGUUUGCAUGUGAAUUGACCCACAAAUUUUUCACGUUAGCUUUACGACGGUGUAACUUGCAGAAUAAUUUUAACUUGUGAGAACUUUUAUGCUGCAUAGACUUAUCCUCCCAUGGAUUAAUGAAAUAGCCUCAAAUUAAUUUUUUCCCCCCACGAGGAGUCACAUAAUGCACGAGUAAACCUUAACAGCAUUCUAAGUAGUGAAACAUUAUAUUGACAUGGAUUUAAACUUGUUGAUUCUAAGUAGUGAAAUAUGGAUAUUGACAUGGAUUCAAAAUUUUCACAAGGAAGCAAAUAGUUCAUGGUUAAACUUGAACAACACUCAAAUUAGUGAAAUUUGAUAUUGCCAUAAAUCAUUCAUUCGGGUUUGGCGUUCACGCGGCCCUGCAGGGACUCCCGUAUGGCACCGGCACAUCAUCAUAAAAUCGAAGCUAGACGUCCUACCACCUCUCUAUCUCUCUCUAAAAACAAAAGUCAUACCAGUAGCUCACUUCACACACUCCAGCUGUUUUACUAGCUCGUUGUUUCUUUCACCUGUUUUCUUCCCACCACUAAAGCAGCAAGCACUGAAUGGAAGUCGCGCGUCCGCAUUUUGCAGCCUUCGGAACGAGUGGCAUCGGGCAAACGUACUCCACCUUUUGGGAUCUCGUCACGGUUGAUACUCUAAGGACUCAAAAUCCAUGCCCAAGAGACAUUGAUGCUGCAGUGCCAUGCUUAGAUUUGCAUGAAUCAAGAGCGUGUAGUUCUCGCGAAGGCUGGCCCCGCUGAAAUGGAACAAGCGCCCAUUGCAACAUGCGGAUUACUUGUCUGCAACAUGCUCCUCCCUGAGGUCUAAAAUGAAGCCUGUUUAUGUCAGCGAGUGCUCAUUCAUGUCACAUAUCUCACUUUCAUCUCAAUAUAUGAUAAUUUAUAACAAAAAAAAUGAUGUAUUCGCUUGUAAACUACUCCUACAUUUCUACUGUCGGCACUCGCCUGCUUCACACGUACUACACACACCGCACAUUAGUUUUGUUGUAGGAAGCUACUACCAACUAAAUCCAACUUCAAUAGAAACUAACAUCUUAGCGUUUGCACGUGAAAUUGACUCACAAAUUUUGCACGCUAGCUUUAUGGGUUUAACUUGUGCAGUAACUUUAGAUCAAGUGAUAUGUAUCAUUAUGUUUCGCGAAAAAAGGUGAUGUGUAUUACAAACUCAUUACAGUUUUCUAUUACUGCCAGUUUUUCUGUACGUGUUAAAGUUUCGAUAGUGUAACCAUGUGCGGCGGUGCAUGGUUCACGCAAUGAAACUAUAUAGAUGCUUGAUUGAUAUUGAUUUUCAAAAACAACAAUGGAAUGAUUAUAAGAUUGUUUUAACUUACAGCAUCUGGACACAAUGUCGUCUGGGACCGGUGUAUCCGACUUUCUGGUUGACACAAUCAAUUCCUCAAUUCGCCAUGGUUGGUGCCAUGAUGCUCAGCCCUUGCAACCAAGAGCGUUCAUAUAGUGCAACUUCGCUUACUCUGUCAUCUUUGAUUUUUGUGUGAAAACAUAUUAGAAAACUUGGCAGUUGUCCAGCCAAUUCUGCCAAAAGUCAUCAACCUGAACCUGAACAUGAGCCACGUCUAUCUUUAAUCUCAAACCCUUUCACGUUUACUCAUCCUAACUUUAGAAGCUGCUAUAAUAUUACUUAACUACUCCCAUUUCAAAUUAUAAGUCAUUCUAACUUUUUUGAGAGUCAAAGCAUAUCAAGUUUGACCAAGUUUUAUACAAUAAAGUACUAACAUUCAUGAUACCAAAUAAGUAUCACUAGUUUUUUCAUUAAAUAUAUUUUCAUAGUAUAUCUAUUAGGUGCCAUAAAUUUUUGUGAUCCUCUCUAUAAUUUUAGUCAAACAUAAAAUGGUUUGACUUUCAGAAAAAUUGAAAUAACUUAUAAUUUGGAAACGUGCACAACCUUUGGCUUUCAAUAACGGAUGUGGGUCUAAUAUAAAAGAAGUCCUGCUGCAACUGAUAAACAAAUGGCAAAAAGUAGGACAUGUUCCACCUCGCUCUGUGCUAUCACUAUUAGCAGCAGCCAGUGGCUCACUUCACACACACUCCAGCUGUCGGUGCAUGCUCGUUUCUUUCACUUGUUUUCUUCCACCACUAAACACUCAAUGGAAGCCUUGCAUCCUCAUUUUGCUGCUGCUUUCGGCAUGAGUGGUAUCACGGGAACAUGUUCGAUCAGCUUGACGAGUUGAUUUGACUGUUCGGCACCAGAGUCGAUGCUCACAGUGCCUGUGUCCAAGUUAUAUUGAUGCUGUAAUGCCUAGCUUAAUUUUGCACAGAGCAAGAGUUUGUUUUUGUUCAUAGGCAUGCCGCAUUCGGUUUCAUCGCGCUAGCUGGUCCGUCCUGCUGACAUGUACAUGCACGCCGUGAAGGACUGGCGUGUCAUCACAGUGGGUGCGUCUAGCUGCCUAUGAUCCUAGGAUUAGAUUGCUCAUGUUGGACGAGAUUGCAUUUGGCUCUAAUGUUGUUGCUAAUCAUCGUGCACCAGAGCGACCCGAUGGUGGCUAGGCCCAGCGGUGCAUGGUUCACACAAUGAAAAUAUAUGGAUGCUUUGAUUGAUAAUGAUUUUUAUAAAUAACAAUAGAAUGAUUAUAUGGUUUCGAAUUUACAACAUCCGGAUAGAAUGUCAGGGAAUGGUGUGGUGUUGAUAGUGGAUAGGUAAGCCCAAUACACACUUUUGGGAAUUUUUUUUCACGCUGUAUAGACUUUUCCUCCCAUGGGUUAAUGAAAUGGCCUCAAACUUUUUUUCUUCGCGUGAGGAGUCAAAUAGCCUCAAUUCUUUUUCGUGAGGAGUCAAAUAAUGCUCACAUUUCAUGCUAUAACCACUGUCGAGACAAGCGCGUCGCUCCCCAGUCACCACUCACCACACAACAGCUCUCGCAUAGUCUAGUGUCAUUUUGGAUACAAGAGGACCGGACCUUCUCCUAUGCACGACGACGAGAGGGGCAGUCGCCAUCUUCUGGAACACAGUAGCCAACAGUUGAGGGAUUGGUUCUGAUAAAUCCAAAGACUGUUUUCUCUGAAGGGCCGAGCUUGGAUGGGGCUAAUCCAAUCCUUCCAACAGAGUUUUUUUUUGUUUUGUUUAAAAAAUGUGAGAUGCCAAAUUGAACUUGAAAACAAAAGUUUUAAGGGUUUUAUGUUAACUUCAUGACCUUAACGUGUGCGGUACUUUGAAUAUAACAAUUUAAUUCAGAUAUAAUCAUGUUGUUAUUCAAGGGGCUACAACUAUAUCAGUCACUGACGCCAUCAUUUAUAUUAUAUUUUUUUUUGUGAAUUUUAAGUCUCAGUGUAAUCUUGUCUGGUGGCAGUUUACACAAUGACAAAACAUGAUGUUUUUUUUCUUUGUUUUGAGCCGAUGGGAUGGGAUGAUAAUAAUAUUGCGGAAUUGUACCAUGCGGACAUAAUGGCAGGAACAAGUCUUACGUGUUAGUGUUGAUAGCUUUAUUUGCACAGGAAAUUCCACCGGGUCAUAAUAGUUGAUAGGUAAAUUGUACAGUAUACAUGUGGGGAUUUUCGUGCUGUAUAAACAUUUUAUUUUGUAGGCUUAUAACGUAGCCCCCAAAUUCAAUUUUUCUCACGAGGAGUAAUUAUUAUGCACGGUCAAACUUGAAAAAGCACUCCAUGUAGUGAAAUGUGGUUAUUGACAUGCCAUAAAUUGAAGUUGUUGAUUUCAAAUUUUUUCGAGGCAAUAUCUCAUUGGUUGUUCUAUAUCCACAUAUAGAACAUUUGCCUCUUUCAUUUCUUUGCCACUUAUAGACUUUUUUGUAUUCAGUUUCGGUUUCUACAUCCACAUAUUACAAUAGGUCACGUGAGUUCGGUCGGUCCUUCCCUUGAUCAGUCGCUCACACUCACAGGGGACAACACAUUCCCCCCCCCCCCCCCCCCCCCCCCCCCCCCAAUCUUUCCAAGCGACUGAAUGCUGAAGGCUAAACAGUCGUACACCUAUAAUCUAGCUAUUUAUUCAGGCUAAACGGCCAUUUAGAUGAAAAGUGGGUAAAUCAAGCAACAGCUUCCGACCUGAGGUAAAUUUUCCAUGUGCAAUUUACCCUACCUCACUGCUGUGCUUUAGCAUGGUAAUUUAUUUGACCUACCAACUCGCUUUGUUACCGAAAGUACAACGAAGAAAUAUAUAUAGGCGUGCACUGGCCACCAGCAAGGCCGCAACCUUAUUAUUAGUUUAAGCUGACUUUCCCUGCGCUACGCAUUUCUUUGCCUUCCUGGUUAUCUUACUGUCGCCGCCAAGCAUUCGUCCAAGCACUUCUACGGGGUGUUUGGAUCGAAGUUUAGUCUAUGUCACAUUGAAUAUUCGGAGGUUAAUUAGGAAGACUAAAUAUGAGUUAAUUAUAAAACUAAUUACACAGAUGGAGGCUAAUUCACGAGACGAAUCUAUUAAGCCUAAUUAAUUCAUGAUUAGCAAAUGUUUAUUGUAGCAUCACAUUGUCAAAUCAUGGAUUAAUUAGGCUUAAUAGAUUCAUCUUGCGAAUUAGCCUCCAUCUGUGUAAUUGGUUUUGUAAUUAGUCUAUGUUUAAUACUCCUAAUUAGUAUCUAAACAUCCGAUAUGACUGAGAAUAAACUUUAGUCUUGUGAACCAAACGGGGCCUAAAUCGUCAACCUCAACUAGCAUGGCCGACGCUGCAUGUCACUUCAUUCGGAACGAGCUGCAUUCACUACUAAGGAAAUGGCCUUAUGUACCGGUUGGGAACCCCCCUUAGUACUGGUUUCGCAACUGGUAUUAUUAAUUCGGUACUAAAGGGGCCCCUUUAAUACCGGUUGAAAUAACCGGUACUAAAGGGGCCCUUUAAUACCGGUUGAAAAAAAAUUGAAAUCCACCCGCCGCCCCACCCAGCCGUCGGUCCCGCCGCCCCCGACUUCCUGCCCGCCGCCUCUCCCGCCCGCCUGCCGCCGCUGCCGCCUCACCUUGCCCCACCGCUGCUCCUCAUUACCGGUGAGAGGCGAGCGGAGGUGGGAGGGGAGGGGAGGCAGAGGAGGAGAGGAAGGGUGAGGGUGCCGUGAGAGAGAUAGAGGAGGGGGGAUGGGAUAAGACUGUCGGGCGGGCAGGGUGGAUGAGGUGUGGCUGACGGGAGGUUUUAGUAACGGGUGGGAGCUCCACCCGGUAGUAAAGGUCACCCUUUAGUACCAGGUGGAGCCUCCACCCAGUACUAAUGUGCCUUAGGAUCUUUAGUACCAGGUGGAGCCUCCACCCGGUACUAGGUGACCUUUAGUACCAAGUGGAGCUCCUACCCGGUACCAGCGACAGAGCUUGAAAUUCGCAAAAUGACAUCAGAUCAUGAAGUUAUGAAGUACUUGAAACGCCAAGCCUAGCUGAAUCGUUAAGGUGUUAAAUUGGUUGAAUUUAUUAGAACAUUAUUUCCAUAUAUGAUGAAGUACAAGAAACGUAAGAAUAACAAUGCUUUAUCCCAAAGAAAUGUUUUGUUGAAUCAACUUGAGGUAAAGGUUCGGGACUAGAGAGCCGCUUGAAAGAUUUGUAUUCCACUAGUCAUGAAUUUUCUGAACCAUAUGAAAAAUGUACAGUUGGAAAAGGAUAGAGAAAAAAAUAUGAUGUUCAUGAUGGAUUUUUAUUUAGAACUAACAUAACAUGUGUGCCAAAUUGUUCUAUUAGACACUUGUUACAGUAAGCACAUGCAGGUGGACUAACGGAUCAUUUUGGACGGAAAAUGGGUCACAACAUUUUAGACUGGUAACUGCAGCUGCUAUAAAUUACUUGACCAUGCGCAAGAAGUUCCACUCUGAUUCCCAGAAAAUUACUAAUGUGCAACAUUUGUAAAUUCUUUUCUCAUAUCAAACAACAAUAAAGUAAAAUGGUAUCUACUUUUAUCAUUUUACUCUUGUGUGCCUGCGUGAGUGCUCCUUUUAUCUCCUCUAUCUACCUCCUUUAUUUACCAAUUUACGUAUUAAUCACUGCCACUAGUCUACUAUAUAUAUUACCAACCUGCAGUUCACUCCUCUCAUCACGCACUCCAGCUCUUGCAAGCGCCCGCGCGCACUCAAUCUAGCAAGGUGAAUGAGAGAGCACUUACAAGUCACAUGCAUGACACGUCGAGUUGUUGCUCGGAAUGAGAUGCAUCGUGAAUUCAUGACCAACGAUGGCUUUGACAUCAACAGCUAGCUGCCACAAUUGGGGCCUGACCUGGCAGUCAAGAACACCCACGUUUCAAAGAGACGCUGCUGCGUGUCUCGAAACCUUCGGAAGGUCAGAGAAGCAUUGGAGCAGACAAGGUCGUCGUGGCCCGGCCAGAAUUCGCCUCUGUUCCUGACGGCUAGCAUGCUGUUUGCUGCGCGAGCAGACAACCACCUCGCUGCUGGGCACUCCGAUCCGACCGGCGCCUCUACGCCACGCUCGCGCAGCCGCCACCUCGACGACAGCCAUUGCUUUCAUGCACUCAAACAGCCAUACAGGUCCGUGUGGCAACGUAUGACUCGACGCCGCAAUGCAUCCCCUUCUUCGGAAUUGGCGGCACCAGGAAUUCAAUUCCUGCUUGGGUAUCAGGAGAACCUGACGGAAAUGUGGAAACCAGAAGGCACUGAGGAUCGGAAAGGAAAGGGACUGGUGUCUGUUCAGCAAACGAUCGGAAAACAAGGCCUUAUGGGGUGAAGGUUACUGACCAAGACUGCUUGGACACUACCGCCGAAUGGUUGGACGAAAAUCAACGUGGACGGCUCCUUCGUUGCAGGAUCAAGCAAGGCAGGGAUUGGUGUGGUGGUGAGAAAUAGCAAGGGGGGUUGAGGGAUUCCAGUUCACGGCCUGGCGUGUGCUGUUCAGAUGUGCAGAAGCAGUGGAAGCAGAGGCAAGUGCAUGUGUCAAAGGGAUUAGUCUAGAUCUAGCCAAACAAAUGGUGCAAAUCUCCAGUUAUACUCAGAUUUUGAUUGUGCCAGAGUAGUAAGUGCCCUGAAAAGAAAAAAAACAA
Molecule: long non-coding RNA, 94057 nt
Filed under: Setaria viridis
Lineage: Eukaryota; Viridiplantae; Streptophyta; Magnoliopsida; Poales; Poaceae
Description: long non-coding RNA (SVIR_LNC010093)
Rfam family: Plant small nucleolar RNA SNOR75 (bases 284-371)
Source: RNAcentral